RNAcentral lists this long non-coding RNA (97791 nucleotides) under Fragaria vesca (wild strawberry). Its description in RNAcentral is "long non-coding RNA (FVES_LNC001920)". Lineage: Eukaryota; Viridiplantae; Streptophyta; Magnoliopsida; Rosales; Rosaceae. The record is from RNAcentral.
CGGGAGAGGGAGGGAGGAGGGAGGAGGCGGAGACCGGGAGAGGGAGAGAGAGAGGAGGCUAGGGUUUUUCUGCUAGGUGUUCGUCUCUAAACCCGACAACUUUAGCCGACGAAAUUAUUAUUUCGUCAGCUAAAGAUACAAAUCUCGUCGGCUAAGAUAAAACUCGUCGGCUAAAACCUUUGAAAUUCGUCGGCUAAACCUUUGCAGUCCGUCGGCUAAACCUUUGAAAUUCAUCGGCUAACAGUUGAAAUUCGUCGGCUUAAGUACUUUUAUACAUUCGGCACAUUGUGAUUGUGAUGAUCAAACUUGAGAAACAAAAAUCCGACUGUCAGAUCUGACCAUCAUGACAAAAUACAUGUAUGGGAAAUAAUUCAACUUGAUUCGACAAGGUUAAGGGCUCGAUCCGGAAGGUCAAUCCCGUAAGUCAAACCCCUAAACGCACGGAAAAGGCCGUUGGACCGUCUAAAUUUCGUAUUUUGGCCGGACCUUCAACUGAAAAUAGUUUCAAAUCGAUGAGACGCAACAAGUCAUAUAAAAAUUUUACGCAAAAUAACCACCGAAGAUAGGGCUACUCAUAGGGAGAAAGAAUAAAAAAUUGCAUUGACCGCAACUAUCGGCACCGAAUCUUUACCGGAAUACCGUGACUUUUCAACCGUGGAUGUAUUUCACCAUUCAGGUUAUAUCUUAUUUCACGAUUUUUUUGUGUUUGAAGGUUUUACGUAUAGUUUGUUUUUGAAACGGAACAUUUACUUAACACUAGGUAAACAAGUUAUACAAAAUGAUGAGACGCAAGAAGUCGUAUUAAAAUUUUACGGAAAAUAACCACCGAAGAUAGGGCUAUAGUAUGCAGUAGAAAAAUUUUAGGGUUUAGCCGACGAACACCCUAUCACAUUCGUCGGCUAUAGUAUGUAAAUAAAAAAUUAAAAAGUAACUAAAGCCGACGAAAUAUUAGGUUAAUCGUCGGCUAAAACCAUCUUAGCCGACGAAAUAUACGAUGGUGUAAUUCGUCGGCUAAGAUAGUUUUAGCCGACGAAUUAUGGUGUAUUUUGUCGGCUAAAGUAAAAAAAUACAUUAAAAAAAUAGAAGGUUUUAGUAAACCAUACUAACUUCCUGUUCAUCAUAUAUCACCAAAAUUCAUAUAAAAUAACUGAAAUAUGAAUCAACAUAUGUAAACUAUAAAGGAAAAGGUCUUUUUUAUUACAAAUUAAUGGAUUACGUCCUCUUAAUUAAAAUUUUAAGGCUCGUAAUCGGAAUCAUCCGAUGAGUAUUCUUCGGUGUCAGAAUUAAUUUCUGGUAAUAUAUGUCUUUCCUCAUCCCACGGGCAAGAAAAUCACUGAUGGUACCAAUAACCAUGACAUGCAUCUGGAACAUCUCGUGCAUGUACUUGUCAUAAGUGGGAUGAUCAACGUCCCACAAAAACUUAAGCUCUUCAAUCAAAUGUCUCAAAUACACAUUGAGACACUUCCCUAGAUAAUCGGGGCCCGGAAUCAACAAACUCAACAUAUUGUAUUCCUUCUUCAUGCACAUCCAUGGAGGAAGGUUGUACGGUACCAAAAUCACUGGCCAUACACUGUACUGAAGACUCAUGUUGCCAAAAGGGUUGAACCCGUCGGAUGAGAGCCCGAGCCUCACAUUUCGGACCUCUGACGCAAAAUGAGGAAACUCCCUGUCUAUAUGCUUCCAAGCCUCCCCGUCAGCAAGGUGUAUAAGGGUAUCUUCGUCAUGCGAUUCCCGAUCAGCGUGCCAUCUCAUAGCUUCGGCCGUGUGUGAAGACAUGUACAACCGCUCCAGCCUAUCCCUCAACGGGAAAUACCGAAGUACCUUCACAAGUUUCCUGUUGCCUGCAGGAGUCAGCUUAUACCUGUCAGUGUGACAUACUGGACAUGCGUCAAGGCCACCAUGGUCAUUCCCUUCUGGAUCUUUACCCUAGAAGAGAACGCAGUCAUAUCUGCAUGCAUGGAUCUUGAUGUAGGAAAGCCCAAGAUCUUUCAGGAUACAUUGGACCUUAUGAUGAGUGGUAGGAAGACGAUGACCGUGGGGCAGCAUCGAAGCAGUGUACUCUAGAUAAUCAUCAACAGUCUUCACGGUCGAUUUUGUCUCAACUUUAAUCUUCAUUACGUUCAUCACACUUUCAAGAACGGUCUUCUAACAGCCGGGGUACACAGGGGUCUGUUGAAAAGCAAGCAUUUUGUUGUACUUGUCAAUACCAGCAGUGUUGACAGCUCUAGGGAAGAGCUGCACCGGGUCAGGCAUAUACUGUCCUUGAGCGCAUACACCGCUCUCAUAAGGAAACAGAUCGUUGAUGAAGACCGUUGUUGGAUCGUUGGAUCGUUGGAUGUACUAAUAUUGCCCGUCUCAGAAUAUUGGUCAUGAUCAUGCGGACCCCCUGAUGAUGUUUCACCGUAAUAUAACCAACAUGUGUACUUCUCCCAAAACCGGUUACUCUUCAGGUGCUGCCAUAUUUUGUCAAUCGGAAAUCGAUGCAUAUCGCUGCGACACUGACAUUUCGUGCAUGGGCAAUAGAAAAUUGUAUUCUCGUUAGCAUUAGCCAGCGCAUAUUCCAGAAAACUCGUAAUUCCUUUACCAUGUCUUUUGUCCCAUUUUGGAAGCUAAAUCCAACUCUUAUCCAUAUUCUGAAAAUAUAACAAAAUAUAUAUGUAUAACGCUAGCUAAUUAUUAAUUAAAUUCUAUGUCAUAUAUAAAAUCUCAAUUCAUUUAUAUAUAUUCUACGUACUACAACUAAUUGAUAACAAAUUAAUUAACACACAUAUAUAUAGAUAUACUUAAUUAAUAAUUACAUAACAAUAUUAUAUAUAUCAACAUCAUCACAAAAUUAUCAUCAACAACUUCAUACCAUCAACACAAUAUUAUAAAUUAAUUAACAUAUAUAUAUAUCUACUACUUAUGAACAUAUGUACAACUUCAUAUAUAUUAUCAAAUCAUCAACCAAAUCGAUCAACAUAUAUAUAUAUAUAUCCAACGUACUCAAAAUCUAUCAAUUCAAUCACACUCAAAAUCGAUCAACUCAAAUAAAACUCAAAAUCAACAUAUAUACACAUAUACGUACCUAUAUAUAGCUCCACAAACUAAUUAUGGACAGAUUUCAACAACACUCAAACUUUUUCUUCCGUUUUUUUCUCCCAGAUGAGCUGUUGCCCAGAUUUGCGAAUAUAAAGCACUUUAGCCGACGAAAUUAAAAUUUCGUCGGCUAAAGAAUGUUUAAAGUCGUCGACUAAAGUUCACAGACUUUAGCCGACGAAAUAAAUUCUUUAGCUUUCGUCGGCUAAAGUUGACUAUAGCCGACGAAAAUAUAAAUUAGCCGACGAAAAAUGGUUCGUUGGCGUGGUUUUUUUUUUCGUCGGCUAAACCCUUUUUUUUGGUAGUGUAAAUCUUGAUCUUAGGAGAAAAAGAGUACGACGCACCCUUCACAUUUGAUAAUGACAUACAUGUACUAGACUCCCCCUGAAGUUCGUACCUCCCCCUGAUCUUUACAUCAAUCAUAGGGCUCUUCCUGAUUUUUACUAAUCAUGGAAGUUUCAAUAACUUAACAUGUCAUGCUCUUUAACAUGUUUUCAAAUGUGGCAUUAGGCAAUGAUUAACUAGAUAAUGCUGUAUAGUCCUCAAACAUGAUCUUUUACACUUAGAUCUUGAGGAGAAGGUCGCUUGUGAACUCAAAAUAUAAGUUCGUGCAGGAAAUCAGAUUUCCUCGCAGCAUGACCUUCAAUUACUCGAAUAGCCGUAACGUCCUCUAGAAAAUGCGUAUGAACGAACCGUAAACGGUUUUGGAAACUAGACUCAUUUAGCUUUCUAAACGUAUAUUACACACAUUCUGGUUCGUCAGGAGCUAUUCCUAAAGUGCCGUCAAAGUUGACUGUUUUGCGAAAAUCAGAUUCUCGGACAGAUUCGUCCUACUUUACAAAAACGGCCACAACUCACUCAAUAUGAUAGGUAUGAUCAAAUGGUUGCUGUCCCUGGAAAGUAGACACAUAGAAUUUUUCAAUGGUACCAAUUUCACCAUUUUCCAGUGAAUCAGAUUUCUUGUAGUCCUGUGGAAGUUGACCUACGAAACUUGACAGAUUCUGAUUUCGGUUUUUAUGUGUUUUUCUUAUGUAGGGAUAUAAUAAGCCUCAACCUCUCGUACCAUUAAGUAUUGAAAAAGGAGUUACUGUCAUUACAUUGACAUUGCGUGGGCGCAUAGCUACACUUAGUUUUACAACUUUUCAUAGCGAAUGAGAUGUCAAGUCUUUCUUAUCGUGUCAAGUAUAUUGAUGAGUUUUAUUGUACUUAGAUGAGAACUCCAUAUCUUAACACAUAUUUGUCAUCUUUCUUAGACAAAACAAUGGAUCUCUCUUUAGAGUAAAGACUUUGAUUAAUCAUGGGAGUAUAUGUAGGCCUCACUAGUUAUAUACCGCUUAAGCCGAUUGAUGGAAAAUGAUCAUCAAUACAGUCAUCGAGUACCUUUUUGAGACCGUGUCUUCCCAAGAUCUUUUUCAUUCUAACUUCGGAUGUUGAUACAUAUUGGCAUCUCUUGAUCCAUCAAGAGUCCAUGUAAAUCCGGAAUAAACACGCAAAGGCAUAAUUCACCAUAUCGCUUCCAAAUCAAGUAGAGUCCAUGUGUGUUUCAAUACAUUUAGCAAACGUAUGCUCCUGUGGUUUGGAGCCACUUGAUUCGGAUGAAUGAAGUCCGUUUAAGAUCUUCAUGUUUAUCUUUGAUCCCGUAGAGAUGUUAUUAUGACCACAUUCAUAGGCUGCAUGUUCAGUUAUUCAGAAACUACCAAACUGACAAAGUAGUGGAGUUCAAUGACAUCCAUUACGAGAACAUAUCUGAUCGUAGUUGAUCACAAUGCGUGUUAGUGAGAGACCUUGCGCCAUAAGGUGAGUCUAAGCUCUUGUUCUCAUCACCAUGCUAUCUAACAAAGGCAUAGUUGAUAGGGUUUAGCUUGCGGUGCCGGCAUCACCUGCCCAAGGACCUAUCUCUUUGUUAAUACUGGAUCGCAUCUUUCCAUUAGACUAAUCAGCUAAGUUGAUAUCCAUCAAUGAAGGAUGGUUCGAUAGUAGACUCAUUAUCCCACGUCCUCAUGUACACUAGUGUAAUACUUGUAGAGAUCUCUAUAUGGAUCGGAUUUGACAUUGAGGCGUCCCUCAACGAUAAUCACAAUUCAGACUUCAUGAGACGGAUUUGAGUAUCACUGAUCAAUGGAUCAGGUUGUGCCAAGCUCGCUUUCUUCUUGGUGCGAGAAAGUAUCGAAUCUAAGGGCCUCCCUCUUUUUGGGGAGCCACACGGCCUUGUGACACCAAUUUUGCCAUUAUAUGACAUCACCAUAUCACCAUCUAUUGUGAUGGCGUGAAGACCAACUCAUUUUGGUCGCGCCAUGUCCUCUUGAUAGGACAUCAAUCCUUGCAGACAUAUUUGCAGCAUGUGAUCUAGUCACUUUAACACUUUAAGCAAUUAGGAUCAAGAUGAGACUUAGUGCAGACAAACCACGACAAUUCACGUCGUUCCACUUAAACACUUGUGUUCUUAUCUCCCCCUAACGGCUGGAAUAUUGUCUCAUCAAAGUGACAAUCCGUAAUUUAGCGGUGAAUGAGAUCACCUGACAAGAUUUCUACAUAAGCGUAUUAUAGGUGGAGGUUCAUAUCCAACCUAAAUACUUAUUCAUCUGAAAUGACCUAUCAUUGUGCGCAGUGGCAGUGCAAUUUGGCACCUAGAAAUAACAUCUAGCAAAGCUCAAGGAUUGGAGAUCCGUUUCAAUCCUAUUUGAGCUCAAGAAUUGUAAUUUCGUGUCAAUCCUUGUACAUAGUCACGAGUUGUAGUACAAAAAUAUUCAAUGAUGGUGGGUCGUAAAUGAAUAGUAAAGUUUCAUGCAAAUAUUGCAUAGCCCCAAGACGCAAUAGAAAGAUUGGUGUGCAUCAAUAAUGUUCAAGCGACAAGCUAAAGUUGCUUAGUCGUAACCACGGUGAAACUGUAUUACGUGUGAACAUAGGGUACAGGACGCUUCAACUUAUAUCCCGAUAAACUUCUUUAAAGAAUGAGUAGUGACCCCGUAAAAGUAUAAGCAGUAUAAGCAGUAGAUAAUGGUGUAACACGUGACCGUUGUGUUAACACUUUUCAACGAACACCAUAAAGCAUACAAAGGUGUCCGCAAGUUGGUUGUAUCGAUCUACAUAAUUUGAUGUAAGAAUGAAGUCUUCUCUUUUGUGUCUUUUAGCGUAAGAGGGUCUCGCUCCUAAUUUAGCUAAAAAAUAGGCUUUCAAAACGAGCAAUAAGCAUUGCAGGGGCCAAUAAGACAUCGAGGGAAGGUCGGUACACCUCAAUUGCUUGAGGAGGAAUUGACCGGACGGCCUCCAGGAAGUUGGAGCCGUGUUCGGGUGACUUCAAUGUCCCCAUGGUGCCGCCAUUUACAACCAUGACAUCACCAUCAUGCUUCAUGGAAAAGCUAGAUCCCGAAUUUCUUCAUUUUGAGCGGAAAAAUGGAUGUCCAUGAGAAUUUCUCAAAAUUUGGACCAUUAUAUCUUUUCCAGGAUGACCGAUUUAGUCAAACCAAAACCUAUAUGAGUCGGAGUCCUAAAUAUCAUGUUUGGUGACAACAUGUGAUUCGAUAUUUGAAUCAUAGUGAUAUACAGUCCACUAUGUUGACUCAUAAACUUCUCAAAGAUGCAUUUCAAUCCGCAUUCAUGAGAAUGUAUACAUAAAAGAGCUCUUGUUCAUUCUCACAAUGUGUUUUCAAAUGAAAACUAUUAGUAGGAAUGUCUUUAAAGCUCAACAUGGUUCGGUUGUCUCUCAAUGCAUAGAGGGCAUCUGUGACGUUGAUCAUGGUGUCAUGAGGCAUCAAGAUUCAAGCUAAACCGCGUCCCUGAAUGACCGAUAUGAUUCAAUCAUUGUAGUCACAGAAGAUUUACAAAGGCAUAAAAUCCAAAGAUAGUUGCCGAUUCCUUAGAAUGUUGUAGAUAUUUCCACUAUCUGCGAGGCACUCAAUGUCUUUAUGAGAAAGAUCUACAAAAUGGAGUAGAUAGGAGAGUAAAUAGUUCAACUUGAACCAUUUAUUAGAAGGGAUGAAAGAAGCUACAAAAAGCUGUAAUCCCAAGAGUGCAUAAAAAUUUCCGCGUAUAAUGACCUUUGCACACUAAAAUAACCUUAACUUCUUCGUUAAAAAAGAUAUGGAUGAACCGCGAAAAGUUCUGAAAACUAAACUCGUAGAGCUUUCCAAUGAUAUAAAGUUCACUGUCUGGUUCAUCUGAAGCUGUUCACAAAGCUCAAACUAAAUUGACUGUCCAGAAUGUAUAAAUUGCUGUUUUUCGCAGAAUUGGCACGUGCGAAGCUAUGAAGAUUGCAAAUGGCAUGUAGGCUUUUGUAUGAUCAAAACCAAGUCCUUCCAGUCGUUCCAAGGUCGUAAACUCCAUGACUAGUUAGCAAAAGCUCCUUGACAUGAACAUAAACUAACUCAGAGGACCUAGAGGAUUCGAUCAUGAUGAUGAUUGUCCGGUUUUGAUAAGUCUUCAACGUCUUUUGCAAGACGAAAAUUAGUUUAAUAGCGUAGGGGGAUCGAAAAUCAAAAGCUUUCGAUAACUCCAAGUCAGUAUGACCAGGCAUGUCCGUGGAGGGUCGGUAGUGCGAGGCACACUUGAAACCACUAUCUUCUUAAUUUCGGACAAUUCUAAGACAUCACACUGAGCUUGGAUGAGCCUAAUUGAACAAUUGAUGAUGGAAAAUCUGCUAUAGAGUAGAAGACUUAACCGAAAACAAGUGGGAGAUCCUCAUUGAGGAUGCAGUGCCGUGCGUCACCUUUAAAGGAAGGGACCAAAAGCGGCACAAUAUGCCAUGUUUCUAAGGACGAUGUAAGUGUACAUUUUGAUUGUAAAUCAAUACGAACCAUAAGAUGAGAAUAGUUUCAUAACUUCAAAAAAUUCUCAAGGCAUUCAUUAUUGCUAAUGUGAGUAUAUAUUGAGGUCUUGAAUAAACAAAGGACAUCGACACGACGUCUUAUUACGUAUAGCUUGAAAAGAAAAUCAAAGUCGAUCUAGCCGAUGACGUUAAAGUCAGGGGUAGCUAGAGCUGGAUCCAAAUCUUUGAAAUCCACGAUCAUGAGGAUGACGUUCUUGUCCUCAUAUUGAUUUUCCGUACCUUUUUGUAUGCAUUCACAAUUUGAAGGAGAGCUCGACAACUCUUGAACCAAUGAUCCGGAGAUCCACAACGGUUGCAUUGUCAUGAGCUGACAUGAGUAGUUUUGACAAAUUUGUGUCUAGACCGGGAGUGUCGCCAUUAGGGCCGGCGACACCUCCUCUUCUUUUCUAGACAUCGGUGCGGCGUUUUCUACCGUUGUCAUGACCCAUAUUGUUGUUCCCACAUUAGGUGACAGACAAUCCCAAAUAUUUUUAUCGCAUUAGCGUAUAUACAAUUCUCGUUUGCAAUUGUAUGAUCAAAAUCAGGUCUCGUUGGUAAUUCCAAACCAACUUGGAGGGCCUAAAGAACUUGAUAAUGAUCGAAUCCGCUAAAGAUUAUGUUUCAUGAUGCCACAAAAGAUCAUCAACAAUAUGUAGUCAAUUAAGGUGGUAAGCAAUCCACUUGACUAAUAACUCAUAACUCAACAAGUAGAGUUAUAUGAACGUUUCAAGAAACGCUCCAUGAGUGCAUUCCACAGUACAUUGUGGUCAUUACUUUUUGCACAUAUUGCCGUUGAAGGUUGUUGUCGAUAUGGCGCUUCAAAACUUUGAGUGCAUAAGAUGUGAAAUCUCGGCAUCUAGGCUUGUUAGCUUGGGGGUCAAAACAUGUGGUUUAAUCCUUUCCAAUGAAAGGUUCCACAGAUACCAAGCAAAGAUCCGCCUUAGGCAUUGAGUACGUCAUAACUCAAAGGAGCAGAAUGUUACAUUGCUCUUGCAUACAAAACCAAGCUGUUUGUCCUUCGGAUAGAGGUCACAAACGAUGCUUUUAAUGGUCACAAACGAUGCUUUGAAUGGUUUGUCCUUCAGAUUGAUCACACACAAUCCAGAAAAGCCGCGAAUUGAUCAAACACAAUUCGAAAAAAGGCCUCGGAUUGAUCAAACACAAUCCGGAGAAAGGUCGGGGUUGAUCAUACACAACCCUGAGAAGAAAACAAGAGUGAUCAAACACACUCUUGACCUGCGAAUAAAAUUCUGGGAUUUUUACAUACACACACAAAAUCCCAAGCAUAGAAUGGAGAUGGAGAAGGGAGGAAAAAAUUUUAUCCUCCCCGAGUUAUUGAACUUGGAAAAGUUUAGGGUUUCAAAACAUACUUUUCGAAACUUCAAACACUUGAAGAAGUAGAAAAUUGUAGUCGAAGGAAACCAGGAAUCGUCGACAGGCGGCAGCCGGAAAAAACAUGCGGCGGCGGCGGUCGGACAUAGGAGCCGAAAAACGUUUUUUUUAGGGUUUUGGAAAACAAAUGGUGGGCUAUUAGUUCUAGAGUUAGAACAAAGUGCAUGAUAACGUGAUAAAGUAUAAACAGUAGAGAAUGAAAGAUAACAAGAGAAAGAGAAUCAUUAUCUUAUUCAUUGAUAGGAGCCCUUUAUAUAGGGAAUUACAAAGUACCAAUAUGGUAAUAAUAAGAAAUACAUAGUCAUAUUCUAACUACAUAUCUUGUUGACAUAAGGCCAAGGCACACAUAUGAAAUAUCCUAGAACAAAUCACAAAAUUUAUUUUCAUAUAUUGUUUAUUAGAAAUCUAAUUUGAAGAUGAUUACAGAGAUUUGACGACAACCUCCUUAGUUCAUGAACCUCCCUAGUUUGUUUUUGUGCUCUCAAGAGAUCGUCUGCCAUGUCCUCUGACUAAUAGAUUUGAAGUUUCGACAAGCUGAUUGGAAUGCCUCAUUCUAGUUUUCUUUUAUUCUUUGUCUUAACUAAUUAAUAUGGAGGCCUGACUUGAUAAUCGGUUCCUCUUGAAAACAAAUUGGGGUUCCAAGAAGGGAAGAAACCCUAUCCAACCCAACGGGAUUUAAAGGAUACAAAUGAUAUUAGCCAUGCAUGUCUCAUGAAUCAGUCUUAAUAUUAGGUUUUUAAUCUAUACAAUUAACAAUGGAUAUUGAUCAGAGUGAAUGAACUUGAAUUAAUUGGAGUUUGACACAAACAGUGAUACAGCAAAGGAGUAAAAUUUCGAGCUUUGAGGAUAAUUCGAUGCUCCGAAAAAUGGAUAUUUCAAAGGAAAUAUCGAGAUUGGCAAAAUUUCAAAAAGAGUGGGCAAAAAUAAUGUGAAAAUAUGUCUACCAUUUAUAUAUUAAAAUGUUCUAUAUAUUACCCAGAUGUCACUUUAGCUACGGUGGUUAGGGAGUUUGAAUACGUUUGGGGCAACCAGGGUUCGAUUCUCCUCAGCUGCGCACCUGUAGUUUUCUUCCUAUUUUUAAAAAUAUGGGCUGAGUUAAUGGACAGUUGGGCUGAAUUAGUGGCAAAAUUUAAUGAGUUGGGCCGAAUUAAAGGCAUAAUAUCUUGAUUCUUGAAUUUCAAGAAAAAAUCGAAAUUUUCCUAAAAUAUCGCGAAAUAUCCACAAUAUCUCACGAGAUUAUCUUGUUAUGCAAAGAUAUAUCGUUGUGUCCAAAAAACGAAAUUUCGGCCAUAAAAUCGAUUUUUAACUCCAUAGAUACAGCCAAUGACAGUUAUGUUAACGGAUGAUAAAAGAAUACCAGUUGCUAAUGAAAAUUAUGAUCAUGAAUGUAUCUCAGGAUUACAAAGUGUUUCCUUUCGAGUGUUUUAUUCAGAUAAGAAAACUAAUUAUUAUUAUUAUCGUUAUUAAAUUUUUAGGUUUAUUUAUUAAUUAAAAAAUUAAAUAUGCUGAAAUUUUUUAAAUUGAAUAUGAUGAUGUGGUAGAUGUCACCUAAGAUAACACAUAAGAUGUCACAUAAUUUGAUAUUAGAUUUUGGUACAAUUUUGAUGCAUGUAGCACUACUCUUCAAAAUUAAACAAUUUAAUAAGAAUACAUGAUUGAAAACUAAUUAAGUUUAAUUUUUGUAAAACAUUUUGGUGUCUAGCAUUUUUCCCCAAUUUAACCCCUACUUGACAGAGUUAGAGUUAAUGAGAAAAUUUAUUAUUGUUGAUAAGAAUUAAUAUAAUUAUAAGCUAAUAUCAACACCUCCAGAACGUGCUCUUGCAUCACUAUAACCCAGAUUUAUCAAAGAUGAUAAUUGAUCAAAGCCAGACAUGGAGAUCUUCAGAAAGUUGUUUUUAACACCCCAAUCUUUUUAAAGAUAAAGACAAGAACUUUCAACAUCUUUCUCUUCCCUCGUUAUAAUGAGUAGUAGGAAGACCAAAUCUAGAUCAAAUCCUGCUUCUCUUUGUUUCUUUAUGUUCCUCGAUUUCUCUUUUUGUCUGAUAAGUUCAGACUCCAAAUUGAUCUAAAAAUUCCAACAUUUUCAACAUUCUACGAUCCCCAAAUCAAAAACCCACAAAAUCUUCUGCACUUCUCUCAAAUCUCAACUGGGUUUUGGUGAAAAAUCAGAAGGAAUAAAGCUUUUCAACAAUGGAGGCUAGGAUAUGAAAUUCCUGAGAGGGGCACAAACUGUGGAUUGCGAACUAAUCUCAGGUUCUUGUGGUUUAUGCCGGCGACAAACAAAGAAAAUUAUAGUUGGGUAGUUUGGGUUCUUUCGAGUUUCGACCAAGAAUGGAGGACUUUAUCGAUAUCAUCAUGAUCUUUCAUCUUUGUUUUCAUCCCGAUCUGGGUUCAUUCUUUUUAGCUAAUAUUCUUAUUAAAGAUAUGAGUAACAUGAAAUAAAUUUUGUUGUCGCCUUGAUUUUUUUAAUUUUUUUAUUUGGUUACUAGAGGGACCUAAAUAGAAAUUUUAACACAUCUCUGAUCUCUUUUAAUAGAUACCCUUAUUAUUUUAUAUUUCACAUCAGAUUUUAUAAGUACGUUUACUUACAAAAAUAUUCAUCAAUUGUUAGGGGAAAAAAAAACUUCAUGUUUCAUAAAACCUAACUCUUCUCCACUAUUACUACGCAUCAAAAGAAAAAAAAUAAAAACCUCUUCUCCAAAAUACAUCCCCCGAAUUUCGACUACUGUCGUAGUCACAUGUAGAAUUUACCGAUUCAUUUGGUUUUUUAUUUUUUUAUCAACUUUAGUUUUUAUUUUGCAGACCAAAAACUAGUUUUUAUACUAUUAUAUUUUUACUAGUUUCUUAACUUUAAAAAAAAUAUGUAUGUUCAAUAUUUUUUUCUUUAAAUUCUAGCCGAUUGAUGUCAUAUUAGAGAUUUGGAGUUCGAAUAUAAUAUUACUCUUUUGAUUAUAAAUUGAAAAAUAUCAAGAAAAAAUUUCUAACCCGAUCAAAAAAAUCUAACAGGAAAUAAAAGAGAAUACGUAAAGAGAGUUGGGAAAUAAUAAAUAUAUUAAGGAUGCGUCUAUUGUCACCCCACAAAUCACUUUAAUCACCCCCACAUUCUCUUCACACCCCAUUUAUGUAUUUUUAAUUAUAAGUCUACUUUGUUCAUCCAUUUACAAUCCCUAAAAUACAUUUUUCUCAAUUAUACUUUGAUCACCAUACAUUCUCUUCUCCAUUACUCCAUAAUUUUGAGUGUUUUAAACUGAUCUAUGCGUUGUUUAUAUAUACGAUACAACUUUUCAUGAGAAUUUACAUAUAAAAUCGACAUGAAAAAUAAUGAGUAAAGAGAUAGACGGAAGCGUCAACAAAGAAAAAAAAAAAAUACAAACAGUUCACCUCAUCUUUAGGUUAAAUGGUAGCGUCUUGACCUAAAACAAUCGAAUAUGAUAAAUUUGGGUUAAAGUUCAUGAAGUACGCACGUGUUCAUCUAAAAAAAUAAUAAGAAUUUGUAAUUUUUAACAACUUAUUGUCCCUUGUUGUAGUUUUACAUUAGGUUAUUUUGGUCUUUUAAUAAAUUAACCAUAUGUGGGGUGAACAAAAUGGUUUGUAAGGUGACAAUAGCCCGCCCCCUAUAUUAAAUAACAUAUUAUUAUUAGUUUUAAAUAUUGAGGGUAUUUUAGGUAGUUUGGGAUGUGUAUUUAAUAUAAUAUUGAAAUGAAAAACUAGAUGGGUAAGUGUAUUAAGUAAUGAGUGUGUAUUAAGAGAUUAAUGGUGUGUAUUUAAAAUUACUCAGACCUAAAAGGCCCAAAAAAGAACAAAGAAAACUAAAUACCGGAACAAACUCCAGUUGCUCUAACAAUAUCAAAACAAUAUCAAUAAGAUCAUCUAAGUAAGCUUGAGCAGCAUGCACAGGAGGGUCCUCAAAGGCAAGGAAGAAAAAAUCGAUAAUUUCGCCGAAAUAUUCGUUUUUCUCAUGUCCCGAUAUUUCUUUCUCCCUCCAUAAUUUUUCGUCCGAUAUUUUCGAUAUUUCGCCGAAAUAUUCGAAAUCUGACGAAAACAGCGCCACGUCAUCAAAGCGAUUGAUUUUUGGUCCCACCAAAAAUCAACUCAAAAACCCAUAAAUUGGGUGCAGCGAGUUUCGAACCUCGCUUGCCAAGUUUGCUCCCAAACGACUUAGCCAACAGUGCUAAGCGAGCGUCUGAUGUUUGUAUUCUUCUUUGUAAUAUAUAUUGCCUUUGAAUCUGAAAACUUUGAUGGCAAUUAAUGAACCAAAAAUCAACUCAAAAACCUAGAAAUUGGGUGCAGCGAGUUUCGAACUUCGCUUGGCUAGUUUGCUCCCAAACGACUUAGCCAACAGUGCUAAGCAAACCUAUGAUGUUUAUAUGCUUCUUUGUAAUAUAUACUGUCUUCAAAUCUGAAAACUUUGAUGGAAAUUAAUAACCGACUUGCUAUUCCUUAUUUUUUUCCUACACUUUCCAUAUGCAAUUAUACAUAUAUAAGGUGAUGGUCUAGUCCUUUUUUUUGUUUUGUUUCAAGCCAUAAAAUAAAUUAGAUUUUUUAAAAUUGAAGUAAAUUUUUAAGAUUUAUCAACGAUUCAGCAUUUACUUUUUCACCUUAAAUUACUAUAAUUCAUUAUAAAUUAAUGUUUAGUCAAGGUUUUCUUAUCAAAUAUAGUACAUAAUAUAAAAAACAAACAUCUCUUAAAGUUUGGUUUAAAAUUUCCUUGUUUUUCUUUAAAUUUCCGUCAAUUUUCUCAUUUUUUUUACUGCAAUCGAUAUUUCCUCGAAAUUUCCGUCGAAACUUCCAUAUUUUAGAAGGUCGAAAUUUCCGUAAUCACCGAAAUUUUCUUCCUUGCUCAAAGGUGAUCAAAGCCAAAGUCAUGUGUGAUGCUGUUUUUAGCUAAAGAAUCAGCAAACUAGCGCCUUGAUUUUCUAUUCAUACACUCCAUCAUUAUAUAAUAAAUCAACUGUUUAACCUAUAAAUUAAGGAAAAAUAAUAUAGGAGGAACACCCAUGGCAGUUGAGUGUGCAUUAGUUACUCUAGCUGGAUAUUGUGCCACAUUUCCCUGAGACCAUUAGAGGCCGGCAUGUCCCUGCAGUCCAGCGAAGUACACAACCUCCAUCACUAAGUAACCACUUCCACCGUAAAAGCUCAGUUCUGAAAAAUCAAUUGCAUGUGGUCUUAAAUCAUGAUCAUACAUCCUACAGGUUACAACUUACAAGACUUGUUAAUACAAUUAGACAUAUAGAUAUAUGUAAGAAAGACACCAAGGAAAUAAUAAUCAGAUUUACGAAACGCAACUAACAGUACAGUGAGGGUCUGGGAUAUUAAGAAAAGUAUACAAGUAAUAUUGUCCUUGGCCUAUAUUUUCUGUUUUUCAAUUGGAGCCAUUAAUGCAAAAACAGUGAUUAAUUAGAAGAAAAUUGUCCAGAAAUUGUGAAAGAUGUUGCAUUAGAAAUUUUCUUGCAAGCUGAAGGAGACAAAGAUGAUAGGUUCUGAAAAAGGCAGAAGCAUGCAGCAACUUUUUAACUAAAAGAGAGAUUGAUUAAGUAGUCUAUCUGCAUAUAUUAGGUUUAUUUUCAUGCAUACAUACUGAAAAAGUUGAAAGUAUAAGGUAGAAAACGAAAUGCCAGCUUGAUACAAGAGAAAAGUAAUUAAAUCUCGACAUAAAUGUCAUGGAUCGAUUUUCACUACUUACUCUAUAGUCUAUAUAGUGAUUGUUAUGCACAACUAGAUAGAAUAAAUGAGAGACAGAGAGAGUGAGAGUGAGAGUGAGAGAGAGAGCUUUGCUUAGAUAAAAUCACAUAGAGCACUAUUUGAAUUGAAAAUGUGAAACUCCAGGACACAGAUCAACAUUCAGCCAUCCUACUACAGCAUCUAUAACCGUAGCAAAGGUCAAAGUGGUCCAGUCAUCACUGAAAUCACUUUGGACUUCAGCAAAAUUGCAGUGUUCUGCCCUAAAAAUAACCAAAGCAUCUGCCACACAAGCUUGGACUUGGAGAACUGAAGCAAAUUCAGAUAGGAAUUAUCAACAAAUAAAUUUCAAUACCCAGACCUGAGUUUAUUGGAGGAUUUACAUGAACAGAAUAAUAAGGGAUGAAAAUCAGUAGAUAAAAAAGCAAAUAGGUAGAGGAUUCACAACACUCUAGGUUAAGGCAUUUAAAAACUCUCUAGAGUAUUCUUCAGAAAGAAACUAAUCAAACAUAACUUUAAAAUCAUCAUUUACAGAACAAUUUUCAGCUCUCCUCUCUCCAUUAAUACACAUUUUAUAUUCAGCUUCAGAAUAGACGCCAAGCUGGUGUGUCCACAAAUACACAACAACAAAAAGUAGCUUAUUGUUCCAUACACGGUCCUAAUCUUAAUUUUGUUCUUACUUUAACAACUAUUAGAUGAUUCUAUCAUUCUAAAGCAAAACCAAGUAUACAGGAAGGAAUUCAUUAAGAGCUUGAGAGAUUCUUCAAUUGAUAAUCCAAAUUUAUAUAUAUAUAUAUAUAUAUAUACAGUCCGUUUCAGAUACGGACGUCCACACUGCUUUACGGUGCGGAUUUCCCUCCGUUCGCCACCGUACGGCGCCGGCGAGGGCACGCCUCCACCCCAGCGGACUCCAGCAGCUUCCCCGACCUCUUUCCAUCCCCGGCGAGUCCGUCGAAUUCCAGUUUUCCGGCCCGAUUGACUUUGUUUGAAGUUUUGGGUGAUCUGGCCGGAAAACUGGAAUUCGGCGGACUCGCCGGAGAUGAAAAGAGGUCGGGGAAGCUGCUGGAGUCCGCUAGGGUGGAGGCGCGCCCUCGCUGGUGCUCGCCGGUGCCGUACGGUGGCGAAAGGAGGGACAUCCGCACUGUGCGGCCUGAUAACGUCUGUGUGUAUAUAUAUAUAUAUUACAUUUUUGAAUACACUUGUCAUUAAGAACAGUUACUAAAAGCAGGAAAGAUAUAAUACUUGGUCACCCAGCACAGAAUUAAAAUUAGAACAUGCCAUGGUACUACUGUAAUGUGUAUGACAACAAGCAAUGAGGGCACAUAGAACCAUAACAAACAAACAUCACUGUAAAUUUGACUCUUAGUCAGAGAAAUAGUAGUUUAUUUUAUUGCUGAAACUUAAGAUUGAACUUAAUCUAUAGAAUACCAAUUAAAAGAAGCAAAAGGAGAACAGAGCAAUUAACUCAGAGGCAUUUCAUCAAUUGAAGAGACAGUACAUCAGUCAGCUACUACAAAAAAAAAAAAAAAAAAAAAAAAGGACUUUUCUGAAAAUAUUUCUUUAAAUGUAAGAAUGUACAAUUUAAGGAAAUACCCAAUUUAAAGAAGCAUGACAAAGUAACAGACCCCCAGAUGCAUUCAUAUUACAGCUCAAUUUCCACGCUUACAAGAUCCAUGAAUCCUGAUAUUGUAUAUGUACUUGCUUGGAUGAAAUCCUGUAUCCCGCAUCUCCUUGCAAAUGAUCCUGGCCCGGCCAAAAUUUCCACUCUUACAAAACUUAUGAAUCAUGGUAUUGUAAAUGUGCUCGCUUGGAUGAAAUCCCUUAGCAGCCAUCUUCUUGCACAAGAUCCAGGCCUGUUCUAAAUUUCCACUCUUACAAAACCCAUGAAUCACGGAAUCAUAAGUGUUCUUGCUUAUAAUCUAAAUUUCCACUCUUACAAAACCCAUGAAUCACGGAAUCAUAAGUGUACUUGCUUGGAUGAAAUCCCUUAUCCCACAUCUCCUUGCAAAUGAUCCUGGCCUGGUCCAUAUUUCCACUCUUACAAAACGCUUGAAUCAUGGUAUUGUAAAUGUACUCACUCAGAUGAAAUCCCUUAUCACCCAUCCUCUUGCACAACAUCCAGGCCUGUUCCAAAUUUCCACUCACAACAAGCCCAUAAAUCAUGGUAUCGUAAAUCUACUUUGGUGGACGAAAUCCCUUACCACCCAUCUCCUUGCACAAGAUCCAGGCCUGUUCUAACUCUCCACUCUGAUUAAACCCAUGAAUCAUGGUAUUGUACGUGUACUCGUUUGGACAAAAUCCCUUAUCUAUCAUCUCAAACCAUAGCUUCCUAGCUUCUCCUAUUGAACCCAUGGUACAAAGACCAUGAAUCAUGGUUGUGUACAUGACAAAAUCAGGAGCAUAGCCUCUAUCCUUAAGGUCAUUAAAAAUCCGAAAACCCUCAGCCAGCUUUUCAUUCUUGCACAACCAAUUGAUUACCCCCAGAUAUGUAUAAUUAUCGGGGGCACAUUUCACCUCUAUCAUUGCAUGGAGGAGUUCAGACACUUUAUCAUAUUCCUUCUCUUUACACAACUCAGAUAUCAACCUAUCGAAAACAGCUUUUCCAGGGACUACUCCAUCUCCAAGAACCUGACUAAGAAGUCCAUAACCUUUCAAUACCUCGUUAUCAUCACAAUAUCCUCGAACCAGACACUCAACAGUCUCAACAUCAGCUGCAACACCAUACUCCAUCAUUUCUUGGUACAACUUCCAAACCAUAUCCGUCCUCCUAGCCUUAAUGCACCCCGACAAAGCCGCAUUCCAAGUACCAAUCCCCGGGCACACUCCAGCCUCUUUUAACCUCUUAAACACACUACUAGCUUCCUUAACCCUCCCAGCCUCCCAAAGACACCGAGCAUAACUCUCCAACAAAACCGGCUCGGGGCUAAAACCCGUAUGCUUAAUAAAAGACUUGGCUGCACUGCAGGCAUUGCCCUCCACAAGAGCACCGAAAACCGCAUUACACGAAAUGGGGUCAGGCGAAAAACCUUCUCGAGUUCCCAACCACAAGAAGAACCGAACCGAUAGGAAGACAUUGCUCUGCUGCUUCACAACCUCACGGAUAAACAGAGGAUCAGAGAAAUUCGAAGAUGGGUACUCGGAGGACAGAGUGUUCUCCCAUCUGGGUUUGGUUCUAAUAACAUGACAAAUCUGUUGGGCAACUUGUGUGAGAUCAGAACAAUCUUUGGUUUCUACGGAAAGGUGUCGGAUUUGGGUGUCGGGUUUUUGGCGAGCAUGUGGGUUUUGGCGGAGGAAUGUUAAGAUUGAAGAUGAGGCUCUGGCCAUUUGAACUAAUGGUCAAGUCUAGCUAUAGCUCAGAGUUAUUGAAUAAAUGGUGGAAAGAAAGAGGUUAGAGUUUGAAGUUUACUCACAGUUAAUUGGGGUGUGAGCUCUGGCGAGAAUCGAAUCGGAAAGUGAGUUCUGAAUCGGGCUUCUCUGCUCCUCCGACGACACUGACAUUUUGGGUUUGAGUUGGGUUCGAGUUGGGUUCAGUGGUCGUUUCGGCGAGGAGUUGUCGUUGUUGGAUUCUUUACGGCGAGGGUGUGUUUCUGUUUUUCCAUGGGUCUAUUCCAUUUUCUUUUUAGGUUGUUUAGGAUUAUUUCGCAAAAUUACCUUCUUUUCUUUUCUAUCACCCUAAAAACAAAAAACCUAAUAGAGUUGGUACUGUAGAAGCAAGUUAGGCCGCAAGUAAGACGGACGAUACAAGUGUUAGUCUAGUAAUAAAAAAUACUUGUGAAAAUAUCCUUUGAGGGGCCAUAUAUCUAAAAUUGCUCCCGAUUGUAAAAUAAUAGCUCAACCGACGUACUAAAUAUCUACAAUAGUUCACGUAGACUAUGUGAAAAUUAUCAAAAUUUAAUAACAUCUUAUAAUUUCCAUACAAGCCAGAACAAUCAAGAUUCACUAUUGCAAAGAUUAAUUUUCACACAUAAUCUAACUGAAGAAAAAAUGACUAAUAAGAAACAAUCUAGAUACAUAAAUUCCAUCGAUACAAAUAUUUGUAAUUUUCCAAUCAAAAAAAAAUACUUGUAAUUUUUCUUAGCCUAAAUAUCCUAUGAGGAUAUAUCUCUACAUUUUCAACAUUUUCUCAUUGUUUUUGAGUUUUGAUCAAAUCAUUUUCUCAUAUUUAAGGAAAUGAAAACUGAUAGAUCCACAUUUUAUCUUUUUUUUUCAUAUAUAAAAUAGAAUAAUUAAUAUUUAUUGAUAAAAAAAAAAGAAUAAUUAAUAUCUAAAAUGAGAUAAUGGAUGACAACAAAAAAUCACAAACAACAAACAGAUUAUAAAAAAAAAAAUUGAUGAUGAUGAUGUCAGUGUGUACCCUAAUGGGAUCAAAUUACAAUCAAUAUGGGUCAACCUCAAAUUGAACAGCAGCAUAAAGAAGAGAGCAGAGCCAAAUAGGAAACACAGCGGUGAUACAAGAUAGCAGCAUCCAAAAUCAAAUCUUUUUGAUUUCGUCAUUCUCAUUAGUCAGAUCAGAUUUCUAUCCCCAGUGAUUUCCCGCCAAAAAUGUGAUCGAAAUCCCCCAAAUAGGGCCGUGUAAGCUUCUGAAUCAUCACCAUCAGCCGCCAUGGAAUCCAGCUCCACCCACUUCACAGAUAUGAGAAGGUGAAUUAAGAAUACCCACUAAGUUAAAUUGAUUGUUGAGUUUUAAUUUGUUAGUUUUCAAUCAAUUAUCAAUCUUUGUAAGCUUUGGUUGAGCAUUUUGUGAAUUCUGCUUUCUGGGUUUUGUUCUAUAUUUAAUACUAUGCUGCUAUGCCAUGGUGUUUGGUUGCUGAGAAAAUGGAGGAACAAUAUGACAGAUUGAUAUGGAGGAACAAUAUCACUGUUGUUAGUUGUUAAGUUUGCUUUGCAUGAGUUGUGAAUGUUGUCUCGGAGUGUUAACUAGAUGGUUGUUAUGGUUGAAGUGAUUUCAUGUCAUUUUUGUUUUGUGUGGACACAGCUCGGAUACUGACUCUAAGAUUGAAGAAUGCGUGAACAACGCAUACCCUCUAAGAAUGUUGAUGCCUGUGAUGAACAAUGCUAGCACAAAUGAUGAAGGAGAGUCGAUUCUUGAACCAUAUGUGGGGUUAGCAUUUGAUUCAGCAGACGGUGCGCGCGAAUUUUAUACUCUUUAUGCAGCAAGAAUGGGAUUUAAAGUUCGGAUUGGUCAGUUGUAUCGGUCAAGAACUGAUGGUUCGGUAUCUGCUCGGAGAUUUGUUUGCUCCAAGGAGGGAUUUCAGACCAGUACACGGACAGGCUGUGCAGCAUUGAUAAGGGUGCAGAGACGGGAUUCUGGGAAGUGGGUUGUAGACCUUUUCCUGAAGAAUCAUAAUCAUGAUCUUGGACCUACAGAGGGAAACCAUUCUCUAAUUUUGCAACAGAAGAUUCUAACUGCUAAACCUGUUGAAGUGGUCCAUAGGCCAAAAUGCAAGUUGAUUGAGGAAGUUGAGGAUGGGCGACCUUGCCCAUCUGGUGUAAUUACUGCCAAACGUUCUAAACUGAAUGGGGAUGAAAUGCAGUGUGAAGUUGAACCAUCUUCAGGUCUAAAGUUCAAUUCAGCCAACGAAGCAUAUCAAUAUUAUCAUGCAUAUGCAGAAAGAACCGGAUUUAGGAUCAGGAUUGGUCAACUGUUUCGUUCAAAGCAUGAUGGUUCAAUUUCUUCCCGACGUUUUGUAUGCUCAAGGGAAGGUUUUCAGCACCCAUCAAGAGUUGGAUGUGGAGCUUUUAUGAGGAUUAAGAGACAAGAAUCUGGAAGGUGGGUAGUGGAUCGUCUUGAAAAACAUCAUAACCAUGAGCUUGAGUCUCAACAGGAAGUUCAAAAGAAAAAUCUUUCUGUUUCAAAAAAGUUCAUAGAGGAGGAGAAUGGUGGGCUGGAUGAUGAAGAUAUUGUUGACAUAAACAUUGGGAACCUUGUCAAAAAACGUCGAGAAAACCACAAGACGAUCCAUGAGCUUGAGUCUCAACAGGAAGUUCAAAAGAAAAAUCUUUCUGUUUCAAAAAAGUUCAUUUGGGAGGAGAAUGGUGGGCUGGAUGAUGAAGAUAUUGUUGAAAUAAACAGUGGGAACCUUGUCAAAAAACGUCGAGAAAACCACAUUGGAAGUGAUUGGUACAGUGUGCUUUUUGACUAUUUUCAAACUAAACAGGCUGAAGAUACAGGAUUCUUUUAUGCAGUAGAAGAUGAUUAUGGUACCUGCAUGAGUAUUUUCUGGGCUGAUGGGAGGUCUAGAUUUUCAUGCUCUCAAUUUGGGGAUGCCAUAAUUUUUGACACCUCAUAUCGUAAAGGUAUGUAUCUGGUUCCAUUUGCCACUUUCAUUGGAAUCAACCACAAUAGGCAACCGGUGCUUCUUGGCUGUGCCCUACUUGCUGAUGAAUCUGAAAAGUCUUUUACUUGGUUGUUUCAAACAUGGCUUAGAGCAAUGUCAGGACACCGUCCUUGGUCAAUAAUAGCUGAUCAAGAUGAUAUUAUCCAGCAAGCCAUCAUCAAUGUGUUUCCAGGAACCCAUCAUCGAUUUUCCAUGUGGCAGAUGAAGGCAAAACAAUAUGAGCAUCUAAGUUCGGUGCACAGUUCUUUUCAAUUUGAAUAUGAAAAAUGCAUCAAUCAGUCUCAAACAACUGAUGAAUUUGAAACGGCAUGGAAUUCACUCCUCUGCAGGUAUGGGUUGAAGGAUAAUACUUGGCUGAAAGCCAUGUACGAAAAGCGCCAAUGUUGGGUCCCAUUAUACUUAAGAGCUACAUUCUUUGCUGGCAUCCCCUUGAGUGGAAAUAUAGAAUCAUUCUUUGGUACACUUGUGAAUGGCCAAACACCACUUGUGGAGUUUGUUCCACUUUAUGAAAAGGGUCUUGAACGACGUCGUGAAGAAGAAUUAAAAGAGAAUUUUAACUGUUCCAUCUUGAAUGCCUACUUGCAGACAAAAGAACCAGUAGAAGAACAAUGCAGAAGGCUGUAUACACUGAGCGUCUUCAGGAUAUUUCAGAAAGAACUUCUACAAUCCUAUAGUUAUCUAGGAUUUAAGGUUUAUGAAGAAGCGGCUAUCGUAAGGUAUUUGGUCCGCAAAUGUGGGAAUGACGAUGAUGACAAAUCCACAGUCACCAUUGGUACAUCCAAUCACAAUGUGCGGUGCAGCUGUCAAAUGUUUGAAUUUGAAGGUGUACUCUGUCGACAUGUGCUGAGAGUUUUCCAAAUAUUAGAGAUAAAGGAAGUUCCAUCUCGCUAUAUCUUACGCCGCUGGAGGAAAAAUGCUGAAUAUGGUCUGCCUCUUUAUUCUGAAUCAGGUGGCAGCCCUCAAGAAGUUAAUGCCUCAAUGGUAUGGAGUUUGAGGGAAGAAGCCUGUAAAUACAUAGAUGCUGGGGCGACAUCUCUUGAGAAGCACAAAGUUGCCUAUGAAAUUUUGCAUGAAGGUAGAUUAAGGCUUGGUGGCCCCCCAAGGUAGGUGUUUGAAAACAAAGGUCAGUCAGUCCUAUUGAUAAAUUUUGUAGUGCUUCUUUGAUUUAUUAUUUUAUUCAGUUGGUCUCUGUUGUGUGAUGAAAGACUGUUGAGCCUUGGGUAAUCUUACAUGAUAUCAGAACAAUGUAAAUAUUGUAUUAUGCAAAUCACUUUUUUCUUUUUUGUCAAGUAAUCUAAUCCUAUAACAGUCAUUGUGAACGGGCUGGAGACAGUAAUUUUGCAAUUGCCAAGUUGGAUUAUGUAUCUUGUUUUGGUGCUUAGUUUUUAGUUUUCUUCAAACAAAGUUUAACAUUUUAUAAACUUCUUUAUCAGCAAGAGAGUGAGGAAAAGGGAGAAGAAAAAGAAAAAAAGAAAAAUAGGAUGGGAGAUAGAGAGAGAAAGGAGAAUAAAAAUGAAAGGCCAUUACUACAAGUUUGGCCAAUUGAAGAUAAAACACUGACAAAAAGAUCUUGCAAUGUUUCUAAUUAAGAAUAGAAGCUUGGGAAGUUAGGGCUUUGAAGAAAGUAAUAGUUUACAUGAAUAGAGAAGAAGAGGCUUGCAUUUGAGGAGUGAAGAUGGUGACAAGUAAUGCUCAGAGGGAGAAGUGAUAUAUGCUGGGCUGUGGUUUUGCAGUUUCUGCUUGGAUGACUGCAAAAGUAUCGUCCAGGUGGAUACUCUAUUACACAACUCCAGACAUGAGUGCUCGCUUGUAUAUUGAUUUCAUAAACUCUGAUACUGCUUUACUUCUUUCUAGUAGGUUUCAUAUCUGUGCCAUUUCUGAUGCUUGUGCUUAUUUAUGGAUUGUACUGUAUGUGCUUUAUUUAGAAUUGUUAACACUGAUUAAAAUGUUGAGAUUUCUUUUUAUUGAAAUUUUUAUAUUUAGAUGCGAAUUCUAUCAAAAAACAAACUAUCUUGCACACUAGUGUGAAUGUUUAAUGAAAUGGAUCUUAGAAUCUCUUUCUUUCUUUAUCUGUUAUCUUCCUCUUGUGCUUGUUUGAAUUGAACCGACAGUCCUUAUAUUAAGUUUAAUGUUGGGUUUCAUGAACUUUAGAUAACCCUUCCUUUAUGCAACCCUGUAUGCAGCUGACUCGUGUAUCAAGUCUCAACAAUCUCAAUGAUCAAGUACUUCAUGAGGAUUGAUGUGUCUUGCUGUUCUACUCAGGUUUUGAUUUAAGUACUUUCUUGGGGUUGUCUAGUGUAUUCAAUGACUUUUGGUAAAUUAUACAACUAUGAAUCUAAUAUGGAACCAGGGCGUUAUCAGAUUCCACAUCUUGCACUGUCAGCUUCUCAUUCUCUGAAGACAUGAUGAUGCAAUCCAGCAAAAGAAAAAGUUAUAUUUGAUCUUCCUUGACUCAUAAAUCAAAUUUACCAGGGGGAUAUAGCAGACAUACUUUCUUUUGCUUAUUUGCAUUAUCCAUAUUGACCAGACAAUGAGAAACCUGAAAUUCAAAGAUGUGGGCAGCUUAUUUUGGUUUUCUUUGAUAGAAGUUUAUACUAUUGCUGUUCAGUGACCUAGAGAUUAGUUUAUUGUCUUUUCAUGACUAUAGACUAGCAAAUCUAGUAGAAGCUACCACCCAAAACCAUUAAAUUGUUGUCAAGCAUAUGUUGCUUUCUCUUUGUGAAUUUGUUUCUAUUUAGAAACGGACAGAAUUUCAGAGUAUUACAGACCCAAGUAAAACAUCUGUAGUAAUGGACACUGAAGGCAUCCUUUCAAAGCUUGAAAUUUUUAGCCGGCUUCUUAACAAGCUCAUAUUCUUCUGAGUCUGAUCAUGUAAAUGUAGUGCUAGUAAUUUUAAAUAACUAACAAGGCAGUCUCAUCCUAACUUCCUAAGUUUAAAUGUGUGUCAUAUGUCAUUAUGAGGUGACACUGCAAUUCACUGUUUUAGCUCUUGUCCUUUCACCUAUUGAUCUCUAUGCUUAACUGACCUUGGAUAUAGCCCUUUAGGUAAACAAAGUCACGCUCAAACGAUGAUAAGUUGUUCACUGGGUUUGGUUUUAUGAGAACAUACGUUCAAUUCUAAACCAAAUGAACUUGUUUUUUUCUUUAGGUCCGAGUGAUGAACAAUCUCGGUUUUGAAGACAUUCUCUUAUGGUGUUUUGAUAUUUGUUCCCCUCCCUCCAUACUUUCGAUUUUCAAAGCUUUGUUUUACUUUUUUGCACUUUUGCUUCUAGUUACUUAAUAUAGGCCCUUAAAUUAGGCUCUAGGUAUUGGUAAUUGUUGCCUUAUUGCUUGAUAGGAAUUACAUGAAUAUGCAUAUCGAGUGUCAAGCAUGUGCAAUAGAUUCUGUCAUAGUGAUUAGUACAGGAAAAUGCAACUUUGCAGAAAUCCUGGGCGAAAUUGCUGAAGACCACUUUUGAACCUAGCUUAUUGCGUUUAUGGAUGCUGCAAAGUUUACUGGUUCAUCUGUGUCACCAGAUUCCAGAUUGCCCGACAUAAAUGCUCACUUGUAUAUUGAUUUCAUAAACUCUUAUACUGCUUUACUUCUUCCUAUUUGGCUUCUUAUCUGUUCCUUUUUCUGAUGCUUGUACUCAAUUAUGAAUUUAGUUGGAUAUGCUUUCUUUAGAAGUGUUAAAAUGACUAAAACAUUCAGAUUUCCUUAUAUUUCACCUUUAUAUUUAGAAGUGGGUUCUAUUUAAAAACAAAAUAGGAACUAUUAUGUGCGCUGAGAUGCAUAUGACUACCUUGCUGCACGCUAGUGUGAAUGUGUGAUGAAGUUGGUCUUAGUCUCUUUCUUUCUUUAUCUGUUAUCCUUCUCUUAUACUUGUUUGAACCGACAGUUCUUAUAUUCAGUUAAAUGUUGGAUUUAAUGAACUUCAGAUAACCCUUCCCUUAUGCAACACUGUAUGCAGCUGACUCUUGUACCAAGUUUCUCAACAAUCUGUAUGAUCAAGUAAUUUAUGAGGAUUGAUGUGUCUUGCUGUUCUACUCAGGUUUUGAUUUGAGUACUUUCUUGGGGUUUUCUAGUGUAUUCAAUGACUGUCGGUAAUUCAGUAUAUUUUCCCUCAAAGUUGUGAUUACAUCGGGCUAUAAUCUGGCCGUGGAGUACUAGUAAGCAAGUAGUAAGGUGCAUUUGAGAGCGAUCACUGACCCUCCUCAGGCGAAAUGGCAGCCUCCGCCAUGUGGUACUGCCGAUGUGUGCUGUGAUGCUUCAUGGACAAAGCUGGGGCCCUGUGGAUUAGGGGUAGUUUUCAGAUCGGAUGGUGGUGAGCUUCUGGAUUGUGUUUCGAAAGAUUGUUGCUGCGGGUCUUCUUCUUUAGCUCAAGCUCAAGCUCUCUUGCUGGGAGUGGAAAGAGCGACUGAUCUAGGCUUGAGAAAUAUCCUUCUACGCUCUGACGCUUUGGAGGUCAUCUCCAACAUUCAAGAUUUCCCUGCAUGCAACGAUUGGAGAAUAUUUCCUAUCAUUUCUGAGAUUAGGAAAAGGAGUCGGUUUUAAUUCUGUCACCUGGGAUUGGAUUUUCCCCGUAAAGCGAAUCAAGCCGCUCAUGUCGCGGCUUCGCUUGCCAAGUCGAGGUUGGGUCUUCACAGAUGGGCUUCAGUGCCUCCACCCUCUCUAUCUCUUGUUCUUCAUAACGACGGUCUGCCUUGCCCGCCGUAGUCGGAAAGUGGAAACGGGAGUGGCGUAAUUGCUGCUUCCUUUUUUUGCUGAGGUGUUUCUGUCUAGUGCUAGUUGUUUGUAUGAAUUAGCAGAUAGAACUUCUCUUAUGUAUUACAGUUUCGAGCCUGGUGCGCUUUAGCUGUUUGCCUCCUUAAAUGAAUUCAUCAUUAUCCAAAAAAAUGAAUCUAUUAUGGAGCCAAUGCAUUACCAGAUUCCAUAUCUUGGAGAAAUUUUUAAAUGCUACGGGAGGACCACGUGGCAGUCUGAUGUGGUCCUACGUUUCAAUCAAAUUUAGAUAUGUGGAUUUUUUACAACUAAAAUAUAAACAAAUAUUUUCUAUUUUUUGUGAAAUGACAUUCAUGGGUAUUUAGCAAGUUCAAACUAGGGUCUAGGGUAUAAGGUUUAAAGUUUAGGGUUAGGGUUUAGGGUUUAGGGUUUAGGGUAUAGGGUAUAGGGUUUAGGGUUUGGGGUUUAGGGCUUAGGGUUUAGUAUUAAAAAACAACAGAAAACCUAAAAUGGUCUUUGACAAAAUAGCUGAAAUAAUUUUUCGUGAAGAAAAUCUACAUGUCUAAAUUUGAUUGGAAAGUAGAACCACGUCAGAUUGCCACGUGGUCCUCCCGUAGCACUGAAAAAUUUCUCCGCAUCUUGAACUGUCAGCUGCUCAUUCUAGGCAUUGAUAAUGCAAUGAUUGCAAUCCAGCAAAAGAUAAUUUAUAUUUGAUUGCUUGACUUAGAAAUCAAAUUUACCUUGUGAUACAGCAGACAAACUUUCUUUAAUUUGCAUAUUUGCAUAAUCAGACAAUCAGAAACAUGAAUUUCCCAGUUUGGUUUUUUAUUAGUAAUUCUAAAUAACUAACAAGAUAGAACUCACUCUCAUGCUAACGUCCCAAGUUCAAAUUUGUAUCAUAUGUCAUUAUUGCAAAUCACCGUUUGUCCUUUCACCUAUUGAUCUUUAUGCUUGAUUGACCUUGGAGGUGUAGCCCUCUAGGUUAACAAACAAUGACAAUUCACUAGGUUUGGUUUUACAAGGAUAUAUAUGUUCAAAUUACAAACAAAAUGAGCUAACCUUAACCGACGUUUUUCUCUUCGAGGUCUGAGUGAUGAACAAUCUUCGCUUUGAAGACAUUCAAUUCAUUACUUUUCCUAGCUUAUCAUGAAUUAACUAAAGCGGCCAUCUUUAUUUAUAUAAAGUAAAAAGAUCGUAAACCUACGUACUCUACAAUGCAAUGCAAAUAAACGUACCAUAAAUAACUCAUGCGUACGUAUUCUUUUCUUUCACUAAUCAUUAAUUUAAUCGAUGUAAAUAAUUCAAUGUAUCAUUUCACACAAAAAAUCAAUUCAAUGUAUUUUUUUCCCAAUAACAACAAUUCUAUGUUUCUCUGGCCAGGAAAAUAGCAUCCUUUUCUGCCAAGAUACAAUUCCUUUUAUGGAUUUCUCAAUUUAUGUUGACCCUCACGUCUUCACUCCGAAUUCCCUAUAAAUUGAUCUCUAUGCCAAAAUUAAAGUGCGCGACUGAAACCCUAAUAAGGGUUACAUCAUAUAUAUCCAAAUUAUCCUCAUCAUCCUUUUCCCUAAACCCUUUCACAACCAUCAUCGAUCUAUAAUGGUUAAGAUAAAGAUGGUGGUGAUAGUAUCAGAGAGCCUCAAAAGCCCUCAUAUUAUCGAAUCUAUGAUUUACCAAAGGUACAUAGGUUAUGGAUUCAAAUCCCUAGCACAAAUUAGUGUGCUAUUGUAGAACCAAUAUUUUGUACCAUUCAUGUAAGCCUCGUCCUUCUCACCCGAAAAUCAGUGUACGUGACCAACUACGUACCCAACACAUACCGUUUUCUUUAAAAUUUUCAUCCAAUUCUCUAAGUUGUAUUGGGAACUAGAAACUGGCUACUACCAACGAAAACCUAGACAAGAAGUUGAUAUUAACAGGACGAUGCACAUACCAUUCACGGAUCAAUGAUUUACCAGACGCGGACAUCUUACCGGAGGAAAUGAAUUUAAUUUAGAUUUUAGUUAUAGCUGUAUGGAUACUUAGUGACUUAUUGUUGAUUCCUGAGCUAUAAAUAUGUUGUUGUUGAAGGCUCAUUUGGUUAAUUAUAUAUAAGUUUGUGAUUAUUGUGUGAUCAAUCGAUGAAUUACAAUAUUUCUUUCUUCACCGGCAUUGUUCACGCAUCAUUUUCCUUCUCUUGAGUAUUUCAGUGAGCUAAUAUUUGUUCAAGCCAAUGCACAAAUCUUUUAUAUUAGCUUUUAUAGAUCAGAGAAGGAACAUGGACACAAACUUGAUGCACUACUAAACAUUCACAAACUUGACUAUGAAUCUUAUAUGGAACAAAGGCAUUAUCAGAUUCCACAUCUUGACUUGUCAGUUUCUCAUUCUCUCAAGGCAUUGAUAAUGCAAUCUAGCAAAAAAAAAGUUAUAUUUGAUUCUUACUCAAAAAUCAAACCUACCUUUUGAUGUAGCAGAUAAAUUUUGUUUUGCUUAUUUGCAUCAUCCAUAUUGAUCAGACAAUGAGAAACUUGAAUUUAUGUUUGGUUUAUUUUGAUUUAAAGAUGUGAGAAGCUUAUUUAUACCCAUAUUUGUGUAGAAACAUGCUGGUAAAGAGAAAAAAAUAUCACCAUGGCAACCCAACCCGACCAUUUCCUCCACCUUUAACAAGUCCAUGGGAUGAACUUUAUGAAAUUAUCAACUAGCUGCACAGGAUAUUGGAUCAACAUGUUUCAAGAUCAAGUUCGUCUGCACAAAACCUUGUGGUCUAUGAGUAGUUGACUAUACAAAGCUAUGAUCUACUAGUUUUUUUAAUACUCACUAUACCCGUAGUAAUCCGCUUUUUAUAGUUGUGAGAGUUUGAUCAUGUAAAAGAUAUUAGUAAUUCUAAAUAACUAACAAGGCAGAGCUCACUCUCAUCCUAACUUUCUAAGUUCAAUUUGUGUCAUAUGUGGUUAUGAAGAGACACACUACAAAUCAUCGUGUCUUGUCUUGUUCUUUCACUCUGUUGAUCUCUAUACAUGAUUGACCUUGGAUGUAAUCCUCUAGAUUAACAAAGUCACGCUCAAACAAAACGUAGUUCACUCGGUUUGGUUUCACGAAGAUAUAUGUUCAAAUUCUAAACCAAUUUAUCUGACGUUUUUUCUCUUUUAGGUAGUGAUGAACGAUCAAUCCAUGCCUUGAAGAAAAUCUAUUCAUAUUUUUCCCUGGUUUAUCCUGAAAUUACUAAAUCAAGAAUUUUUCUUAUAUAAAGCAAAGAUCGUAAAGUUACGUGCUGUAUAACUCAUUCCACAUUAAUGUACCAUAGAUACACGUAUGUAUUAUUUUGUUCUGUUAAUCAUUAAAUAUAAAGAAAAAACUUCCAUCCAAACUAGGUUGGAUGCUCGCAUCUGAACAACAUAUAUAUUUGCAUAUGUUUGGCAAUAUAAAUUCAUGAUCUAGUCGUCCAACCUUCAAUAAUCAUCUUAGCAAAAAGAAUUAAAGAGAACAGAUUUUGUUUACUUGAUCAGUAACAUCAAACUAAUGUAUGGUUGGCCAUGACACUGCUAACUCUCACUAGAACUGUUCGUUUGAUCACUUUGAUGCUAUUGAAUAAGAAAGCGAUUUCUAUUUUCUUUGAUUUUUGGCCGAUGAUCUUUAAAUGUUGACUUAAUGUAUGAAUGGUUAGAUCAUGGAUUUACAUUGCCUAACAAAUGCAAAUAACAUAAAGUUUGAAUGAAAGCAUCCAAACUAGUUUAAAUGCAUGUAUUUUCCGAAAAUAAUUCAAUGUACGUACUAUAUCACUUCAAAAACAAAAAGACAAUUUAAUGUAUUCUUUUCUCAAUAAUUCUAUUUUCAUCUAUGGGCUGUGGCCAAGAAAAUAAACUCCCUUUAAUUUCUAGAGAAAAUAAAAUUCCUUUUCUGGAUUCUCAAUUUAUGUUGAGACAACUAUUGCUUCCAGAACCUCUCAUCUUCACUCCCAAUUUCCUAUAAAACACGCGCUCCCUAUGCCAACACUAAAGUCUACGACUAAAACCCUAACAAGGGUUACAUCAUAUAUAUCAAGAUUAUCCUCAUCAUCAUCUUUUUCUAUAAACACUUUCAUAACCAUCAUCGAUCCAAAAUGGUGAAGAUGAAGAUGGUGGUGGUGAUAGUACCUGAGAGCCUCACAUAAGCCUCGUUUUAUCGAAUCUAUGAUUUACCAAAAGUGCAAAGGUCGUUCUGGAUUCAAAUCAAUAGCACAAAUCAAUGUGCUAUUGCAGAACCAAUAUACUGCACCAUUCAAGUAAGCCCUCGUCAUUCGCAGACGAUUCGCCUCCACAACCCAGUGUGAGAAACUUCCCAGCCCUGAUCUUUUAUUUUCAGAAUUUCUCUCAGUUGUAUUGAAAACUGGAUUCUGACUGCUAAGAGUUGAACACCAAUGAGGACCUAGACAUGGAGCUGAUAUUAACUGGAAGCUGCACAUACCAUUCAUGCAGCGAAUCAAUGAUUUACCAGACAAUGAAUAUCUUACCGGAGGAAGAAUAAAUUUAGUUUAGAUAUUAGUUAUAGUUGAGUCACUUGAGUGGUUAGCUUUGUGACAUAUUGCUGAGCUAUAUAUAAAUUUUUUGUUGUUGAAGGCUAAUUUGGUUAAUUAUAUGUAAGUAUGUGACUAUAUCAUGUUAUGCAUCAUUGAAUUAUAAUUUUUAUUUCUUCACCGACAUUGUUCACACAGCAUCUUCCUUCUCUUGAGUAUAUCAAUUUUGUCGAUAUUUGUUCAAGCAACAUACAUAUCUUUUUGUGUUAGUUUUUUUUCAAUAUAAGAGGAUAAAUAUGUACACAACCUUGAAGAAUGAUGCACUGACCAUUCACAUAUAGCCUCAUUUAUGCUAAGUAGUAGUAUAUAUAUUUCUCUUGCUUUUGAUUAGUUGGAAAAAAUGAAAAGUAACAUUAUCUAGUCUCUACCCAUGGAUUUAUUGUGAUAUCUACGAAAGAAUUGCUAUCUUAAAUUCUUAAUUCCAAGUGGAUGAUCUCUUGAGCGCUUAAUGUACUUCUACCUGUUUGCUUUAGAAUCAUGAAAUUGCAAUGCAAAGCAUGAGACAAGUUAAGCUAUCAAAUGAAUGAAUAUUCUCAUAAAAAGGGAUUCUUUAUUUUUAUUGAAUGGUGAGUUGGUUUUCAUUGUGUAUUUCUGACAAGAAAAGCUUGGCAUCUGCAAGAACCGAUUUCUUUGCAUCGAUCUGUUGUCAGUACAUAGUAAAUCGAUUUCCUUUUCUGUACUGUGUUUCGGUGUGUGUGUGUGUACACAUACACCAAUGUUUUCACAGGCGCAUAUAGUCCACUCGAUUUGGUUUCACGAGGAUAUAUGUUCAAAUUCUAAACAAAAUUUAAGUGACAUUUAAUCUCUUAUAGGUUUGGGUGAUAAACGAACUCCGCCUUGAAGAAAUUCUAUUCAUAUGUUUCCUUUGUUUAUCUUGAAAUUACUUAAUCGGGAAUAUAGUCCACUUGAUUUGUGAGAGGAUUUAUUUUCAAAACUCUAAACCAAAUUUAUGUGACGCUUUUUCUCUUCUAGGUUUGGGUGAUGAACGAUCUUCGUCAUGAAGAAAUCCUAUUUGUAUGUUUCCCUCGUUUAUCCUGAAAUUACUUCUUCUUUUUUUGAAUCAGAGACGAAAAUUUAUUGCAGAACGACUAAGGAUUACAAAGAGAAGCAAUUACGUCUCCUAACUCAGUUGGAACAAAACCAAACCAACGAAAAGAAAACCCCAAACGAAGAGCCAAUUUUGCUAGCUUAUUAGUAGCAGAGUUGGUUUCCCUAAAAAUAUGUGAAAAGAAAGAACAAGGCAUAACAGAAAGCUCAUCCUUAAUAUCCCGACUACCUGACCAAAGGUCGAGUCAUCCUCCAUACUAGAUGAACAAGUCUUGACCAACUUCAAACAAUCAGACUCGAAAAUAACAGGAGAAAGGUUAAACUCAGCAGUGAGUUCACAUGCUGCUCUUCCUGUUAGAACUUCAACAGUAUCCGGCGAAGCUACAUUGUCCACUUUCAUACAGAUACCUCCCACUACAUGUCCAUCUGAGUCCCUUAACAGGACACCGAUCCCUCCUUGUUUCAUUUCAGCUUGAAAAGCUCCAUUAAUAUUAGCUUUAAGCCAUCCCACUGGAGGAGGAGUCCAAGGUUUAAACACUCGUCUCCUACACACCCUCUUCUACCUAACCGAGUACAACAAAAGAAUAAAAGAACGAACCUGAUAAAACACUUUGUUCAUGUGGUUCACCUUAUUAUCCCACAAUCUGGAGUUUCUUUCCUUCCAUCCAGCCCAAAUCAUAACCAGCAGUAGCUGGAAGUCAUCAACUGGAAGCGACACAGAGCAAGCAAUGAGCCAGUCCGACAUUGAAAUUGGUUGGAAAGCACUUCGAAAUAUUCCAUGCAGCUCUGGGAACAUUUUAGCAAGGUCUCUAAUAAAACAACAAUCUCUACUCACAUACUCACAUGCUCAAUCGAUUCAGUAUCCUCAUUAAAAAAGAAACAACCACCCCCAAUCAUAACCUUCUUAGUUCGAAGCAUAUCAACUGUGGGUAGAAUUAAAGAACAAACUCGCCAUAUAUGAACUUUAAUUUUACCUGAAACACCCAAGUGCCACAACUUCUUCCAAAAACAUGUGCUCACCGUCUGGUUCGAAGCCGAAUGGGUAAUUUGAGAUAAUUGGCGAGCUAGUUGGUAUGCAGACUUUGUUGAAAAUCUGCCUCUUGAUUCAAAAUGCCAUAUAAGCUUGUCCUGGGAAUUACGGUGCCGAAGUGGAAUAGAAGCAAUCAUAUUGAGGUCUUCUUCUUCAAAAUGUUCUUCCAAUAAAGGAAUAUCCCAUUUUUUAUCAACAGUAAUAAACUCACUAACCUGAGAAAGGCGAGUACUACGUCUGCUAAGUGGCCCAAAAUCAUGGACUCGAGGUAACCAAGGAUCAUUCCAAGCAUGGACGGUCUACCAUCCCCAAUCUGCCACUGAGUACCAUUUGCAAGAAGAUCACGAGCCUCAAAGAUGCCCUUCCAACACUGAGAUGGAGAUGUCGGGAUGGGAGCUGACUAGAAAUCAUUAUCCGGGAAGUACCUGGCUUUAUAAAGCUGCCUUAGUAAUGAUGAAGGGUUCUUCACUAGUCGCCACCCCUGUUUCGCCAUUAAAGCAAGAUUAUGGGCAUAAAGAUCUCGAAACCCCAUUCCACCCUCCUCCUUAGGUCGACAUAAUUUAUCCCAAGAUAGCCAAAGAAUUUCGAUCAGUUGAGGUACUACCCCACCAAAAUUGGGCACACAUCUGAUAUAAAGAGUGGCAAAAAGAUUUAGGCAGCAAAAAACAAUUCAUUGUGUAAGAGGGCAAUGCCUGCGCUAUAACCCUUAUCAAGAUAUCCUUCCCCGCUCCACUCAAAAGCUUCCCUUGCCAUCCUUCCAGCUUAUUACUUAGCUGUUCUUUAAUAUAAGAGAAGGUUUCGGUCUUAUUCCUUCCCACCACCGUCGGUAACCCUAAAUAUUUUCCAUGCUUCUCAACAAUUCCAACCUCAAGAAUACCAGCCAAUUCAUUGCGAAUUUCAUCAGACACACCCUUUCUAAACACAACAUCACUUUUUGCUAAAUUUACCUGUUGACCAGAAGCUGCUUCAUACUCUGCUAACACUAAUUGAAUAGUAAGACACUCAGCUGAUGAUGCUUUACUGAACAAUAAACUAUCAUCUGCAAACAAUAAAUGAUGAAUGGUAGGAGCACCUGGACAUAUCUGGACACCCUGUAAUAAUCCCAUCGAAGCCUUCUUCUCUAAAAGAGCAGAGAACACUUUGACACAAAGUAGAAAUAAAUAGGGAGAAAGUGGAUCUCCUUGUCUGAGACCCCUUGAUGGUUUCAGAGACCCACAAGGUUUCCCAUUGAUCAAAAAGGAAUAGUUGACGGUGCUCACACAUUGCAUGACUAAUCUGACCUAAUUCACGUUGAACCCAUGCUGAGUAAAACAGCUUCCAGAAAGACCCAUUCCAUUCUAUCAUAUGCUUUACUCAUGUCCAAUUUCAGAGGCAUAACUCCAUCUGACUUAGCUGAAUUAAUAUAAUGGGAAACUUCAUUAGCAAUCAAGGAAUUAUUAGUGAUUAGCCGACCUGGAAUAAAUGCGUUCUGGAUGGGAGAAAUAAUAACUAAGAGGUGCUUCUUCAGCCUAUUAGCGAUCACCUCCGAGCAGAUUUUAUAAAGCACAUUACACAAGAGCUCAGAAACCUUUGCCGGAUUAGGAACCUUCGGAAUAAGACAUAUAUGCGUAUAGUUUACUUGGCGCACUAACUUGCCAGUAUGCAAACAACUUUUCACUGCCAGACAAACCUCAGGUCCAACCACAUCCUAGUACUUCUGAAAAAAUUCUGGAGGCAUACCAUCCGGCCCUGGUGACUUCGUAGGGUACAUUUGGAAAAGACCAGCCCUAAUCUCAUCAUAUGUACACGAUGCACAUAACUCCAAAUUCAUUUCAGUGGGGUUACCUUCGGGUUAAGAAAAUUCACUGAAGCUUGCAUCCGAACAGUAUCUAUGGAAGCUGAAGUGCACAUUGAAUCAAAAUACCUCAAAAUGACAUCUUCCAUACCUUUCGGCGUUGGUUGCCAAACACCAUUGAUAUCAUACAAGCCUCGGAGUCGAUUCUUAGCUCUUCUAUUCGAUGCUUUCUGAUGAAAGUACUUCGUGUUUUUAUCACCUUCUGUAAGCCAAGUAAUCUUAGCCCGCUGCUUCCAGUAAAGUUUCUCCUCCUCCAGUAAACUCUCCAAUUUCCCAGAGAUCACCGAGUGUUCCUCCAAGUAACGAGGAAUGAGUGGCAAAUUCAUUAAUUCCUGCAACCUACCACUCAUCAACUCAAUCUCCUUCUUACGAUUACCAAAAGUGACUCUCUGCCAUGAAUUCAAAGCCAUCCUCGUUGAAGCAAUCUUCGCCAUAGUCUAAAACAUAGGCAACCCCUGCGCCGACGAGGACCAUCCCGAUUAAACCACAUCCCUACAACCAUCAUGCAGCGUCCACGUCGAUUCAAACCUAAAUCGAUACUACACAAACUCUCUGCUUGUGGGAGGAGACUCAUAAACUCCAAGAAGAAUAGGAGUGUGGUCGCCAUGAAUUGGUGGCAAAUGUGUAACCACUGAAGCUGGAAAAAUAUCAAGCCAUGAUGGUGUCGCUACUGCCCUAUCCAGCCUACAGCGCACCUCCCCUCCUUUCCAUGUGAAUGGUGCACCUGUAAAGCCUAAAUCGAUGAGUUCAACAUCGUCCAGAGCAGUUUGAAACUGAUUCAUCUGUGCCCAGCCUCUAGCGACACCACCAUCCUUCUCAAAAUCACUCACAAUCUCGUUAAAAUCACCUAUAAUGAUCAAAGGCAAGUCAGAGUGCUCAGCCAAUUCCUUCAACAAAUCCCAAGACAGAUGACGAUCCCCUGCUGUGGGAUAACCAUAGAACCCGGUAAGGCGCCACUGAAUGCCCGACCGGUCCACCGCAAAAACUUCGACAUCAACGUGGUUCUUUGAUCUCGACAGAAACCGAAUAUCUAACCCAUCUUCCCAGAGGAGGGCCACCCCACCAGACUGUCCUUCACUGAACACCACCUCUCCAUUUCGAAACCCUAGUUGCAGUCGCAAAGCGUUGAGAUAGCUUCGAUCAUGGAUUUUGGUUUCGGAAAGAAAAACUACUGAUGGUUUCUUCUGCCAAAUAAGGGUUUGUAGGGCUUGAACGGCUCGAUCGUUGUUCAUGCCCCGACAAUUCCAAGCCAGGAUCUCCAUAGAUCGAUGGUUGGGGGUGCUAAAACGAGAAACCCUAGCAGAGCAAGGGAGACGCAUUUCUCUCAACUAUAGAGACAUAAUAAAAUGUGCUAUCCUGAAAUUACUUAAUCGAGAAUCUUUUCUUAUAUAAACAAAGAUCAUAAAGUUACGUGCUCUAUAACAUAUUCCACAUUAAUGUAUCAUAACACUGUCCACAUUAAUGUAUCGUAGAUGUACAUAUGUACUUUUUUGUUCCGUUAAUCAUUAACUUAAGACAAAAAUUAGUUCGGGUGCUUGUGUCUUAACUCUAUCAUAUUUGCAUAUGUUUGGGCAGUGGCGGAGCCACAUUGGGCAUAGUGGGUCUCGUGUCCCACUGAAUAUUUCAGAUAAAUAGUGUUUUAGUUACCACAUAUUGCAUAUCCUUCUAGUAGUGCAGCGGUUAGGGUGUUUCUUCCUUAGUUUUCUGUACUUUAUUAUAUAUUAUCAAUCUUUUGAUUCUCUUGGCUUCCUGAAGCAAUUUCUUUAUUUAUAUUCUAAAAUGAUUUAUUAAGAUAGACAUUUUAUUAGUAUAGAUAGAAGAUUGUUCUAAAACGAUUUUAGUAGAUAAAAAUUUUAUAUGGAGAUUUCAUAUAUUUCGAUACUCUCAAUUUUGUACUCUCAAUUUUGUGCUCUAGUAAGCUUCAAAUUCUGGUUCUGCCACUAUGUUGGGGUAAUGUAAAUUCUAAUCAGCUCAGCAACAAAAUAUUAAAGAAAACAAAAAUUGUUUACUCGAUCAAACUAAUGAACAGUUGGUCAUGAGGCUUCUAACUCUCACUAGAACUGUUCGUUUGAUGGUAUAUAUUGAGCAAGAAAUCGAUUUUUAUUUUCUUUGAUAUUUGCUAACGAUCUUUUCAUGUUGACUUAAUGUGUGAACAGUAUCAUGGAUUUACAUUGGCCAACAAAUGCAAAUAAUAAUAAAAAUAAUAAUUUAGAAUCAAGAAGUCAAUCAGAUUUAUAGCUCAGCAAACAGUACAAUGAAUAAAACACCUACGCCACACGCGCUUAACCCUACGCCACACGCGCUUAACCCUAAGACUAUCCCCGUCGAUAUUUCACAUAUUCUCGUCCGGCUGCGCGGCGGCGCUCACGCUAGCCUCUGGCCUCGCCAACGUUGCCAAAGGGCGGCUGGACGGGAUUCAAGUUUAGGAGCAUGCCCAGGUCGUUGGUCGGGGCUGAGAAAAGUUUUGGUUUCAUGGUUUUUGGUGAAUACAGUGUCGACACAAACAGGGAUUGGAGGAAUUUUUGAUCGGAUCUUGUUGCAAGCAUCGGUGAGGCACGAUCUGGGUUGUGGGUUUGUGGUUGGAUCCAUUUGGAUCGCACUGUAAUCUCACUGUUAGAUCGGAGACCCGUAUCAGUUCAUGUUGUAGAGGAAGAUGGAAAUUUUGCUCGUGGGUUCUAGAGGUUAGGGGUUGUGGUUCUGGUUUUGUGGCGACGAGGCCCAGUCGGCAAUGGAGUUUUGACGAUGGUCGGGACUCGACUGAGAUGACAGCGGCAGCGCGACGGACAUGCAGGAUCGGUGGUGGUGGUGGUGAUUUGGCUGUGUGUGCGACAUCUGGUUUGGGCUGGGAUCAUGGACCAGAUCUGUUUGGUCUCCAUCCAGCUUUGGGCUUGCUCUAGGCCUAAAGUAGGCUUAGGGUUUCACCCUGGGUCCAAAAUGUUUUAUUUUUUCUAGUUUUUAUUUUUGUUAUGUUCUAUUAUUAUUAGUUUUACUAAUAACUAGCUACCUUUUAUGGGUAGAACUAAAUGGGUUUGGUCCCGGUCUAUGCACCUCAUGUGCCUCAAUUGCUCUAAGUAGGCGACGAUCUGUUAAAUGGUUGGUGCCGCCUAGUCGCAGGAUGAGACUAAGUGUCGUUGGGAAUAUUUUCCAGCGGCAACAUAGUAGGGAAACUGUAUAAUUGGACAUUAGGAUAUGUAAACGUGUUACAUAUCUAGCAAUCUUUAAACGUGUUACAUAUCUAAACGUUUACAUUAGGAUAUGUAAACGUGUUACAUAUCUAGCAAUCUUUCUAUUAUGUCACUGCUGUGACAAAGCAAAUAGAGUCAUCAUUAGUGUAGUACUUUUUGCUAGUUGAUGUUUGUUAGGAUACGUGUACCUUAUAGAGUUACUCGAUAUUAUUUUGGGACUUUGUAACCCAAGGUUUAGGCUUUAUGUCCCCCCUCUUGUAUUCUACAGUUUCAUCAAUGAAGAUUUAAAGGCGGCCGCAUCAACCCUUUAUUCAAAAUAAUAAUAAUAAAACACUCGUAGGGCCGACAAUAAAAAUUACUCCCUAUGAAUACUAAACACCUAGCUGCAACUAGGUCCCUAACAACCAAAAGUACAUUCACCUUCUAAGACAGUUUAUAACAGAAAGACCCACUUAGAAGCUGGAACAAAAAGUAACAACCAGUGAGUCAAACUACCCUUGAGUCCCGCUUACGCCUUAGUUUGGACAAUAAAGACCCAGUCCAGCCAGGACCACAACAAAAGGAAGCCCACUGCAAGUUUCUGAACCCUAGCAGACCCAAAGGUAAGAGAGAGCCAAGGUCCACCAAACUCAAGCCCAUCAGAAUCCACCAAGACUUGAUCUGAUUUCCGACUCCACCAAGCAAAUCCGAAUUCAAAUCCCUUCAACCCAGGUUUCAGUCCCUGCCAUUCCAAACACAUGCCGAUGACCCAGAGGGAAUCAUAUCCUCCACUAGACCCACCGACCAGGAGCGCCAGAUCUGAUCGGAGAGAAGUCACCCUAUCCUAUCCUUCGUAGCCACCCACAAGCAAUCGGGUCAUCAACCUCAUCCAGCUGAUGUGAUCCUCCAUCGAGAUCCCUACCCGAAUCCCAGUUUUCCUAAACUUGAUCGAGUACCAAAGCAAUCCCAUUCACCAUCUUCUCAAUCUCCUUCCCAAAGCCGAGAAGAGGAAAUCCGCCAAUGAGCGAGGAAGCCUGACGUCGGCGAGAGCUCCUAAUGGCCUCUUCCCCCAACCCCCUCCAAAAUGAGAAAGCAUUACCAGAAGAAAAGUUUUAGCCGACGAAAAAAAAAAACCAGGCCGACGAACCAUUUUUUCGUCGGCUAAAGUCUACUUUAGCCGACGAAAUUUUCCUUCGUCGGCUAAAUUAAAUUUUAGUCGGCUAUGGUAAACUUUAGCCGACGAAAUUAAGAUGUCGUCGGCUAAAGAAUUUAUUUCGUCGGCUAAAGUUCACAGACUAUGGCUGACGAAAUAUUUAAAAGUUUAGCCGACGAAAUUAAUAUGUCGUCGGCUAAAGUGCUUUAUAUUUGCAGAUCUGGCCAGCAGCAGCUCAUCUGGGAAAAAAAACGGGAGAAAAAGUUUGGGUAUUGUCGAAAUCUGUCCAUAAUUAGUUUAUGGAGCUAUAUAUAGGUACGUACAUGUAUAUAUAUGUUGAUUAAUUGAGUUUUAUUUGAGUUGAUUNNNNNNNNNNNNNNNNNNNNAUAUAGUAUAUAUAUAUAUGUUAAUUAAUUUAUAAUAUUGUGUUGAUGGUAUAUAUGUCAAUGAUGUAUUUGUGAUGAUGUAGAUAUAUAUAUAUAUAUAUAAUAUUGUUAUGUAAUUAUUAAGUAUAUAUAUAUGUGUGUGUGUUAAUUAAUUUGUUAUUAAUUAGUUGUAGUACAUACGUAGAAUAUAUACUAAAUGAAUUGAGAUUUUAUAUAUGCAUGGCAUGAAAUUUCAUUAAUAAUUAGCUAACGUUAUACAUAUAUAUUUUGUUAUAUUUUCAGGAUAUGGAUAAGAGUUGGAUUUCGCUUCCAAAAUGGGAGAAAGUUAUGGUGCAGGAGUUAUGAGUUUUAUAGAAUAUGCGCUGGCUAAUGCUAACGGGAAUACAAUUUUCUAUUGCCCGUGCACGAAAUGUCAGUGUCGCAGCGAUAUGCAUCGAUUUCCCAUUGACAAAGUAUGACAACACCUGAGGAGUAACGGGUUUUGGGAGAAGUACACAUGUUGGUUAUAUCACGGUGAAACAUCAUUAGGGGGUCCGCAUGAUCAUGGCCAAUUUUCUGAGACGGGCAGUACUAGUACAUCCAACGAUCCAACAACGGCAUUCAUCAACAUGUUUCCUUAUGAAAGCGGUGUAUGCGCUCAAGAACAGUAUAUGUCUGACCCGGUGCAGCCCUUCCCUAGAGCUGUCAACAUUGCUGGUAUUGGAAAGUACAACAAACUGCUUGCUUUCCAACAUACCCCUGUGUACCCCGGUUGUCAGAAGACCGUUCUUGAAAGUGUGAUGGACGUAAUGAAGAUUAAAGUUGAGACAAAAUCGACCGUGAAGGCUGUUAAUAAUUAUCUACAGUACACUGCUUCGAUGCUGCCCCACGGUCAUCGUCUUCCUACCACUCAUCGUAAGGUCCGAUGUAUCCUGAAAGAUCUUGGGCUUUCCUACAUCAAGAUCCAUGCAUGCAGAUAUGACUGCGUUCUCUUCUGGGGUAAAGAUCCAGAAGGGAAUGACCUUGGUGGGCAUAACGCAUGUCCGGUAUGUCACACUGACAGGUAUAAGCUGACUCCUGCAGGCAAUAGGAAACCUGUGAAGGUACUUCGGUAUUUCUCGUUGAGGGAUAGGCUGGAGCGGCUGUACAUGUCUUCACACACGGCCAAAGCUAUGAGAUGACACGCUGAUAGGGAAUUGCAUGACGAAGAUACCCUUAUACACCUUGCUGACAAGGAGGCUUGGAAGCAUAUAGACAGGGAGUUUCCUCAUUUUGCGUCAGAGGUCCGAAAUGUGAGGCUCGGGCUCUCAUCCGACGGGUUCAACCCUUUUGGCAACAUGAGUCUUCAAUACAGUGUAUGGCCGGUGAUUUUGGUACCGUACAACCUUCCUCCAUGGAUGUGCAUGAAGAAGGAAUACAAUAUGUUGAGUUUGUUGAUUCCGGGGCCCGGUUAUCCAGGGAAGUGUCUCGAUGUGUAUUUGAGACUUUUGAUUGAAGAGCUUCAGUUUUUGUGGGACGUUGGUCAUCCUACUUAUGAAAAGUACAUGCACGAGAUGUUCCAGAUGCAUGUCAUGGUUGUUGGUACCAUCAGUGAUUUUCCUGCCCGUGGGAUGUUGUCGGGCAGCGUUGUUAAGAGAUACAAGGCUUGUCCAGAGUGCCUUAGCGAUGAGGGGAGCAGCAGUCAUUGCAACAAGAUAUGCAGAUUGGGUCACCGUGCUUUCCUUCCAUAUAAUCACGAAUGGCGGUUCGAUGACAAGGCAUUUGAUGGGACCGUAGAACACGGUGUGCCUCCCAGAAGAUGGACGGGGGAAGAAAUUUUAGCAGUGCUUAAUGAGUAUGANNNNNNNNNNNNNNNNNNNNAAGCCAUGCCGGUAGAUGUACCGAAGUUCAAUCUUUCCAUACUCUCUAGUGAUGUUGAAGUUUAUGGAAUUUUGCCAGACUCUUACAAGUUGCAACCGCAUGAGCUAGUCAUUGCCCACUGGUGGGUAUUGAUUAACUGUCCAGAAGUUGAAUAUUGGAAAGACAUCCAUCUAUAUUGUCCAGACAUUCAUGGUGAUCUCGAGUACCACAACAGGGAGUUCGCAAACUAUUUUGGCGGCUGGGUACGUAAUUCAAUAUUUCUGUACGUAUUUAUGUUUAUUGCAUAAUUAUCCAUAUUUACAAUGUUGAAUGGUUGGUUGCAGAUGAACCAUAUUCAAUUUGAUGGUCACCCAAAUUGGUCGCACGAACUAAGACUUCUAGCGAUGAAGCCGAUAAUGUCAAGAGUUUAUCCGAUGUGCAAGGUGAAUAGCGUGCAAUUUAUAUGUGAACAGAGAGACAGCAGAUGGAGAACAUAGAAUUCUGGGGUGAUGGUGCAUGGUGGGCGGAAUGGAGUUGACUAUUACGGUGUUCUCCAUUCAGUGGUGGAACUCGUUUACGGUGAAGGCAUGACAAUGCACCUCUUCAAGUGUAGAUGGUUUGAUACUAGCCCGCAGAGCAUGAAGACCGAUCAGUACGGAAUAUUAUCGGUGAACACUGCUACAAGUUCUUACGAAGAUGACCCGUUCGUUUUUCCCACAUCGGUAAAACAAGUGUUUUAUCUUGAUGACCUUGCUAAGGGUGACGCGUGGAAAGUAGUCAACCUUGUGCACCCUCGAAACAUUUACCGGGCGGCUACACUUGGAGAGGCCGAAGACCAGGAAGAAGAUGUUGCGUAUCAAGAGCCCAACGCAAUAGGUAUUCUUAACUCCUCUACCGUUCGCCUUAAUAAUUUUAAAGUGGGUCGUUCGGUGCGAAUUCGUGAUGAAGAGCCAAGGCUUAUUGAUGUUGAUCCAAAUCAAGAAACAGACGAAGACUCUGGCGAUGAGGAAAUGCAUAGAUUACCAGAAAUUAAUUCUGACACCGAAGAAGACUCAUUGGAUGAUUCCGAUUACGAGCCUUAGUUUUAAUUUAGAGGACGUAAUACAUUAAUUUGUAAUAAAAAAGAUUGUAUUACCUUAAUUUAUAGUUUACAUAUGUUGAAUUCAUAUUUCUGUUAUUUUAUAUGAAUUUUGGUGAUAUAUGAACAGGAAAUUAGUAUGGUUUAAACCUUCAGUUUUAGGGUUUGUAUUUUAUUACUUAAGCCGACGAAAUACGCAUUAAUUCGUCGGGCCAAACCAUCUUAACCGACGAAUUAUAUUAUAAGUCGUCGGUUAAAACCAUAUUAACCGACAAAUUAUAUUAUAAGUCGUCGGCUUAAACUAUCUUAGCCGACGAACUAUAUUAGAAGUCGUCGGCUAAACCCAUCUUAGCCGACGAAGUCAAUUAGAAGUCGUCGGCUAAAACCAUCUUAGCCAACGAAGUAUAUUAGAAGUCGUCGGCUAAAACCAUCUUAGCCGACGAAUACCCUACUAUUUCGUCGGCUUUAUUAAUUUUUUAUUUUUUAUUACAUACUAUAGCUGACGAAUGUAUUCGUCGGCUAAACCCUAAACUUUUUCUGUUACAUACUGUAGCCCUGCCCUAUCUUCGGUGGUUAUUUUGCGUAAAAUUUUUAUACGACUUGUUGCGUCUCAUCGAUUUGAAAAUAUUUUCAGUUGAAAGUCCAGCCAAAAUACGAAAUUUAGACGGUCCAACGACCUUUUUCGUGCAUUUAGGGGUUUGACUUACGGGAUUGACCGUCCGGAUCGAGCACUUCACCUUGUCGGAUCAAGUUGCAUUUUUUCCCAUACAUGUAUUUUAUCAUGAUUGUCAGAUCUGACCGUCGGAUUUCUGUUUCUCAAGUUUGAUCAUCAUAACCACAACAUGCCUACUAAUGUUGUAUAACUUAUUUACCAAGUGUUAAGUAAAUGUUCCGUUUCAAAAACAAACUAUACGUAAAACCUUCAAACGCAAAAAAGUCGUGAAAUAAGAUAUAACCAGAAUGGCGAAAUACGUCCACGGUUAAAAAAUCACAAUAUUCCGGUAAAGUUUUGGUGCCGAUAGUUGCGGUCAAUGGAAUUUUUCAUUCUUUCUCCCUAUGAGUAGCCGUAUCUUCGGUGGUUAUUUUGCGUAAAAUUUUUAUACGACUUGUUGCGUCUCAUCGGUGUGAAACUAUUUUCAGUUGAAGGUCCGGCCAAAAUACGUAAUUUACACAGUCCAAUGACAUUUUCCGUGCGUUUAGGGGUUUGACUUAAUGGAUUGACCGUCCGGAUCGAGCCCUUGACCUUGUCGGAUCAAGUUCAAGUGUUUUCCCAUACAUGUAUUUUAUCAUGAUGGUCAGAUCUGACGGUCGGAUUUUCGUUUCUCAAAUUUGAUCAUCACAAUCACAAUCACAGUUUGACGAAUGUAUAAAAAGUACUAUAGCUGACGAAUUUCAAAGGUUUAGCCGACGAAUUUCAUAGGUUUAGCCGACGAAUUUCAAAGGUUUAGCUGACGAAUUUUAUCUUAGCCGACGAGAUGAUUAUUUUAGCCGACGAAAUUAUUAUCUUUAGCCGACGAAAUAAUAAUUUCGUCGGCUAAAGUUUCGGGUAUAAGCCAGCGCUCGACUGGUUGAAAGCCCUAGCUUCCGCCUCCUCUCCCUCUCCGAAUUUCCCCUCCUCCGCCUCCGCUCCCUCUCUCGGUCGCCGCCCUCUCCCUCUCCCUCUCCCGGUCGCCGCCCUCUCCCUCUCCCUCUCCCGGUCUCCGCCUCCUCUCCCUCUCCCUCUCCCGGUCUUCGCCUCCGCUCCCUCUCCCUCUCCGGCCGGCCUCUUCCUCCUGCUCCGUCCGGCGAUUAAGUCUUCAUGCUCCUGCCGGCCUCCUCCUCCUCCGGCCUGCUCCGGCCGGCCGGCCUCCUCUUCCUCGAGUUCAUUUCUGAGCUUUAGUUUUAUUUUGUGUUUCCUUUUAUUUUCCGGUCAAUUGCAAUGUUGUGGUGUUGUUAGGAAGUGUAUAUUUGUAUUGAGGAAGUGUAUAUUUUUNNNNNNNNNNNNNNNNNNNNCACUAUAUAUAUAUAUAUAUAUAUAUAUAUAUAUCUCUCUCUCUCUCUCUCUCUCUCUCUUUUUAUUGGAUGGUCAUUGUUGGUUAUCAAAUUUGCUAGUUGGCAAAUUUGAUUCCCUGCUUGUGAUGCUUGUGAUGACUUGACACCAGCUUGAGAGAGGAUUAUUGCCACUUAAUCACUUACUAAUUUUCAAUAUAUCCUACCUUGAUGAGUUCAAAAUUAUUUUCUCCAAUAUCACAAAUUAUAAAAAGAAAACCUGAUUCUCUAAGUUUUAAUUUGUUAAGACAAAAUAUUUAAAAUCUCAUAUAUAGUUUGUGGAGCUAUAUAUAGGUACGUACAUGUAUAUAUAUGUUGAUUAAUUGAGUUUUAUUUGAGUUGAUUGAUUUUGAGUGUGAUUGAGUUGAUUGAUUUUGAGUACGUUGGAUGUGUAUAUAUAUAUAUAUAUAUGUGUUGAUCGAUUUCGUUGAUGAUUUGAUAAUAUAUAUGAAUUAAGUUGUUGUUAAUAAAUAGUAGAUAUAUAUAUAUAUAUAUGUUAAUUAAUUAUAAUAUUAAUGUGUUGAUAUGGUAUGAAGUUGUUGAUGAUAUAUAUGAGUUGAUGAUGAUUUUGUGAUGAUGUUGAUAUAUAAUAUUGUUAUGAUCGAGUUGAUUGAUUUUGAGUAUGUUGGACGUAUAUAUAUAUAUAUAUAUAUGUUGAUCGAUUUGGUUGAUGAUUUGAUAUAAUAUAUAUAUAUAUAUAUAUAUAUGAAGUUGUUUAUAAGUAGUAGAUAUAUAUCAUCCCCCUUCUAUUGAGGAAUCCCUAUUUUUGACCACUUUCUAGGGAUAGGGCAUUACACCACUUCCCAAUUGAAUUUUUACAUCUUCACCGUUCAUAUCUUAGGUCUAUAUGAGUAGAUCACCUCUACAAAAUUUCAUAUGAUUUAGUGAUCGUUAAGAUUUUCAAAAGUUUGAUUUAGUUUUAAUGAUUUUGAACGGUCCAGCUUAUGUCAAACUAAAACCGUUGAAGGUCAUUAAAACUAAAUUGAAUUUUUGAAAGCCUUAACGAUCAUCAAAUCAUAUGAAAUUUNNNNNNNNNNNNNNNNNNNNNNNNNNNNNNNNNNNNNNNNNNNNNNNNNNNNNNNNNNNNNNNNNNNNNNNNNNNNNNNNNNNNNNNNNNNNNNNNNNNNNNNNNNNNNNNNNNNNNNNNNNNNNNNNNNNNNNNNNNNNNNNNNNNNNNNNNNNNNNNNNNNNNNNNNNNNNNNNNNNNNNNNNNNNNNNNNNNNNNNNNNNNNNNNNNNNNNNNNNNNNNNNNNNNNNNNNNNGAAGCCAUGUCCCGGAUCGACACUUCGGAUCCGACGGUUGGGGCGAGGAUCAUGGGCACAGCCUUCCCACCGCGAGCAAACAACUUCUACUGCCGGGGUCUAGGAAAGAAGGGCGAGGGGGUCCUGAAGACCACUCCAGGAUUUCAACGAAAGGCAGCCUCGACCAGCAGCAGGACCACGACCACCAGGACGACUCAGCUGCUACAGUCGGAACUUCAGAGACUACGGGAACAGCAAGCUGCUCAUGUUACCUAUAAUGCAGCGCAGGCAACCUAUAAUGCCGCGUAGGCAGCCUAUAAUGCCGAGGUACAUGCCAUCCAUCAGGUCCAGCAGCGGCAGAUGUUCCAGUACAUGCAGGACUUUACAGCUGCCCAGCUCCAGGGACUUCUGGCUCCGCCCAUACCGCUACCCCAGCCGCCGCAAGCUCCGCAGCAGCCCCCAGAACCGGAUAUUAAUUUAGACGAUCUAGAUUUGGUGUAGUUGAUGAAUUAUAUACUUUUAUGUGCUUGUUGUUGGUUAUAUGGAAUUGUUUUUGUGUUUUUUGCAGCUUACUUGGAAUGGUAAUUUAAAAAUUUCGGGUUUUUUUUAAUACUGGAAUGGACUUAUAGCCGACGAAAUAAACCAUAAUUCGUCGGCUAUAGUAUUUUUAAUUAUUUUUUAAUAGGGUUUAGCCGACGAAUAAUGGAAUGUUUCGUCGGCUAAACCCUUAAAAGCCGACGAAAUACGGUCUAUUUCGUCGGCUUUAGUUAUUUUUUAUUUUUUUAUUACAUACUAUAGCCGACGAAUAUAUUAAGCGUAUCGUCGGCUAAAGCUGAGAGAAUAGCCGACGAGUUGUUUCGUCGGCUAUAGAUAAGAAACUAGCCGACGAGUUGUUUCGUCGGCUAAAGUUUAGAGACUAGCCGACGAAAAAACUCGUCAUCGGCUAAAGUCUGUAAGACUCGUCGGCUAAAGUCUGAGAGACUAGCCGACGACGUCUUCUGUCGUCGGCUAGCUAUGGGACAAUAGCCGACGACGGGCUAUAGUUUCGUCGGCUAAAGUCAUUGCCGACGAGCCUUUCCCGACGAAACUAUAGCCGACGAAGUCUCGUUGGCUAAGAUCUCAGCCGACGAAUUAAGCUAACAGGCCGAUAAAGAAUUUUCGUCGGCUAAAGUGCUUGUCCCGGUAGUGAAGCGAAGGGAGCUCCUCUCGCAUAGUCAGAGAUUCACAGUCGCCGGGUCAUAGUCGAAGGCUGCCGCUGACAAAAGUUUGUUCUUUUCGAAACCCUAGCAUAGGAAGCUAGAGAGCAAAGAUAUAUUUUUUUAGAAGGAAAUUACUUGAUAUUGCAAAUAAUAUAAAUUUGAACGAUAGGAUCCAAACUAGUUUGAAUGCUAGUAUUUUCCGAAAACAAUUCAAUGUACUGUAUCACUUGAACAAAAAAGAACAAUCCAGUGUAUUCUUUUGUCAAUAAUCUAAUUCUAUUUUUAUCUGUGGGCUGUGGCUAAGCAAAUAAUUACUCCCUUAGAAGAUAACAUGCUUUAUGCUCAGGCUUCACUGCAUUUAAACAGAUUCCAACCAUAGUCUUACAAGUAAGAAUCAGUUGUUCUAAGAGAGUAUUAUUGUUCGUCGACUAUCAGUUUCCUGAUACCAUUUUUUGUUUUGAUAUGAUUCAAUCUUUCAAAGUGAUUUUUGUAUGCAUUUUUGGUGCCUGAGCAGAUUGAAUUGAAAACUAGCUGAAACAAGUCUCACUCCAGUUGAUGUUUAAGCAACUAUUCACAUAUGCUAGUCUAGACAGGUUCAGGUAUCAAAAAUUAGUGGAAAGAGCGCUUGCAUUGCAUAGUGGAAUAGAAAAGAGAAUUAGACCGUUCCUUUUUGGCUUUGCUGUGGGUGAUUGGAAUUGAGCCAAUUGGCUUCAAGAAGAAUGGUAUAUUUCUCAGUGGUUAGUGAGUCUUAUUAUAGUGGUGAGUAGAGAAAUCCAGAAAGAGUGGUCAUGGAUAGUGACCAUGCCCGGACUUGAUAUGAGGCUGAGGAGUCAGCCGAUUCAAGGCGGGCCCAGAAAAAAAUUAACAAGUUUUCAUUAAUCAUCCUAUAAAUACUGUAAUCGAGCUCAAGUUUUGCCAAAUUAAAUUAAAAGAAAAUACUGACAUGAUGGGCCCAUACAAGUUCAACAAGUUAUAUAUAAUUAUAGUAUAUUUUAAAAUCUAUUGAAGUAAGAAACUUGUUUUUUUGAACAGAAAGAAAUUUGUUUUAUAAAUAUGAUUAUUAAAAUAUUAUCUAAAUAGGAUUACUAGAAUAUUUAGAUAUAAAAUUACUAAAACAUAGAGAGGUUUGGUAAUCUCUACAUAUAUUCGGAUAUUACAUGAAUAUAUUUUUGGAAAUUACAUGUUUGUUGUUUAUUAUUGUUAAUUAGCUAGUUCCUGAAAAACUUUUAUAAAGAAAAUGCAUUUAAUAAAAAAAAUGACACGAAAUGCACAUUAUGAUUUGAGGGCCCAACUUUUAGAGUUCGAUUCAGGCAUGAAAAUCUCAGGUCCGGGCCUGAUAGUGACAACUUGAUGAUACAUAUGAUAUUUAUAAGAAAUGCAUACCUAUGCUCUUAUUUCUUUUGUUUAAGCAUGUGGAAGCUUGUGGGACUACUGUUUUAAGAAGAAUUUGGUCUACUGUUUCUUUUUUCAGACUAAUACAACCAAAAUUGCUCUAUCAAAAAUGAAAGAACUCAGUAGGAUCUUUAUUUUUUGAUCGGAUUGAAGGUUAAUUAAUACAUUUUCUUCUAUGAGGAAAUGUAAUCGGUUCUAUAAUAUUUCCUAAAGAAAAAAAAACCCUAUUUUAAUCCUAUUAAAAAAAUCAUAUACAAGUAAAAAAUUUGUUUAUCGUAUUGGAAAAUGUAUCGCUUAUUAGUUUUUUUGUGGCAUAAAUGAGGUCAGAAAGUUCUUGUUCCAGAGCUUGUGGUAUAAAAGGAUUGAAUAUUUUUAUAUUUCGUGUCCUAUUUAGUUUAGAUCUUAUACUCUAGGAAAAUAAGAUUCAAGUUUGUACCCCUUAUUUGUAUAUACUCUUUCUAUAGUUAGUUACCGAUUAGUUUAGAUUACGUAAUCUACUGUUAUGAGUUGUAAAUGUGGAAUAGGCCUUAACACGCUCUACUAAUCAAAAUUUUCAGGAAUUUCUAGAUUCUGAGAACAAAAGGUUAGAGAGGUUCGGAGUAGUAUUUUUGCUUUCUGAAAUAGGAAAUCAUUUAAAAGCUUUUUGAUAAAUAGUAACAGCUACAGCUUUAAAAUGUUUCUUUUCUCCAAAAUUUAAAAUAAAUUGUACAAGAAAGAAGAUAGAGUUCAGAAAGUGUGAAUUGUACUACGCAUCUACGAGAUCGUAUAAAUGCUAAUUUUGUGUAGAGCAGAAGGGUGAAGUGCCGAAGUGCGAACUAUACAACUUAAACCAUAUUCUUCGUCUCCAAAAAUGCAAAGAGGAUUAUACCAUUGGAGACGCAAAGAGAAUUAAACCAUAUUGGUAACAUAGAAUUAAAUAUUAUCGUUGACUUUGACUUGGGUAUUCAGAUCCAACGGCCACUAUGAAAGCUGUGACAGAAUUCUCCGGUCAUUCUAGAAUCACCGCAUAAAAGGAAAUUUCCGAAAAACACCCCCAAGUCCCCAACAAACCCCAAAAGCCAGCGUUCUAUUCUCAUUCUCUCUCUCUCCCAAAUUCCCCUCUGAAAAUUCCGCAGAGAGAAAAAGCGAGAGAAAAGCCAUGAACACGAUGCACUACGCGGAGGUGAGCACCACCGCCGGCAAGCUCGAGGAGGUCGACAUCGAGUCCGGCGAACUCUUGUACCCCGGCAUCAGCAAAGGCGAGAAUCAGCUCCGAUGGGGUUUCAUUCGCAAGGUCUACGGCAUCUUAUCCGCUCAGCUUCUCCUCACCACCGCCAUCUCCUUCGUGACCGUCCUCUAUACUCCCGUCAACGACCUCCUCAAAGGCAGCCCUGGCCUUCUCUUGUUUUUCGCCUUCCUUCCUCUCGUCUGUAAGUACCCCUAAUUUCGUUUCCGAUUUGUGGUUUUAGCGAUUUUUUGUGUAAAUGUUGGUUCUGGUUGUGCGAGUUUGAGAUUAGAGGUUGUAGAUCAGGAAAGAAAUUCAGAUCUGAGUGUCUAUGUUUUACGAUUUGCGAUUUCAAGUGGUGUAUGUAAGCUUUGAUUGCGGUGAUUAGGUUAUAUUGUUUUAGACCGAUUGUAUUGGUUGCCUUGUAAAGAAUUCAAUUCUUGAAGGGAUUGAUACCUUGCUUGUUUGGUUCUGUAGGAUCAUAUUUUGUGGUUAGUGUUUAUCAUAUGCCUUGUAAAAUGCUUUGUUUUGAUGAAAUGUUUGCUAGUCGUGUUAUCAGUUGUAUUGGUUUGUUGUAUAAGAAUUCAAUUAUCAAAGGGAUUGAUACCUUGCUUGUUUAGGUCUAGGAUAAGAUUUAUGGUUACAGUAUAUUAUUCUGUGAAAGCAUGAUGGUUAUGUGCCUGGGAAAAUGCUUUGUUUAAAUACAGAACUCAAGAAUGGCUACUUUGGUAUAGAUUUAUGUUAUAACAGUGAUGUAAAGAACUGCAUGUGCUAGUUGUGUUAUCCAUUGGUUUCAUUGAUAGUUUUGCAUUAUCUUACUUUUGUGUUUGGAUUCUUUGCAGUGUUGUGGCCCCUUCAUGUGUACCAGCAAAGGCAUCCUCUGAACUUUAUCUUCCUUGGACUUUUCACUCUGAGUCUGAGUGUCACUGUUGGUGUAGCGGUUGCUAAUACUGAUGGUGAGUUUCAUUACUCUAUGUCGUGAUUGUAUUGGUGCCAUGUUACAAUUUGCUUUCAGUUAGGUUUUGUUUUGAGUUAACGUUGUAGGCUUUAUGCAGGUUUUUAUUUUUGGUAUAUGAGUUUAGUUUGUUAUAUUUGACAUAUUUGUCAUCUGAUUAUAUAUGUGCAUUGCUUGCUUGCAGGAGCGAUUGUGCUUGAAGCCUUGAUUCUAACCUCGGGUGUGGUUGCAUCCUUGACUGCUUACACCUUCUGGGCUUCAAAGAAGGGGAAGGACUUCAGCUUCCUUGGACCAGUCCUGUUCACUGGCCUCAUGGUUCUCCUCUUGACCAGCUUCAUGCAGGUCAGACUUCUUGCCAUGAAAUAGUCCUGUUUGUUAGAUUUUUUCAUUUGAACAUAUACCAUACUUUAAAUACAUUGAACUAUUUAUCUGACUUGGUGAUUCUCUGCUCUCAUGUAGAUGUUCUUCCCACUUGGUCCUACUUCUAAUGCUGUCAUUGGUGCUGCUGGUGCUAUUCUCUUCUCUGGCUAUAUAGUCUACGAUACUGAGAACCUCAUCAAGCGCUUUACGUAUGAUGAGUACAUCUGGGCCUCCAUCACUCUUUACCUUGAUAUUCUGAAUCUGUUCCUUACAAUCUUGCGGAUGCUGAGGCAGAGCGACUCUUAGUUUGCAUGCGGCGGACAUAAACUCUCUGCAGUUGUGGACAUAGUAUAUGUAGUCCAAGGCUAAAGUGGAUGUAGUAUAUUCUUUUCCACCUUUCUACUCUUAUUAGUUCUUUCGACCGAGUUUGCUGUGGGAUGUCAUGCAACUUCUAAGUACUGCAAUAUGACUUUGGCCAGACUCAAGUGUGCUUACAGCAAGUCAAUUAUGUGAAUUGUUUUCUAAUGUGGUUUUGUUCCUACAUAUUCGUUUAGGACUGUAAUCUUGAUCCUAUAUUGUUUAAGAAUCCAAAGUGAAAUAUUGGUCUUGGUGAGGGUGUGGAUAGUAGGAAAAUUACGCAGUAAUAUGCAUUUAUGGCAGUAAUAUGCAUUUAUGUCAGUCAUGGGCACCUAUAAUUUUGAAAAGUGACUAAUUUACUACCAUCUUGGUUAGUAAUCUAGUGCUCUCUCACUAGGUGAUCCAAUUCAGACAUCUGCAGUUGAUAUGUCUAACUCUACAAAGGUUUAGCAAUUAGCAUCAAACUUCUUUUUUAUAAGACAUCUUGGGCAGAUCACCACCUCCAUCUCGAAGCCUUCCAGCGACCCCAGACACCCAUAGUCCCAUACCAUGUGCGACCUCUGAUCACAAUGACCAUGCUAGACGUUUGUUCACAUCUCAUACACCAAAAGUUUGUCAAACUAUAAAUUUCAUUGUUCAGAACUUAGAGGCAAUUCUUAUUUGAAUACUAUCGAAAAUAGAACAACAAAGGUUAUCUAAAUCAAAUGUUUGAACACUUGUAGCAUUUGAGUUGUUUACUGAAAAAAAAAAUUAAAUUAAAUGUUUGAAUAAUUAGUACAAAUUUUUUCUCCAAAAGAGAAGAAGUAACUUAAGAACAUUGAAUAAUACAACAUCUUUCUUGUCUAAUCACUGAACCAUAUCGGGAAUAAACUGUUGUGCUCCAUUGCCGCCGGACCGCAACCAAGGACAAUACGGAACAAUGGCAGCAGAAAUUACUCAAAUUUGGAGGCACUGGUGAAUAGCCUAAACACUCAAGUUUUGUGUAAAUUAGAUCCUUGUUCCGUACAAGGCCUCGAGUACAACAAUAGAUCCUAAUAAUAAUGUCCGGUCUUUUUUGGGCGAGUGCUGGAACGCACACUGCNNNNNNNNNNNNNNNNNNNNNNNNNNNNNNNNNNNNNNNNNNNNNNNNNNNNNNNNNNNNNNNNNNNNNNNNNNNNNNNNNNNNNNNNNNNNNNNNNNNNNNNNNNNNNNNNNNNNNNNNNNNNNNNNNNNNNNNNNNNNNNNNNNNNNNNNNNNNNNNNNNNNNNNNNNNNNNNNNNNNNNNNNNCUCUCUCUCUCUCUCUCUCUCUCUCUCUCUCUCUCUCUCUCUCUCUCUCUCUCUCUCUCUCUCUCUCUCUCUCUCUCUCUCUCUCUCGCCACAGCGACCGCCAAAGAUCGACCACAACGUCCAUAUACUCGACGUCGACAACUGAAUCAGGCCGAUCUCGAUGCUCAACGACGACGACCCAACCCACUGCCUCCGUCCGUCGUCGCAUCCCAAAUUGAUCAGCAAAUCUGAUAUGGAAAUCUUUGUCGUCAAAGUCGAACCCAAGCCAAUUUGUCUCAGAUCUAUAGGAAAGCUCCUUUAAUUUUCUAUUCUAAAGUUUAUCAGAUCUGCUCCAAAUCUUGCAAUUUUGCUUCUCCAAUUUUUUUUUCCAAAAACAAAAGAAGACGAAUGUGUCUAUGCCAACAACCACAUAUCUUGAUUAAUUAUGAGAAUCGAAGUCCGUUGAUGAAAGUAUUAAGCAUGGAUGGAGUAUUUUUGGUUAAUAGUAGCAGAGAUAUAUACACAAUAGCAAUAGCAGUAGCAGACUAGUAGUUCAGUUUCAUGGUGAUUAUUUGUUUUGGAAUCCAUGUAGUUUUCGAUAGUAAUAGCGCGCUAGCAGAAGAGUCGACAGUAGCAUCACACUACCAUUAGUGUUAGCAGUAGUAGCUCAUUAGCAUCAAUGUUGGCACCAGCAACGCGCAGCAUCAGAGUCAACAGUAGCAGUGCGCUAGCAUCAGUAUUGGCAGUAGUAGCGCUCAUCUUCUUCAACUGAUUAUAAGGCAGUAAAAGAAUUGGAGUAUAAGACAAUAACAAAAUUGGAGUAGCAGAAGUGGAGGAUAAAACAAUAGCAGAGUUAACAUUCAUUGUCUUAGUCUUCAAAUAGUAGCAGAACUAGAGGAUUGCCGAAGCACACUUGUGCUACUACUGGGGUGUUAACCUUGCUACUACUUAUACUACGAUGUUAACCCCUGUUACUGCUACUGCUACUGCUACUGCUACUACUUCUACUAGGAUGUUAACCUCUGUUACAGCUUCUAUUAGAAUUAACUGCUACUACACUAAGUUAUUGAAAACCUGCUACUAUAUUCCAUUUAUUGAAAAAUUUUAAAAGGAGAGACUUUUCUCCUGGAAUGUUAACCCCUGCUACUACUUAUACAGGGAUGUUAACCCUUGCUACUUCUUCUACUGGGAUGUUAACCCAUGUUACUGUUUCUACUGGAAUUAACUGCUACUACACUAAGUUAUUGAAAACCUGCUACCACUACUGGAUUAUGGCUAUUAGCCGACGGAACCGUUCCGUCGGUUAAGAAUAUAUUUCGUAAUUCCGUCGGCUAAGCGUCGUCUGCUAAGACAAUAGCCGACGGAAUUGAUGAUUUCGUCGGCUAAGGGGAACUUAGUCGACGGAAUAUUUCCGUUUGCCAAAAUUUUAGUCAACGGAACUUAGUCGACGGAAAUUACUUUUCUGUCGACUAACUUUUUCUUAGCUGACGGAAUAUUUCCGUCUCCUAAGAUCUUAGUCGACGGAAGUAAAAAUUUAAAUUUUUUUUUUAGAAUAACUGGCGGUUUUUUUUUUCUUUUCCUUCUCUUCCUCUUCUCCGGCGACCACGACGGUUAUGUUUGUGUGUUCCCGAACAACUCCACUCCACCUCCGACGCUAAACUCUCCGGGAUUCUACCAACAAGGAUCCGCACGUACAACAAUCUAUUGCCUUACUUAUGCCGCGGAGAGUAACCGUCCGGACGUCAACCACCCCGCGAGGAGGAGGAGGAGGAGGAGGAGGAGGUGCCGCCGAGAAGAGGAGGAGGAGGAGGAGGCGGCAGUCCUUGGAGGAGGAGGAGGUGCCGCGGCGAAGGAGGAGGAGGAGGAGGAGGCGCCGCGGUGGUGGGGGAGCAACCAGACGAGGGAGAGAGAGAGCAAGCAAACAAGCUAGGGAGAGAGAGAUGAAGAGAAUGAGGGAGAGAAUUGAAAGUUAUAGAAUGGAGCCGAAAUAUAUUCCGUCGACUAAGUUCAAAAAUUUUAAGCGGCAGUUAUGCCCGCCAAAAAUUUUAAAAUUAUUAUUUUUUUAAAAAAUUUGGUUCCGUCAACUAAGUAGAUAUUUCCGUCGACUAAGAUAUAACCUAAGCGAUGGAAUAAUUUUUCGUCACCUAAGUUAUCAUAAAUAAUCAUUUAUAUUUAUAUAUAAAUGUUUCGUCGGUUAGGUAAAAAUUUCCGUCGCCUAAGAUCUUCUUAGCCGACGGAAUAUUUUUCCGUCAGCUAGGUGAAAACUUAGGCUACGGAAGGUUUUCCGUCUGCUAAGUAGAUCUUAGGCGACGAAAAUAUUAUUGUUCUGUCGGCUAAGUGAUUUUUUCCACUAGUGUAUUGUAUUCUAUUUAUUGAAAAAUUUUAAAACGAGAGACUUUUCUCUUGGAAUGUUAACUUCUACUACUACUUCUCCUGGGAAGUUAACCCAUGCUACUACUUCUACUGGAAUUAACUGCUACUACACUAAGUUAUUGAAAAUCUGCUAUUGUAUUCCAUUUAUUGAAAAAAUUUAAAAGGAGAGACUUUUCUCUUCUAAAAACAUAUUUAAUUAUUAUAGGGUUAGUUUGGUAAAUUAAACUAUGACACAUGGCAUGCAGAGAAAAUAUUGUCCUUAAUUGUUAAAAACUGUCUUUAUUUGACAAGCAGAUUUAUUUGUAUUUCGAAUUCUUUUAGAGGAUGUAUAUGUGAUUUGCUAUAAAUAGUAAUACAAAAUAGGAAAUUAUUGUAUGAAAAAAUAAGAUAAAAGAAAACAAAGAAGAAAUGUAGAAAGAGGAGGAAGGGGGAAGCAUCAAUCGAACCUAGGCCAUGGUAGGACAAAAGAAAACAAAGAAGAAAAUGUCAAAAAAAUGUAGAAAGAUGUAACACCCUGACCCAGGUGUUAGAAGAAUAAACGAAUAAAAUAAAUAAAGAAAUCCUAAAUCGAAAAUGAGAUAGCAUCUCAAAAUCAAACAAAACAACAAACAUCUUUGUCGCGUUUGGAACCUAAAUUUCUUUUGUUAAUUUGCGGCUGCACCCAAAACUUGAUCGGGCUGCCUACGUACCCUUUUAAAGGGAUCAAGCCACUCGUAGUUCAACAUUUUAAUCUACUUCUCUACCUUCACUAACAACAUCACAUUUACCACCAUAAGUCCAAAAUCAAAACCCUACUUAUGGACUCUCAAGAACCAGUUCAUGAUACACACCAAUUUAAAAUAUUUUCUCCUAUACCCAUUAAAUCAAAUCAACCCGGCCAUACAAAACCUCAUACAUCAUCAAGGCUAUACCAAUUUAUUAUCAUUCUAAUAUAAACCUCUAGGAGAAUAGUUCAAGAACUUAACUAAACCCCACACUUAACUCGCAAAACAACAUACUCAAGUGCCAAAGAGUGUGUAUAAAUAAUUAUGCACACAUACUUAUAUAUAAAACUCAACUUAUGCAAAUCAUCAACAUGUAUUCUUUCACCAUGAACCCAAGUUUACUAAACAUUCUAACUAGAUUUACUAUGGACACCCAUUAGAUAUACUAUGGACACACAUUUCAACUAACACCAAUCCCAUAUCCAUACAUAACACAGCAAUAUUCACUUCAAUGCAUAAGCACAAUCUAACAACUGUCUAACAGUAAUAUUCAUAUACCCGGUUAUCAAUUUUAACCGUUAAUAUCGCUAGUAUUCGGAAAAUCCGAAACUUAACCUACAUUACUCCAAAAAUUGCUAACUUUCCACCAAUGGGUUUCUCUCAUUUUUAGCAAUUUAAUAAGCAUGAAAAACUGUCCAAUCUCCGGCCACCCCCCAAUCGUAACCAAAAUUUAACAGAACUUUCCUCUCAACAUUUCGAACAAUUUUCAUGAACAACACUAAGCUCAAUUCUAGCUCUAAAUAGUUCAUUUGAUCAAGAACAAUAAAACCCGAUUUGGGGCUAGAAACCCUAAAAUCUCGAAAUCUCAAAUUCUCCUCACACACACCAUGAAUCGAGUUACAAGCUUCUAGAGGAAUGUUGUACUAAUCAAACCCAACCUAAUCAUAUAAAGAACUCACCGAUUGGUGGCCUGAGGAGGGAGAAAUCCGGCUAAAACAGCGACGAACAGUCGCACCUUCUCGCCGUGAUUUCUCCCAAACGGCAGCGAGAGGGACGCUGUCACCACUCUAGAUCGAUAGGUCUCCUACUUAGCUUCCUGCCGAUACCCGGAUCACCGCCCAAUUCAGCCUGACGACGGCGCACGAAGCAGAGAACAGUGGCUUGAGAGAGAGGAUCGCGCGGGAGGAGAGAGAGAGGUGCGGUAAGUUUCUAAUUUUUCUAUCUUCCACCUUCAGUAAGUUUCUCUUUUUAUACCUUUUACCAAAACAGUAACCUCCCGUUUUUAGACCAUAACUUUCUCAUACGAACUCUAAUUUGAGCGUGCCACGUGUCCACGAACUCGUAUUAAUGUUCUCUACAGCUUCCAUAAAGGAAGUUUUACCAAAUUAUCGACUUAACGAAAAGUCAACUUUUUGAGUCAUUUACGGUAAAACGGUUACAAGAAAUAAUAAUUGAAAAUUUACUGUAAACUUCAUAAAUUCACAGAGCAUAGCUCGUUGCUCCGGAAAAUAAUCCGGGCAUACCGGUGAGCUCGUAUAAACGUGUACCACGACUUCGGAGUUUUAAAUCCACUAUUUACCGUUUUCAGAAAAACUCGAAAACAACUCGAGCAAUCACUAUUUAAAUCUCUGAGCGCGAAUAAAGAAAAAUCUGCGGUAACUCAUAACCCCGAACAGUAACCUUUUAGGUACAGGGUAUUACAAUCUUCCCUCCUAAAAGAAAUUUCGUCCUCGAAAUUUCACGAUUGGUUAAACGGUCAAUACCCAUAACAAUUCACUUUCUUUUCUAUGUCGGGCUUCAGUACCCAUAACAUAUUUUUCCAUUUCCCUACAUGGGAACUCGACUUUUACUAGUCUCAUAAAUCAAUUCCGAAGCUAAUCAUCUUAUGUACCAAGGGUUCCUAUUUUACUAGGACACCACUCUACUCCGAGUAAUUAUUUCGCUUCCUCAAAACAAAUAGGAGAUAACAAUAUCUAAUCGUCGUCAUUACACAAUAAUAUCCCAUCAACAUGGUCUAUGGAUUACUUGAUCCGGAUAUAUUCAUUGCAUAAACACGCCAUAAUCUAGGACAUUAAUUAAGUCCAAAUAGGCAUAAAUAUAAUUACCUACCCAACCAAGAAGUCAAGUCAUCCUAGACUUAUCGACUCAACAAUGAAUGAGUCAACGUCGUCGUCAAUAUUUUACAAUCUUCGACGACCAGAUAAAAACAUAAGGAAAUGUAUCUCUCUAUCAAUCAAAUAGUCGUAACCAAUAAACGACUCACAAGCACAAGGAGAUCAAUCCGCGUAAAAGAUCAAUGUACACAAAACAGCUAUACUUUCAGCCUUCCAAACCUCAAGUAUGAGGUAACACCAUGGAACUCUGUAAUCGGAUUCACAUAAAUCCACGAUUUAUCGUGUGAGUAGAAGGUAUCUCGUCACCCAACCUGAGUUUGUUAUGCACUCGCUAUCCACGAACUCAAUUCUAAUUAUCAUUUACGUGACAUUAAGUCUAUAAAUCAUCGACACGAUAUAAGCUGCUUUUCUAGCUUCCCACAUCUUAAAAUAAUGAGAAACAUACGAUGGCACUCUAUAACCAUGUUUAACUUCAAAAUUCAUUGUCUAAAAACAUCAUAGUAAGUAUCUUAUACGACCUAUAUAUGUCGUAUACUUACAUAUGACCGCGUCCUUACAUUAACAUAACAAUUCCUUGAACAUGAAGAAACGAUAACUACCAAUUAGCUUAUCAUAACUAUCGCUCAAAAUGAGCAAUACAACAACAUAGCACAAACAUGUUCUCUAAUUCAGAAUAUAUCGUAUAACCAAAGACUCAGACCACACGACGCUAUGUCAUCAUGGUAGUCUGUUAAUUCCCACUGAAGAUACUAUACGGACUAGACCAGCACAAUGGUCAUUGUCUAGAAUCUAUUGCGCCAACAUAUAUUUUACCAAUCAAGGCCAAUUUCAAUGUCCAAAUUCCAGUAAUCCACACUAACAGUACUUACCGACUCGAUUCCAGAAUCAAUAUAAGUAGCACGUGGAAUUUACGAACAUCAGUUAGUAACCAAACUUCAAUAUAAUUAUCAUCCAAAACUGGUAUGAUCGGUCUCAAAUACCACUAGUAUCUGAGAAAGGUCCUGUGGGACCACUUUUAAGGAAAUUCUUUCGAAAAUUCGGCAUAACCUCCUCUAAAAGUGGACUACCCUUGACCUGUAAAAAUGAUAUACAUAUCUCAGCAUAAACAAAUCUCUGGAGCAUACUGCUCCCUAUAUAUCCACACUGUCCAAUAGACUAUAUAAUCAUCCAUCUUAUAUCCAUAAAUGCAUAUUUUUUUAUUUUUUUAUUUUAUUUGAUUUUUUUCUGCAAAUCGGAUAUGCAUUUGCUCAUACUUACUCAACAGAGUAAUUCAUCAUUACAAAUCAUGAAAACCGAUUAAUAAUAAUCAAAAUAUGAAAACCACGACUUAUAUCAAUAAGGUAUAAAACCAUACCUGCUCACACAAGUGAGAGCCACAUUUUUCGUUUCAUAGCAACAUCGUGCAAUCGCCGCAAUCAGCAGUAAAUCUCGGCGCUCAGCCAUCAACCCCACACUUGGUGGUAAUACCCCGCACUCUCGGCGGUGAAAAUCUGGCGCACGGCCGUAAAACCUCGCACACGGCAAUACUGUAUCCCUGCCCUCGGCAGUUAUCCCGGCACUCGGCUGUAAAUCCCCACUCUCAGUGGUAAUCAUCUUAGAAGUCCGCAAUCAGAUCUGGCAUUGGCAGCAAUACCCGACACUUGUGUGGUAAAACCCGGCACUUGGCCGUAACCAGUGUGGUAAGCCUACGCCCCCCAGGCAAGACGUGGUCGCACCCACACUAAACCCCGCACGUGGCGGUAACCCAGUACGGUAUCCUACACCCCGGGGCAAGACGAGGUCGCACCCGUACUGUAAACCCAGCCGAAGCUGUAAACCCAACAUAUAGCUGUAAACCCAACCGAAGCUGUAAACCCAGCAUAUAGCUGUAAAGCCAGCCAAAGCUGUAAAUCACCCCACACAACAUGCCAGAAGGGUAUAACCGUCAAUACUAAAGUUGGAAUCGCCUGCAUCAAACCACUAUACCAACAUUAGUAACAUGCUUAAACCGUUGCACAUACUAAUUGAGUUCCUAUAGAACAAUUAUAAUAUAACCGCUUGUAUCAAAUUAUUCCAGAAAUUUCUUUAACACAUAACUGCAUCCUCGAGAGAAUUGCACUGCAUCAUACUUAUAGCAAGCAACUCAAAUAAAAGGAUUAGUGAUUUAUAUCAUAGAACCACAUAUAUGAUGACCCAAACAUAACAUCUCCAAAAAUAACUUUAAAUCUUAUAUCAAUCAAUGCACUGUGUGAUGCUAUAAUUUAAAUAUAUAUAAUGGUGCAACAUCCAGAUCUUAUCUCUUCACAGCACUUAACAAACUCAUUUCUAUGAAAACAGUCAAUCUCACUUCCAGCUCUAAGAAUCAGUUACUCAAGUUCCUCUAAUUAUGGAUGCAUAACCCAUUUAAAACGACAUCAAUAAAUGUAAAUAUAUAUGCUUACAUACUAGCAAGCAUCAGUUCCCAAUUCUAUCUAAUAUAAAAUUGCAUAACAAGCAAAACUUCAUAUACAUUAGUGCUACCCUAUAUUUUUUUCCAAAAGCAAAGUUUUGCACUCCUACAGACCAAAAUAACCCCAACAUCAUAUUCAGUAUUAAAGCCAAAACAGUUCAGACAAUGAUUUGAUCAUCAUCACGGGAAUAAUAUGUUAAUCCACAUAAUAUGAUGUCUACAUGUUAGCAUACCACACUAACAUGCAAGAAAAUCUUAUCACAGAACAUCCCCACUCUAUUGGUGACCAAUAAAUCUGUUGGUCCAGAAUUUAUGCAAUACUAUAUACCUAAAUCAGUUUGCUUUGGAAGCUUGCCAAACCGAUCACGAAUAACUGAAGGUUCAUAACUUCAGAAAAUAUCUAACAGGUGAGGCCAGCUCACCUUAACUAGUAAAAUCUCUAGCUUAACAAUUCAAACAGAACCUUAUACUAAUGAAAUCCAAAUAAACAGCAAAACCACCCAAAUAUUUUUGUUGAAACUAGUAAUGGAAACAGAGGAAUACAAUUUCUCAUGAAUCCCCUCAUACGAUCAUCCCUCUGCCAAUAUUUCAAAUUUAAUUCUGGACACACAACACAGAUAUACAAAAAAAAAAAAAAAAUCAAAACUUUCGGCCAUCGAUCACUGCAUCCACUUAGGUAGCUAACUAAUGUAAAGUCACCAAGGUUCUCAAUAACAAAGCCACAAGUCUCCCCUACGACAACGUUAUGAAAAGCACAUAAAUACCACAAAACUUGGAUUUUGGAAACCCAUGAAAGAAUUAGGGCCUAACAAAGAGGUCUGGAACAGGUGGACUUAUGCAACUUGAAUCAUAUCACCAAGUCAAAUUACUAGACUCCAAUCCUAAUAGAUCACUAGGAGGGCUGAGAGCGUUAACAUAAGAAUAAGACCUUCAGUAAAUUUUUUUUUUUUUUUUUUUUUUUUUUUUUUUUUUUAAAAGCUCAUGCCUCCCUAGUCAUCAAAAUGCCAGAUCAGAUAAUCAAAUAAAUCAACUCACAAGUAUAUGCCAAUAUACGCCUAAUAGGGGUUGAAACGACUAAGACCAUUUCCUCACUAGUUGGAAUCUCAUUUAUGGUUCGAACCUGCAUAUCACAUUGGAGCAAUAUCAUACUUAAAGCCAGCAGCCUAUGGAUAGUAACCUGAUCACUAAAACUCACCACCAUACAUUGGUUACCCAAUACCAGAACUUCAUCUUAAACUGCAAUUUACUGUUCAGCAGUCAACACAUUUGUAGCUUAAAGUAGCAAGAAGCACAUCUAGGGUAAGUAUGAGGAAUGAAUAAGGCACAAGAGCCUUAGCCUAACCCAAUUGACAAGGCUUGCAACAUAUAAUGUAUAUAUGCACACAACACACCGUAAAGCUAUAUAUCAACUCUAUCUCACUUUUAAACAAAUAUCAAACGAACAUCAACACUACCAUCUAACAAAAAUUCCUGAUCACAUAUGUAUGAUAUAUAUAUGUAUAGAUCAUAUAUUCAUAAGAAAAUUAAAUUACCUCUCUUUGUCAAAUAUUCGAAGCAAAGAAAGGUAUAACCCAACAGAAUCACAAAGUGAAACUUAUCACACACAACAUAAUAAAUUUGAUUAGAUCAAUACUUUCAGCUAUCAAUUACUGAUUCACCUCUGAUGAAAAACUACUGUAAAGGCUCAAAGUAAACGAGCACUCUGGUCAGACGAGUUGUUUAACUUACUACCUGAUAUCGAAACUAUACUUCCCACAACUUCUAACCCGGGAAUCAUGUCCCCGCUCUGAUACCACUCUGUAACACCCUGACCCAGGUGUUAGAAGAAUAAACGAAUAAAAUAAAUAAGGAAAUCCUAAAUCGAAAAUGAGAUAGGAUCUCAAAAUCAAACAAAACAACAAACAUCUUUGUCGCGUUUGGAACCUAAAUUUCUUUUGUUAAUUUGCGGCUGCACCCAAAACUUGAUCGGGCUACCUACAUACCCUUUUAAAAGGAUCAAGCCACUCGUAGUUCAACAUUUUAAUCUACUUCUCUACCUUCACUAACAACAUCACAUUUACCACCAUAAGUCCAAAAUCAAAACCCUACUUACGAACUCUCAAGAACCAGUUCAUGAUACACACCAAUUUAAAAUAUUUUCUCCUAUACCCAUUAAAUCAAAUCAACCCGGCCAUACAAAACCUCAUACAUCAUUAAAGCUAUACCAAUUUAUUAUCAUUCUAAUAUAAACCUCCAGGAGAAUAGUUAAACUCAUGAACUUAACCAAACCUCACACUUAACUCGCAAAACAACCUACUCAAGUGCCAAAGAGUGUGUAUAAAUAAUUAUGCACACAUACUUAUAUAUAAAACUCAACUUAUGCAAAUCAUCCACAUGUAUUCUUUCACCUUGAACCCAAGUUUACUAAACAUUCUAACUAGAUUUACCAUGGACACCCAUUAGAUAUACUAUGGACACAUAUUUCAACUAACACCAAUCCCAUAUCCAUACAUAACACUCCAAUAUCCACUUCAAUGCAUAAGCACAAUCCAACAACUGUCUAACAGUAAUAUUCCUAUACCCGGUUAUCAAUUUUAACCGUUAAUAUCGCUAGUAUUCGGAAAAUCCGAAACUUAACCUACAUUACUCCAAAAAUUGCUAACUUUCCACCAAUGGGUUUCUCUCAUUUUUAGCAAUUUAAUAAGCAUGAAAAACUGUCCAAAAAGUGGCAGCACCACCGCCAGCUCUGCCUGCUGCGGCGGCAGGCCAGCGGCCAAUCUCCGGCCACCCCCCAAUCGUCACCAAAAUUUGACAGAACCUUCCUCUCAACAUUUCGAACAACUUUCAUGAACAACACUAAGCUCAAUUCUAGCUCUAAAUAGUUUAUUUGAUCAAGAACAAUAAAACCCGAUUUGGGGCUAAAAACCCUAAAAUCUCGAAAUCUCAAAUUCUCCUCAUACACACCAUGAAUCGAGUUACAAGCUUCUAGAGGAAUGUUGUACUAAUCAAACCCAACCUAAUCAUAUAAAGAACUCACCGAUUGGUGGCCUGAGGAGGGAGAAAUCCGGCUAAAACAGCGACGAACAGUCGCACCUUCUCGCUGUGAUUUCUCCCAAACGGCGGCGAGAGGGACGCUGUCACCACUCUAGAUCGAUAGGUCUCCUCCUUAGCUUCCUGCCGAUACCCGGAUCGCCGCCCAAUUCGGCCUGACAGCGGCUCACGAAGCGGAGAACAGUGGCGGGAGAGAGAGGAUCGCGCGGGAGGAGAGAGAGAGGUGCGGUAAGUUUCUAAUUUUUCUAUCUUCCACCUUCGGUAAGUUUCUUUUUUAUACCCUUUACCAAAACAGUAACGUCCCGUUUUUAGACCAUAACUUUCUCAUACGAACUCCAAUUUGAGCGUGCCACGUGUCCACGAACUCGUAUUACCGUUCUCUACAACUUCUAUAAAGGAAGUUUUCCCAAAUUAUCGACUUAACGAAAAGUCAACUUUUUGGGUCAUUUACGGUAAAACGGUUACAAGAAACAAUAAUUGAAAAUUUACUGUAAACUUCAUAAAUUCACAUAGCAUAGCUCGUCGCUCCGGAAAAUAAUCCAGGCAUACCGGUGAGCUCGUAUAAACGUGUACCACGACUUCAGAGUUUUAAAUCCACUAUUUACCGUUUUCAGAAAAACUCGAAAACAACUCGAGCAAUCACUAUUUAAAUCUCUGAGCGCGAAUAAAGAAAAAUCCACGGUAACUCAUAACCCCGAACAGUAAUUUUUUAGGUACGGGGUAUUAAAAAAAGGAGGAUGGGGAAAGCUAGGAAUUGAACCCAAGUCAUAGUGGGAGAUGAAAGUCUUAACUAAGCCAACAAUGAUCUUUCUACAAAAUGCACAGCUAGUGGUAUAUAGCCUAAUUUUUUUUUUUUCUAGGCUUCAGCCCAUAGAGCCUACUAAGUAGAUCUGUCCCUGCCAUUUUGCUUGUGUUACAUUCACUUUCUUGUAUAAUCCAAGAGUGAAUGAGUUGUAUCACUUGUAUGACAUGCGCGUGGAGUGCAGUUUCUCUAUUUGUAAGGUAUAUUUGAUUAGGUUUCUAGUCCUAGUUUGAAAUUGAAUAUGCUUUCUUGUUGCCGUGUUGGACUAAGGAUUCUCUUAGUCGACCUAGUUUGAGCUUUGCAGUAUAUUUCCAUAAACACUAUUGUGUUUUUAGUUUGCAACAAGGAAGGGUGGAAGGAGUGAGGUUCAAACUCCAAAGUAAGCAUUAAUUGCUACUAACACACCCCUUUUUGGUAUUAACACACCUCAUUUAUGAUGAUAGCCAAUCAUGAAACAAAUACAAGUGACAAGUUUGUAAAUAAAUUUAAAAUGUGUGGAUAUGAAAAUACAUAAUAUGUGUUAAUAGCAAAAAGAGGUGUGUUCAUAGCAUCACCGUAGUUGAAUUUGUCUCAUUUUGUCAUUUAAUAGCAUCACCCAAGUUUGUAAACAAAUUAGAUUCGUUGGAUUAAAUCAUUUAAAAUCCAACGGUUGUUAGAAGCUUGUCCCGUUUUGUCUUGUAAAAAGUGUCUCGCAUGUGAGCGGGUCUGUUUAACAUUGUUAGCUGACAAGACAUUGAUAAUUUAGCAAAACUACAUAACGACCUAUCCAUGUGACGGCAAUGGCGUAACUAGAAAUCUCACUUAGAAAUGUCAAGUUUUAUUAACUAAAAAAUUAAAUUCUUUUUUUUUCUAACUCUCUAGCAAUGACAUAAUUUUUCUUUAAAAAAUGCCGCAAACUUAAUUUCAACAAUAUUUUUGUCCUAGAUAUCAAUUCAUAAAUGAACAUUUCUCCUGGAAAGACCAUUAAAUCAUCUCGAGUAAACUUUAGAUUUCAGUAUUUCGUGCACGAUAAAUAUCAAAAAUAAUUAGUUCCUUUCUCUUUUUUGAGAGAUAUUGUCGAUAUGUGAUAAACAUUAAUGUGUUGAUUCUAUUUUGCUUAUUUGUAAAGAAAAAAGAUUGUAAAUGGAAUUUAAAACAUUAAAGUAUGUAUUAGUAAGGUAAGAAAUCAUUGAUGCAAUUUGUAUUAAUUGGAUUAAAGUAUUUCAUUCCACUAAUGUUAAAAAAUAUUUAAGACUAUUUAAGAAUUUCUUAAAGGUGAAGGGUCAAUUUAUGUUUCAUUCCAUUAAUAUCUAAUACUAAUGAAGACUAAUUAUACAAUUAAAAAUUUUAAAAGGGUUCAAUAAUUGAACCCUCUCGCCCCUACCUAGCUACGCCUCUGCCUGUAUGUCCAACAAAAGAAGCCAUUAUAUGCUCAAUUCAACCUUUUAUUGUUUUAUAAAACCCAUGCAAAAUCUAACCAACAUUAUUUAAGAGAAAUCAAAAUGCCCAGAUAGUGUGACCAAAAUAUUUUUAUAAACGUUACUAAAAAGGUAGGAGGUAAGUUGUGAGUUUGACACAAAUAAAAUUAGUUGUUUUAAUUCCUAGUUGUUUAUGUAAUAGACUUUGUUAUAAAUGAACAUGAAUCGCUCAAGUUGCGUCAUAAAAUUCUAGAUUAUUCGAGAAGAUUAAUCACUCCCGAAAAUCUAUUGAUCGGUGCGGUAUACUUAGAAACCUUUUCAUAAUUUAAUAAGAGGUAGUUACAUUAAGUAACUUUAGUGUCGGACACUAUCGUUAUAAGAAUAUUUUGUUAUUAUAUGUAUGUAGGGCUAUGCAUAGGCCGGGACGAGCCGGAUCGACCUAAUCCCGGAAAUAUAUCACGAGAUGGGACAAGACGGGAUUAACUAUUUUAGACCUGAUCCCAAACGAUCCCGAUUGGGACCAGGACAGGUCCAAGCCUAAAUCGGGAUUCAACCUCUCUUUUAAGAAAAAAUAAAUAAAAAAAUUAUGGAGGGAGGGCUCGAGCAUCCGCCGAGACCGGCUUCUCACCUAUACCAUCAAUUACAACCAAGAACACAAAAAUAUAGCAAAACAAACACAAUCAAAAUCCAAGAUAAGUAGAUCUAUUAAAGAGGAAUUCUUUUUUCCCAUUCAACAAUUACAAUUACAAACCCCAGAUAUGUAGAUUUCAACAAAAAAAUUGAAAAUUUAUAAUUAACCUAAAAUUCAAACAAACAAUCAAAAUCAAAGGAUAGAUUGGGGUUGGUGUUCCUUGUUGGUGGUGUGUCGAUUGUUGCUGUCUCUGUCGACUGAAGGAGAUGGUGCGUAGAUUCACUAGAUUGCUUGCAGAAAUAUGUGUUGUUGUUGAUCGAUACCCCCAAUAUUGGUCUCUUUGAACCCUCAAAUGAACAAGUAAGAGAGAGAUCUAGAGACGGAAGGGGUUGAUAGAAGUUUGCGAGAAGGAGGGAAGUAGCGAGAGCGAGACUGUGAGAGAGAACUCAGAGGAGGGAUGAAAGAAUUAAUAAGAGGGAAAGAGGUCGAGGGAUUCUUCAAAGUCAAAAAAAAAGGGUAGCUAGCCUCAUACGUGCAUUCUUAAAGUGACUGGGCAUCUUUACUAAAGCUAUUAUUACAAGGUAUAUAUAUAUUUAUAAGGAUGGGUUUACGGGAUUUGAUAUCAUAAUCCUGAACCCCGUCCCAUUUUCUUAAAACGGGAUAGGCCGGGACGGGUUUGCACUUUUUCUUCUCAAGGCCCGUCUCGUCCUGUUUAUUUUCGGUACGGAAUCGGGACAGGAUCUCGGGACCGGUUUUAUAUGCUCAACCCUAUAUGUAUGUGUGCGUAUCUAGUUAGAAGCUCCUUUUAAAUAGAAUUUCUAUUAUCGAAUAAAUUGAUAGUUGUUUUCAAUAACGAUAAGUCCCAGGGGUAGGAGCCAUAAGUCCCCAGACCUGUGAAACUUUGGCAUUAGUCAAUGGUCUUCACUUUUGUACUCAAGCAGGUUUCUCAAAUGUGAUGGUGGAAGGUGAUGCCCAAAUGUGAUGAACGCAUUGGAGGAGACAGAAGAGGAUUUGUGUUUUGAUGGGGGUCUGCUAGAUGAAGCAAGGGCAUUAAUAAGUUCUUUUCAGCAAUGCAGUUGGGGUUUUGUUCCCAGAGGAUGUAAUAAAGCUGUGUACUUUCAUUACCUUAUCCCACAUAUUGGUGGCUAAUGGAGUCGGAGCGGCUCUCAUCAGUUUUAAUUUCUGAAGCAAGUUUUUAGUCUUUCUAUGGAGUGUGGUACUCUUCAUUCUGUUUAUGGAGGGUUUAAUGAGGUCACUUUGUACUCCUAUUGCAGUCCUUUAAUUACGAAUGAAUCAUUCCCUUUGACAAAAAAAUAAAAUAAAUAAUAACGAUCGUUACUGUCUAAAGAUUGCUUAAAUUUUAGUUUUACGUAAAUUAAAAUAACAACGUAUUAUUGCAUGACAUCCCCAAUCUUUCAAUUCAGAUUGACUACCAAUAAAUUAAUAUUUGACUAUAGUAUUAUUAUGGGCCCAGAUCAGGGAUGGUAAUGGGUAGGGUAGGGUACGGGGAUCAAAAUACCAUACACAUAUUUUUUACUUUUCUCAUCCCCGUACCCGUUUUCAUACCCGUAAUUAGAUAAUGGGGAUUCCCCGUACCCGUACCCGUACCCUUUGGGGAUUACUUUCCAUACCCGUACCCGUUAACAAUUAUAUAUUAAAUUAAUUUUUUUUUUAAAUACGAAAUAUAAUUAUAUAAAUGUAUGAAAUUAAAAUCAAAUACCAAAAUAAAUAAGUUUCAUGCUUCAAUCAUAAAUUUUUUUGCAUAAAUAUUUAUUUAUAAAUUAUAUGUAAAUAUAUAUAUAAUAAAUUAUAUAAUUAUAUAUAAUAAUAUUUUCAUCCUUAAUGGGUGGGGAUUGGGACGAAUAUCAAAAUACUAUACCCGCCCCGUACCCGAUUUAAGAAUCCGAAUGCUGGGGAUCCUCAUUCCCGUUACCCGUUUAUACCCGUAUAUCUUUCCCGUUAGGGUCAAAUAUCCGUGGGUACCCUACCCGUUGGGGAUUAUUAUCAUCCCUAGCCCGGAUCAAGGGACACUUUAUUUUACUUAAAUUUUUAUACUGUUUUUCGACCAUUAGAUUGAAGUUUUCAAUGGUCUUGAUUCAUUAUAAGCAUGUUGUGGCAGAUGAUGUGGAAACAAUUUUAUUUUCUAAAAAAAGAAAAUUAAAACUUAAAUGAAGAGGAUUUUAUGUAGAAAAUCAAGUCUAAAUUAGAAGGUGAAUGUCAUCUUCUUCUUCAUGCAGAAAGAAAACAACCUCCAUGUAUAUUCUCCAAGUUUGAUUGCAAUAACAAUAAAUAUUGUAAUCGUAAACAUAUUUUAGCGGAACAUGUAAGAUUAAUGUUUAGAUUGAGAAAAAACAAAAACCAUCAAUCUUCUUCAUCUAGAUUCUAGACCUAAAUCAAAUGAUGUGAUUUCAAUGUAAAGAAAAAAGAGGGGAUCUGAAAACCAUUGAAAACCCUAAGAAGAGGAGAGAUAAAAAUUUGAACCAGUACUAAUACUACUUACAUUGGAAAAUGAAGGAGACCGGCCAGGGGAGGGAUGAAUUUUAAUUUUUCAUCUCGAGCAAUUGAUGUUGAAAGGAGAGAUAUCUAGGUUUCUCAUAUUUCCCAAUUCCCAUAAGAAGAAUGCGUUCUGCAAAAACAUGAAGAUGUUCAUCUUCUAUCUUUAAUCUUCCUUAGUUAUAAAUUUAUUAUCAAUUAAGUUUAUCUAUUAAUACAUAUAUAAUUAUUUCUACAUCAUCUGCCACAUUAUGCUUAUAAUGAAUCAAGACCGUUAAAAAUACUUAAAUCUAAUGGUUGAAAAAUUAAUGAUGUAAAAGUUUAUGUAAAAUAAAGUGUCUCUUGAUCCGGACCUAUUAUUAUAGCUAGCUUAUUGCUUUCUUCUUAUUGUAAUUAUAGUAAGUUAGUAACAAAUACGUUCUCCAGGGCAUUAUAAUAAAGUCUAUGAUUUAGUGUAUGCAUCUUUGAAUGAGCAUCUCCAGCAGUAUUGCUAAAUCAAUUUUUUUUAAAAUUUGUCAACUUUUGGGAUGAAUAAGGGCUCCAGCAGAAUGCCUAAAAAAUUACUAAAUCCUAACAUUGCUAAACUAAAUUGACAAAUUUAUCAAUCUAGACAUAAAUUGCUAAAGAGAAACAUAUGUUUUCCCUCCAUUUUUUAUCCACGUGUAAGUUUAUGAUUCGUUAAAAUAAUUACUUAACUUACACUUAGCAAUUACUGCUGGAGCACAGUUGCUAUUUCAAUUGUUAAAUAUCCUAACUAUUGUUAAAUUUAGCAACAAACUUACCUAUACUACUACUACUGAAGAUGCUAUAUCAUUUAGUGCAUGCAUCUCAGCAUAUCUUUGAAAACCACUAACCACUCAUAUUUUAAAAUGUAUCAAACGCAGACCACUCAUAUUGCAAAAUAUAUUCAAUGCCAAAAACCAUGGUCGCCUAUAGUAUUCACAUAUUUGUUAGACAAAAUUACGCUAUAAAAGCACAACAGAGACCCUGAGUAAAUCACACCUUCAAUCUCUCUUCUUCAGCGUCCCAUCUCUUCUCACUAGUUUGAAUUAAUAUGUUGAAAGUUGGUCUUGUAAUAUCUGAGGCCGAAUGCAAAGAUGAAGAUGAAGACCGUGCCUGUAUCAUAGGGCCUCAAUUAAUCGAAUCAAUGAUUUACCAGAGGUAGAUCUCUUUCUGAAACAAUCUCUUGCCAACAAACUUUUUGAAUAUAUAAAAUGUGUUGUUUAGGGUAUUCAUGAACUUGCAAUAUUGUACCUUGUUUCAGCGUCUCGAGAGAGAUCGAGAGAUCGCAUAACCGAAUACAAAUCAUUCUGCAUCCAAUAUGUAUCAAUGUUUUAUCCAUUUUUAUCUGAAUUCUAACCUUUUUUUUUCUUUUGUGAUCAGUUGUAUGUGUGGAUCCUAUAGAGAAAGAGGAGCACGGAGGAUAAUGUAGUGACCGGGUGAUAUUGAAGAAGAUGACACGAGAGGUUCAGGUGCAAUAUCCUACUGCUAACAAAGGCUGACAUAGCCUCUGGAGAUAUGUUUCUCCUUAAGAGUUAAGAGCAGGUUUUGGAAAAAUCUUUGUCUCUCCAGUAGACGGGUUCCAUAACGCAAGUAUGUCGAACCCAAGAAUGUCAUCUUUCUCGUCUAUCUCGAGACAUACCAGACCAUGGCAGGAACACAAGCUCAAGAAUGUCAUCCUUCUCGUUUAUCUCGAGAUGUACCAGACCAUGGCAGGAACCCAAGCUCCUCAUCCUUCUCGUCUAUCUCGAGACGUACCAGUCCAUGGCAGGAACUCAAGAACGACAAACUAGUGUUGGGCUCGAAUAUGUCUACACAACGUACCUCUUUGAGUUUUGCAAUGAAUCAAUGAUCUACCAAAAUUAUAGAUUUUUGGUUAGUUUUAGGCUGAUUGUAUGAGUCUUAGAUUGUUUUUUGUAAGUAUUUGAUUGUAAUCCGAUAAUUAAUCAAUGAAGUAUUGUUUUUAGGGCCAGUUUUGGUGCUUGACCCUUUGUAUUAUUGAAUAGCAAAUCAAUGAAUGUUUCAGCUACGUAUGUGUACAUACGUGGAAUAUCAUAAGCUACUUUUCAUAUUGUGGCAAGACAAGCUUGACAUCUAUUGCAAAGCUUAGUAGUGAAACUGUGUAAUUAGUUCUUUAGAGAGGUUUUAAAUUGUCUAACCUAGCUAGAGUAUUUCUGCGCGCAAGAUAGGUGCUCAGUUUGCUGCAUCUUUUUCAAAGGCAAAACCUACCUGUUGGAAAGUGAGAGAAGUGGUGCGUAGUACGUAUAUGUUGUUCGUAUACUUUUACUUUUCUAAACCAAUAUGCCUUUGCAUUACAUGGAUCAUCAAGAAUGACAUAUAAUUUGAUUCCACCAGUUUUGCUUUAUAAAAUCUAUCACCAUCUAAUCACAUUCCCUUUUCAGUUUUAGUGUUUCAAUAUAAGUCUUCUCUUCUUUGGAUUUCUUGUACUUAUUUAUCAUACUGUUCAUGUAAAAUUCUUUACUAAACUCAGGUCUGGCAUGGCUAUUGAAAUUUACUAAUUGAUAAUCCUAAUCCCUAACCGACUUGCUUCAAUUCUCCAAGUCCAAUCAUAUGUCAUAGAUGGUUUGGUUAUAAUAGAUGGUUUGGUUAUUUUUAGGAUAGAACACUGCAAUUUUGCAGAAGUUUUUAGGAUAUCAAUAUUGUAGAACUUUAAUUGAUUGGACUAUUGCAACAAAUUCAAUUAAUAUAGAGAGCUUAAGUGAGUUUUAUGGAAGCAAUCUUCUCUCUCUCUCUCACUUAUACUAUUUAGUUUUGCGUUACACUCUCUAUAUAUAGGGUAAGUACAAUAAUGAAAAAUCGAUCAAACAUUUAUAUCGAUCAAUAUUUAAUUACUUUCCCAUUACAUCAAACUUAUAUACUUCCAUGCUGGAUACAAAUUUGCCGACUACAUUUUACUUGGAAAACAAAUUUGCGGACCAUGUUUUACUUGCACACAUCAAUGCUCAUCAUUUAAAUUAGUGACACAUGCCCUUUUUUUUAUCAAGAAUAAAAUGGAACCAUUUGAAGAGACAUGGUGGGCAAGUUAAAAGCGGUCGGCAAAUUAAUUUGUAUCCAUUACUUUUCGAGAUGUGUUAGAUGCUCGUAGCAAGGCUAACCAUGGAGUGCUACACUAACAUCGCAAAAGACGGAGAAGACGUCGUUUGAGGCUGACAUCAGAUGUUGCUAAUAGGUCCCAAAGCCAUCAUGGCUAGGGUUUAUGAGGAGACAGAGCCUCUUCAUAGUAUUUUUACCCUAAUCUCCAACUUGAGGAGAUUAGGGUAAAAAACCAGGCACGAGCUAGGUUCAUACAGGUAUAAAUACUUCUAUCUCCCAGUUUAGAAAAUGUGGACACUAUUUAUUCACUGUAAACUAUCAAGUAUUGGAUAUUGGUGGGCGUGCUAUGUCUUGGUAAAUGCACGCAUCGUGCCAUGUUUGCUCUUUGGAGGCUGUGAGCUCUUUACCUUUUUAAAUGGCCGCGGCCUCUAUUCUGUGAGGAGUGGAUAUCAUGUUGCUAGGAGGCUGAGGUUGGAACAGAUAGGAGGCACCUCUUCAGUUUUAACUAGUAACUCUCCUUUAUGGAAGAAGAUAUGGAAAGUGAAGGUGCUGCCAAAGGUAAAAAACUUUGUUUGGAGGUUGGUUAAAAAUAUUGUCUCUACAAAAGAGGUAUUAAUUAAGCAAGAGAGUCCCUUUGCCAGACCAUCUAUGUCCAUUCUGCUAUGGCGAAACCGAGUCCUCGUUGCACCUCUUCAAGAUCUGUAAUGUAGUGGCGUGUAUUUGGCUGUUUAGUUCGUUGGAUAUGAGAGCAAGACACUCUGGAAUGGAGACCAUUGAAGCUUGGAUCCAAGAUAUACUGGAGAACUUACAGGCACCACAAAUGGAGGUAUUCUUUAUACUUCUCUGGUCAAUUUGGGUUGAACGUAACUAUGUGGUUUGGAAUGGUUCAAGAGUGGAUCCAAGGGAGACGGUGAGAUGGGUAAUGGCUUUGUUGGACGAGUACAAGCGAGCUCAACCUGUGGCAAAUAAAGGAAAGAGAAGUAGACAAGAAGAGAGGUGGAUUUUUCCUCCUAGAGGCAAACUGAAACUCAACCUCGACGGGGCUUAUAGAGAGGACGGAUCGGGAGGAGCUGGUAUGUUGGUGAGAGAUGAGAAGGGCAUUGUUAAGGGAGCGUGGUCAGUGCAUUUGACCAAUUUAAAUUCUCCCCUACAGGCCGAGGCUAUGGCAUGCAGAGAAGGGUUGAGGAGAGCAGUAGAACAAGGUUGGCUCAACAUUGAUGUUGAGAGUGAUUGUGAAGUUCUGGUGGCGGCUCUGAACGGUGAGAACGGUGGUGGAUUGGAGGUUAGUCGGAUUAUUGAUAAUUGUCGUUACUAUUUGAUUUUAUUAAACAAUAGUGUGGUCAGACAUAUCUAUCGUGAAGCAAAUAAUGGUGCUCAUAGGUUAGCCCAUUUUGCUAGUUAUAAUAAUGUAAUAGAGCUAAGUGUUGGUUUAGUUCCUAUAUUUUUACAAGAUGUCCUCUAUGAGGAUUCAUGUAAUGCUAGCUUCUAGUGCACUCCGAGGUAAAGGUAUUAUGUCCCCCUCGGUGAUACACAAUUCUAUUAAUAUUAAUAACGAGCGUGGCGCUGAGCCUCCCAGGUAGGCUGGGUUCCAAACCCUUUUAUCACAAAAAAAAAAAAACUAGGUCGCAGCCUCCUAAUGACAAGAUGAAACUUAGGGUAACUAGUAAUUCCCAAUGACAUCAUAUUUGGAAAGUUGAUAAACAUAGUAACUUAGGGCUUUGUACGAGCAGUAUUUUCAGGUAUGUCACUAAAUUUGUAAAGCAAAAAGCAAAUGGAGUAGCCAAUGAUGCCCUCGUGCUUGCUUAGAAUGUAUAGAUUUUGUAGACAUGCCUAAUACUAUUUUAAUACUAUUACAGGGUUUAGGCUCAAUGUCCCCACCCCCCCCCCCCCCCNNNNNNNNNNNNNNNNNNNNNAAAAAAAAAAAAAUCAAAUUUAUUUUUCAUAUUGAAUAUUACACUAUUUUUUAAAUAAAAAAUAUUUCGAUAAACGUUACCAAAAAGGUAUAGGAGGCACAUUGUGAGUUCGGCUCAAAGAAAAUUAAUUGUAUUAAUUCCUAAUUGUUCAAGUAAUAGACUUCGUUAUAAAUAAACAUGAAUCACUUAGGUUGUCUGUCAUAAAAUUCUAGAUUAUUCGAGAAGAUUAAUCACUCCUGAAAGUAUUUUGCCUGGUACGGUAUACUUAGUAACAUUUUCAGAAUUUAUUAAAAGUAGUUACAUUAAAUGACUUUAGUGUCAGAGAUUCUCGUUAUUAGAAGAUUAUGUGUCAUUAUAUGUACGUAGGUUUAGAUAUCUAGAUUAUUCGAGAAGAUUAAUCACUCCCGAAAAUUGUUGACCGGUAUUGUAUACUUAGAAACCUUUUCAGAAUUUAAUAAAAGUAGUUACAUUCAAUGACUUUAGUGUUAGAGAUUCUCGUUAUUAGAAGAUUAUGUGUCACCCUAAAUAGAAUUUCAUUUAUCGAAUAAAUUAGUAAGAGUUGUUUUCAAUAUCAAUUGUCACUGUCUAAUGAUCGCUUUUAAAUUUUAGUUUUACGUAAAUUAAAACAACAACGUGUUGCAUGACAUCCCCAAUCUUUCAAUUCACAUUAAUUACCAACAAAUUAACAUUUGACUAUUAUUAUUAUUAUUAUUAUUAUUAUUAUUAUUAUUAUUAUUAUCAUCAUCAUCUUCUUAUUGCUUUCUUAUUGUAAUUAUAAAAACAAAUACAUGCUCCAAGCGAAAGUUCUUGUAUGCACCUAGGUACAAGUGAACCAAUAGUUAUAAUUUAAUCUGAACCGUUGAUUUGAUCUGGUUUUAUAAAUUUACUAACUUUGAUAUUAACACUGUUAAAUGACACUAACAACGAUGCUAACACCGCUAAGAAUAAAAACCAAAAAAAAAAAAGAAGUCAAACGUGGUAAAAACGUGAUAAAAGCACAAAACAGUUAAAUAUUUAGCUAAUCAAAUUAAACCAAGAUAAUUUUCCAUUCAAAAAUUGUCUCUUUGUAGAAUUUAUAAGUCUGNNNNNNNNNNNNNNNNNNNNUACUAUAUAUAUAUAUAUAUAUAUAUAUAUAUAUAUAUAUAUAUAUAUAUAUAUGAGGCUGUGGCUUGCGAAUUUUAUUACUUUUUGAUUUAUGUAUGUCACUCUUAAAUGUUAAGUUAAUUUUUUAUGGACAGGAUAAAAUAUAAAUCGUUGUAUACAAUAGGACUAGCUGAUAUGAAUAUGUAACAUUUAUCCGCAGUCGGCAUAAAAAUCAAAGGUUGAUUUCAUUUUUCGGAAGGGCCACCGCAAGCAAGAUUUCUUCACGAUAGAGAUGGUUUAAUCCAUUUCUAAUGGUGCAAGGCCUCCACCAAAAGCUCUACGCGGAUAGCUUUUGCAUGGAGAUUUGAAGUCUUGAACUAUAUAUAUCACUUUCCCACGACUAAAGUAGAUAUUCUAGUCUAGCCAAUAUGGAAUUCAAGUUCCUUUCCCAUUAGUGAACGAAAGAGCUAGGCAUAAUGGCAUCACAAUGUGAAGCAAGGCCAUCAAGAAGGAAUUGAAUAUGCUUCAAAAGGUGGUUAACCCCUUACCUGUCGGUGCAACCUUGGUGUGGCGUGGUGCAGCUGAGGCCAAGAACUGAACACAAACCCAACCCUUUACAGCUACUAUAUCACAGUAGUACACAGACUAGACUUGAGGCAAACACCAACCCAACCCUUCCCCACCUUCCCCUUUUUUGCAGUUUGUGAAAAGAGACCAACCAACCAACCGCCCAAAACACAGUCGGGAGAGAUCUGAGUACAGCUCAGUUUAGGCAAGAUGACAAUGCCCAAAAGCCUCGUAUCAGAAUAGGAAUUCUUUAGUGUCAUAAUGAAAUGAGAGACUGAAUCUCGAUCACACCAUUGCGUGGUGUAGAAGCAACCGGAUCACUACUUUUGCAGUGACAUUUCGUUUUCCUAAGCUAGCUGUACGUACAAGCAUAAUUACCAAGCUCACAAUCGCAACCGCGCAGGCAUGAGACUUCAUUAACAUUAGCCUCGAUCUUCAGACAGGCCAUGUGAGAUACAAUUAUUUACGGUGUGUAUCGUCGACACAUUUCCAGAAUUGAUUUGUCGAAAGUUCUUGUAUGCACCUAGGUACAAGUGAACCAAUAGUUAUAAUUUAAUCUGAACCGUUGAUUUGAUCUGGUUUUAUAAAUUCACUAACUUUGAUAUUAACAUUGUUAAAUGACACUAACAACGAUGCUAACACCGUUAAGAAUAGAAACCCAAAAAAAAGAGUCAAACGUGGUAAAAACGUGAUAAAAGCACAAAACAGUUAAAUAUUUAGCUAAUCAAAUUAAACCAAGAUAAUUUUCCAUUCAAAAAUUGUCUCUUUGUAGAAUUUAUAAGUCUGUUGAGUAUCCUCUCUCUCUCUCAUCAGCGGCGACCCGAUGGCGAUGGAGCAUGAUGAGCCUGCAGGUGCGACCAAUAAGGCGGUCGUAAUAUGGCUCCUCCGGCGCACAACAGCACGGCUCUCCCACAAUAAUUUUGAGGGUCAUACAAGGUCAUCGACAACGUCACGCAGCCAGAGCCAAGCGGAUCCCACUGGUUGGUGUCGGGAUGGACGGCGACAGACGUACGUAGUGCAGGUGGGUGAGAUAGGGGUUCGAUCUGGGAGAUAGGAAUGGUGCAGAUGGGUGGACGUGUGGGAAACUGGGAAUGAUGAGGUGUCUUGGGCCUGAACCUUAUGGCCUCCGGUUCUUCUAGUUUUUUCAUAAUUAAAUAUAAUAGAGAUUACUUAAAAAAUUAUUCAAAAAAGAAAUAUAUAUAUAUAUAUAUAUUUGAUAAAUUAAAAGUGAUCAUAUAUAGCAUAUAGCAUUUUAAUUCAAAUGUAUAUAAAGAUUAUCUGCAAAAUUAAUAAUACUGAAACUAAAAAUUGAUGAAUUUGAUAAAGAAUUGAACAUUUACCGCAUAGCAAAUGAAUUUUGUAAACGCUUUGCUCUUUUCUCGGGAAUAAAUAAAGGAUAUGGACAAAAUCGAUAAAAUGGAAGAAAUUCUUACUCAUAAAAUAAUUGAUUAAGAAAAUUAGACCACAUUUAAAAUUUUAAAAAAUCAGCUGUAUGAUGUGAUAGUUAUAGUGAAAUACGGUCAUGGUAGAAAAAUUAAAUAUUUUCGAUAACAUUUUAGCCUCGAUAAGGCGGUCAACUCUAUUUACGCUUAUUCUUUUUAAUGGAGAGCCCUAUCAUCAUGAGGUAAACUUUAUCAAAUGUUUACAUGGGCUGUUACAUCUCUUUUGCAUGAGUGUGUGCGUAGAUGAAUUGACCAGAAUAAGUAAUAAUGGGUUGGGUGAGAAUGUUUUCGUGUGAUAUGGGACAUCGAUUUAGGGUUGACCGUGUGGAUCGAGACACAUAUAUUAUAAAAAAUAGGUGAAUUUUUUUUCAUAGCCAUAUCCAACUACACUGAUUACAUCAAACGGUCAUACUUUGAUUUUAUAAAAUUUAAUUAUUAGGAUCCCAACGUGCCUACUAAUGUGGUGUAACUUGUUUAGUAGGUAUUAUGUAAAUGUACAUAUUUAUGAAGCAACUAUAUCUUGCAAAUAGAAUUUUGAAAAAUCGGCCGUAAGAUGUCAUAUGUAUAGGGGAAUACGGCUAUGGUAGAAAAAUCACAUAUUUUCGAUAACGUUUAGGCCCCGAUCAAGACAGUCAACCAUAUUUACUCGUAUUCUCUCGUAUGGGGGCCUUAUCGUUGGGAGGUAAACUUUCCCAAAUUUUUACAUGGGUUGUUAUAUUUCAUAUACAUGAGUGUGUGCAUGAAAAAAUUGACCAAAAAAAGUCACUAGCAGGUAGGUGAGCACGUUUUUCUUGUAAUAAGGGACGUUGAUUAUUUAAGGUUGACCAUGUGGAUCGAGACCUAAACUUUGUCGAAAAUAGGUGAAUUUUGUUGCAUAACCGUAUUUAACUAUACUGAUCACAUCAAACGGUAGAAAUUUAAUUUGGUGAAAUUUAGUCAUUGGAACCCCAACGUGUCUACUAAUGUGGUAUAAUUUGUUUAGUAAGUUUUGUGUAAAAGUUCAUAUUUAUGAAAAACUAUAUAUUGCAAAUAAAAUUUUGAAAAAUCGGCCGUAAGAUGUGAUAGGUAUAGUGGAAUACGACUAUUGUAGAAAAAUCACAUAUUUUUGUUAACGUUUGGACCCCGAUCAAUGCGGUCAACCCUAUUUACACUUAUUCUUUCUUAUGGAGGGAUAUCUUUAGGAGGUAAACUUUUCUAAAUUUUACAUGGGCUGCUACGUCUCAUCUACGUGAGAGGGUUUGUACAAAAGAGUUGACCGAACAAUAACAAGAUAGGUAAGAGCGUUUUGAUAUGAUAAACGAUGUGGAUCGAUGUAAUACCCCGUACAUAUGUAUGACCACUAUAAGAUACUUUUGACUUUUUCAGUAAGUUAGAAUGAGUUACUAUUUCCUAUGGUUCAGAGAAUGAGUUACUAUUUCGGAUUGACCGGUUCAUUUUUCUAAACUUUUUGAUAAUUUCAGUUACUAUUUUCUGAUUUUAUCCCAUCGUUUAAUCCUGACCCUCCAUUUCCCUCAUUUAAUCUGGACCAUUGUCCAAGCUAUUUAAGGGAAAGAGAGGUCAGUGAGUCAGUCUCUCUCUCAAACCCUAGCUAGUUCUAGCGGGAGAGAGAAGCAGAGGCGCAGCCGCACAGGCUGCCAGUCACUCCGCCGCCGUCGAGCUGCCACUUGACGAUCGACGACCACCAUUCUACUCGUCUCUCUCCCCUUUUUCUAUCCCUGCCACCGAAUCCAACAUGUAACCACCACCAAUAGAUCGAAUUAGAAAACCCUAAAUUCCCAUUCCCAAUUCCAUCUCCGGCAAGUUCUUGCUUCCCAAUUGUUCCAAGACAAUAUCUCGGCAAAGGGAUGCACGGGAGUUGUAUCUUGUAUGGUUCUUCUUCAAAUAACACAGUUUGCUACGGAAUAUAAAUAUAAUGUAGGUGUAGUUUGUCCAUUCCACAUACAUCAGUUUACAGGAGUCAAUCGUUUGAAUGCUUUUGCGUCUACAAGCCGAAGCCGCCUCACCCCCUUCAGAAGCAGAAGUGGGGAAGAUCACUAUGGCACUGGUUACUCUUUCUGCCUAAAUUUGCAACACCAGGAAGUAGAGGAGUAAAAGAAACACAAAUGUUGUUGAUUUCCUAGUUGUUUUGAUAAUUACCUUAAAAUGGUAUAUUUUGUACUGGACUACGGCUUCAUAUUCAUAUUGCCUUGUUUGAAUUGAUGAAAUGUCAUAACUCAUAACUCACCUUGUUAUGGAUUGAAUAUCCAUAUGAACAUAUUUUGUGAAAGGAGAGUUGAUGAAUUUUGUGUGCUGGGGGUGUGAAUGGCUUGGAUAUUUUUGUGAAUGGCCAAUCUUAUUACAUUCAAGUCUCAGUUUAAACCAAGUAUAACAGUUUAUCAAAUAGAAUAAAGUCUACUGUACAUAUUUUGUUAGAAGUAAACAAAACGAUAUAAUGGAUCUUUGUGCAUACUUUGAAGAAGUUCCAGCAAUUUCUAAUUCCAUGGCAAUGUCCAAAGACCAUACGAGUGCCUAAGAAAAAAACCAAAUGUAUUAAUUCCAGAAUUUCUGUUUGUAAAUUGCACCAAUACUCCAAAAAAGUUUUAUCAAUAAUUAAAACACAAACUUGACAAAANNNNNNNNNNNNNNNNNNNNUAUGUACACCUCCACUAUACACUAAAAACCGAAAAUGCAACACUUUUCCAAACACCAUCACACACGGGAUUUUCUCUUGCGAUGGCUGCAACAUUUCCAUCUGUUGGGAGGCUUCUCGUGGAUCAUGCCUGUCGCUCUGCCACAUUCAGGGGCAACUACUUCAGUUGCAACUGCGUUCAUUAUCAACAUUGUUUGUAUGCAAGUACAAUAGCAGAGUUAUUAUUCCCAAUGUAAUUUCUUUGUACCCCAAAGAAAGUAGGCAAGAACCAUGAGUCAUCUCAAGUUAAGAUUACAGCCCUAUAAUGUAUGUGCAAUAAUAGCUUAGAAGAAAUUGGCACGGAUAAUACAUUCGCAUACCGUCGAAGAAAUUGAGAUUGUAGGGCAAAGACAUUGGAUAUCCUCAAGGGACACCCCAAAAUCCCCACCACUGUGGGCAACCUCUUUCCUGAAUUAAUCAAUUAAUGCACUGGUCAAAAACAAUGAUGCUUUUCUGCAGUCACAAUAUCAUCCAAAAAUGAAAUGAAUUAUUGAAAGCAGAUGCACAGAAACUUCAUAUCGCAUUGAUUGACCAACUUAAAAUCCUAAAUACAGGUAACAAAACUUAUAAUGUCUUUACUAACCUGGACUCAUGUCCUCCUCUCCUUGGCUUCUUAAAUAAGAACUUUAAGACCUUAGAAUCCUUCCGUGAUAUCUUUCCGAUCAAAGGUAAAUUUCUUGUUUCUGUUUAUACGUUUAGCCUCUUCCAUUGCGUCUACUUUUUCCAUUUCCUUUGUCUGUCUCCCUCUUAUCUGCCAAAUGGUCAAUCUGUUAAACGGUUCAGUAUCAAUAGGUCAUAUAUCACUAAAGCCAUUUUAGUAACUAGCAAUGUUUUAACAUGUUACCUCGUUUGCAAGGAUUUCCCCACAGAUUCGGUGCUUUCCACCGCUGUCCAAUGUUAUUGGGGGGUUGAGACUAAAAUUCUGUUUUUGUGACUCCUUGAGAAUGUCAGCCACCAAUUCCAGGAUUAAUGUGGAAUCCAGGACUACCAUGAGUCAAUUCAUUGGUCUUGCCUUUCCUGGUAGCGAACCUUUCUCUGAGUUUUCUUCUCUUAUUUCUUCCGCUAGAGUCGCCACUUGAGGCCUCAUCUCAUUUGACGCCAUCACCAACAUGCGUAUAUAUUAUCUCAUUACAUCAGACUAAAUAUCAUGAUAUCACAAAUUUAUAAUCAAAUCAGGUAUAUAGAGGUAUAAACAAGACAACUAAAAACAACAUGAAUUAAAUGCAGCUAAACUGCUAAACAAAUAACAAAUCUAGAAGAAGACGCAUAUGAGAUGAUUAAAAGGUAUUUGAUUAUAAAGACCCAGCUAAUCAACAUAUCUACAUGCAGCUAAACAUGGAAGGUAAUUAAAAUUCAUAAACUAAGCAUCAAUCUAAAUACAUAGACGUAGUACCAUCAAAAAGUCUUCUAACCCAGUCAAACCCAGACUCUUGAAUUAGAAAAAAAAAAAUACUUCCAGUUCAACUCCAACAAACCAAUUCAACCCAACAUUCAAAUAAUAGUAAUAAUCAGGGAGAGAAGAAUAACUUAGUCUUACAACUGAAGAGAGUAAGAGAGGCGCGAGCCACUGAAUGGGAGAGUUCAAGAACAAUGCAAAAUCUGAAAAAUUGAAUGUCAAUUUAACUCUGAAAAUCUAGAUUAAGUAGUGAAACUGAGAGAAAAUUUGCGUGGGAGUACUCCCCUUGAAAACAAGUUUAAUAUUUAACCUUCUUACCUCUCUCUCUCUCUUUGUGGGGGAACGAAUGGUGGGUUCGUUCUCUUGAAGCUUGGAAUGGAUGUACUUGAUCACAAUCGGAGCAAAUGACUGCAAUUCUCGAUCGGAACAGCAAUUUGUAGUCGGUGCAGAUUUCACGGUGAGAGAAAUCGGAGCCCUGGCCGGAUUCGGAUACCCUGUGUGGGUUUUUGAGGUUUGAAUCGGAGACUUCGAAUCUCUUCGUCGGAGCCGUCGUGGGAUUAGGUCAGAGAGCAAGAAUGGAUUUUCUUUUUAGGUAUGGCUCGACUGUCUGCCUCCCACAGUGAUAUAAGGUAAUUUCGUUUUUACUGCAGGUUUUUUUUUUUCGUCUGCAUCUGACUAACCAACGGAAUCUCUCCGUCUUAACAACUUCUGCUAACAGACGUUAGACCUAUGUGAACGGUUCAAGUGCACGUAGGUGCCCUGAAUCCGCUCCGUGCUCCAAGACAUAAUGAUGCAGUCUAUGAUUUAGUACAUGCAUCUUUGAAAACCACUUAUCAUUUAAUGCAUUUACAUCUUACCAACUUUGAAAACCACUAACCACUCGUAUUGCAAAAUGUAUCAAAGGAUGACCACUCAUAUUGUAAAGUGUAUCUAAUGGCAAAAAGUAUCAAACGCCAAACCAUGGUCCGCAUCAAUCGGUGAGACAAAAUUACUCUUGAAAUUAGGCUAUAAAAGCACCACAGAGAUCCUGAGAAAAUCACACAUUCAAUCUCUCUUCUCCUUUAUCUUAAAGAGCCAGUCUAUCUCUUCUCGCUAGUUUGGAUAUGGUGAAAGUUGGUCUUGUAAUAUCUGAAGCCAAAUGCAGAGAUGAAGAUGAAGACCGUGUCUGUAUCAGAGAGACUCAAUUCAUCGAAUCAAUGAUUUACCAGAGGUAGAUUUCUUUAUCAAAAGAUCUUUUUCCAACAAUCUUUUUUGAAUGUAUAAACUGUGUUGCUAGGGUUUUUCAUGAUUCUUUGUUAUUUAUUACUGUGCUUUGUUGAAGUUGCAAUAUAGUACUUUGUUUCAACUUUCAUCGUAUAUAGAAAGAUCGAGAGAUUGCAUAACAUAAUACAAAUUUAUCAUUCUGGUUCCAAUAUAUAUCAGCCUUUUAUCCUGUUUUUAUUGGAUUUUUAACUUUUUUCUUCUUCUUCUUCUUCUUCUUUUUGUGUUCAGUUGAGAUCUGUAUCCACUAGGUCAGAAUGGCCGCUGCAGAUUCUUGUCCUUUUCUGUCAAGGACGUCCUCUCCCCCAGACAACGUGGGAUGAGUGCCUUCAUUUGGGCAACGGGUGUUUUCUUUCUUUUGGUUUUGUUGCACUAUCAGUCGCAGACUCUGUAGACAUGCUUAGAGAGCUUUUGCUUGGAGUUCCUCGACCGCAGUCAAUUCAAAGAUUCAAACGCGUCUCUAAACAUUGGCACUCAGUUAUCUCCGACUCAUACUUUAUUAACAAGUACACCAAAAGAAACUCACCAGAUUAAGGCACCAAAGGGAUAGGGAUUAGUGAAGAUUAUAGAAACAAAAGAGUCAUCAGCAUCCAAAGAAGGAGCUGAAGGCUUUAAGUAAGGCACUGAGGGAGCGUUUAAUUAAGGAGCUGAUGUAAGGACAAUAGAGAAACCUCAACACCAUUUCCCAAGCACCGGAUCAAUGAUCUACCAGAAUUAUAGAUUUUAGGGUUAGUUUUAGGGCUGAUUGUAUGAGCCUCGGUUUGGUAUAUGUAAAUAUAUAUGCGACUGUAAUCCAAUAUUUAAUCAAUGGAAGUAUUGCUUUUCUUUCUUCACUGGCAUUGUUCAAUUUUACAUUUUCCCUAUAUUUGAGUGCCGGUCGUAGUUCUUCAAGUAUCAUCAACUCUUGUCUUAUUUUCACAAAUUAAGAGCAGACGACAAAAUUGAAGAUAUUGAGUAUCCUGUGUGCUUGAGUACUUGACUAGCCUUCAUUCUAGCAAGUAUUAUAUCGAUCUCUCCUGCCUUUAGAUUUUGUUCUUUAUAUACCAUGCAUGAAAUAUGAAAAUGUGAACAUUAAUUGUAUUAUUAUCUUCAUCUGACAAUGUGAAGGAUCGAUUGAUCUCAAGUUCUAAUUAAGUGAAUUCCUUCCUGAAAACAUUGUGUUCUGUAAAUUAUGAUGUUAAAUUUGUGUUUAUUCAGUUCUUCCUGAGGUUUUAAAUUGUUUAACUUGAGAAUUUCUGCAAGAUAGUGAACAGUUUGCCGCAUAUCUUUCUCAAAGGCAAACCUACAAGUGUGAGAGAAGUGGUGAUUUCUUGUUAGUAAAUGUGGUUUGUAUACUUUUAGCUUUAACAUCUAUUGCCAGUGGUAAUUGAAUUCGAGCCCUUUCCGGUUUAGUGUUUCAACUUAUUUCAAUACAACUCUUUUAUUAAUAUACAUCUUUUGUCUUUGCAUUUGUCGUACUCUUUUAUUAAUAUACAUAAUGUAGGGCUUGGGAAUGGGUUUGGGCUUAUGGGCCUAGGUCUAGAAUCAAGCCCACAAAAAGUCAGUAUUGGAAUUGGGUUGUUGAGCCUGAUUUCAAACUAACUCUGACUUAAACUGCAGUGUCGAGAUAGCUUGGCAGACUGUGCAAGCUAGCUGUAGUUAGAUAGAUUCAUGAAGCUUGGAGUACCGCAAUUGAGCGCCUUAGCUCUAGUUUUAUGUUUCUCUGGUAUCUGGAUUUGUAUCUAGUUUAAUCCUCUGCUAAACUCAUUUAUUCGGUGUUUUGAUGUCAUUCUGGCCUGAGUUUAUUGAUGAAAUUUCUGGGGCUUUUCCUUCAAAAAUACAUCAUGUAAAUCCUCCACUGAUCUCAGCUCUAGGUAUUGAAAUUUAUUUGUUGAUAAUUCCUAUUCGAAUUUCCUUCAAAGUCCAAGCAUGUGAAAUAAAUUUACUUUUAGGGAAGAACACGCACCUUCAAAGAAGAUCAAAGCGAUAUUAAUGGGUUACUAGACUACUUUAGUAGGAUGUCGACUCUAUGAAUGUUAUUUUCUGUUGGGGAGUUCCACAUUUUCAAUUCAAAUAGUGCUGUAAGUGAUUUUAUCGAAGAAAAACCUCUCUCUCUCUCNNNNNNNNNNNNNNNNNNNNCUCUCUCUCUCUCUCUCUCUCUCUCUCUCUCUCUCUCUCUCUCUCUCUCUCUCUCUCUCUCUACUAUUUAGAGUUGUGCGGGCGUUACAAUCUCUAUAUAAAGUAGUGAAAAAUCAAUCUAUUAGGUAUCACGCAUAUAUUUUACAUUUUCUCGUCUUCAUCUCCUGCAAGUUCCAUUAUAUCAAACUUGCGCGCAUUUCUUUAUGCAGGUUAAUAAACAUAACCUAAACAUAAGUAUCAGUGUUUCCUUGAUUGAUGUUUAAUGGGACUUUUUCUAUUUUCAUUUGUAGUUAUCGAUAUGUUCAUUUGGUACUUUCCUCCCUUGCAAGAGUGUUCAUCAUUGGCCCUAGGUGUUUAUUUCCAGGGAAUGUAUUCUCCAAAAAUGGUCUAACAGCAUUUUUGUAAUUAAUCUUCAGCUGCUACUAUUGUCAUUCAAGUUAAUGUUUCAUUUGCUUGUUAUUGUCCUCUCUAGUUCUAUUCUACUCAUGUUGUUCUCUCUGUGUCCAUAGAAUGACUAUGCAGGUGUGUACAACUGAAGCCUUUAAGUAUAUGUCAUAUAUAUAGACCGGCCUUCCUACCGGACUUCCUUUGCUACCACCAGCGACCUUUAAGUAUAUGUCGAAGUUUUGUAUUGGUUAACGAUCACUAAUCCUAGUGAAUGUGCAUUAUUGUUUUAACAUUAUGCAAUGCUGAACUUGUUGCACAGGAUUAACAUGCAAGUUAGUCUAAAUCAAUAGUUAACUUCUGUGGCAGUCUGGCACAGAUUGUGGAAAACAAUAGUUGCCCAGGAAAAGUGCACAUUCACUACUAGAGGGUACAUGCUUAAGUAUGAAGAUAGUGCUCAUGUGUUCUGUGACUGACCAAUUGCUGCUGAUAUUAUCUCAGCCCCUCCAUGAAAUAUGAAGUUUGUACGUCUUUUAUGUAUUUUCGUUGUAUGUCCAAAGCAUGAAUUUAUCAAUUCAAUCUCAAAAAAAAAGCUCACCAAGUUGGUGUUCCUAGAAGACUUGGGUAUCUUCAUGUACAUGCCAUAAUACUUGGCCAGGGAGGGUUCAUUCAAGCAGACAAAUAUAUAGAUUAAUAGAUAGCUUUCAAAGAUGACUUUUUGAAUUUGUGGGAGGCAUCCCGCGACCAGUAAUUUAACUCGAACAUGAUUCCCUUGAGCACAGUCAAGAUUUGUUAAUGUCAAUCCCUUCAGCACAGAUGAGAUCCCUAUUGCCCUUCAAUUUAGUUAAUAGGAUUUAUGUCUCUUUACUGUAACUAAACAAAAGAGAGCAACCAACAUAUACUAUAUAGAAAUUCUGGUUCAAGUUUGAGCUUCUUAACUGCCAUGACAUUCAACACAGAGACUAUACUUUAUAGUCUAUACUCUAUACCAUAAAUUUGAACUUACCUAUGCUUUGGGAAAGUCAAUAGAAAGAGUAUAUACAAGAUAUCAGUGUUUGAGAAAUGUAAGACAGAGGUGUUACAUUUGCCUACAACUCAUCCACUACCACAGGUAGAAAGAAAACUAAGGUUGCAACAGAGAAAAUGUAGCUAAACUUAAACAUAUGUAAGUUUAUCGGUCUUAUUCCAAAUUCAAGUUGCAAGGAUUCUUGUAUUUGGUUACCUUCUACUUCUGGAAUUUUCUCUACAGCUUCUACGAUGGAUCAGAUUCGGAUUCAUCAUCCUGUUGUUGAUUGGGCAAAGAUUGUGUGGUUUACCAAUAAUAUUCCUAGAGCCAGUUUCAUUCUUUGGUUGGCUGUUCAUGGUAAGCUUGCUACUCUUGACAGGAUCACUACUUAUUCUCCUCAAAUUAAUUAGUUCUCUAUGCCCUCUUUGUGGUCUAGUUCCAGAAAAUAUCAAUCAUCUUUUCUUUGCUUGCUCUUUCUCGCUGCAUGUUUGGAAAAGUGUUCUUUGUUCUUGUGGUGCCUUGGUUGAACCCCCCUUGGCCUUUAUUUAUUGAAUGGGCUUCUUCUCGGUGGGGAGGUAAGUCUCUCUCUUCUACCAUCAAGAAACUCGGUCUUUCUGUUACUGUUUACCUCAUUUGGAAAGAGAGGAAUAAUCGUAUCUUUAGAAAUGAAAGAUGUGCUGUGGUUCUCAAGAAUAUUAUUUCCAUGAUCAGAUGUAGGCUCAUUUCCAUCAAGUUUAAGCCAUCCAUUACUGAUAGAUAUAUUGCUGGAAAGUGGAGCUUAGAUACCUCUUAGUUUUUCUUCUUUGUUCCUUUUUUAGGUUUUGUUUUGCUUUCUUUUGGUUAGCUUGGUUUUUGUUGUUCUGUAGCUUCUUUGCCUUUGGCUUCGGUUGUACUGGGCUUGCCCUCUCUUUUUUCUUUUAAUAUACUCGUUUAUUUACCAAAAAAAAAUUAGUAUUUUACCACCCUUUUGAACCUCUUCAGAAGCAAAUGGCUGUGUCCGGACUCCUAAGCUAUAUAUGUUUUCUGGUCUUUCUGUGCCGGCAGUCCAUGCCACAUGGGGAAAAAUUCAAUCAGUUAAUUUGUUGAGACUCUUUUGCGAUUUGCUUUUGAGGGUCGAGACAUUUUGCAGUUAUUGUCUGCGAUCUUAGAUUUUCCACCCUCCUAUUAGAUACUUCGGCCAUCUCCCAAAGUUCAACCUCAUUGCUUAGUGAGAUUACUAAAUCACACAAUAGAGAACCAAAACUCUUUUCCUACGGUGUGCUGUUUCUUUCUAGAAUAUGAACCGGAGACAUAUAAUUGCCAUGGAGCUUUACCAACGAAUAUACCAGAGGUUGGAUUCUACCUUAUUCCCGAAGGUACUCUUAAAUGGUAAGCUCAGAGAUUUCAGGAUGAGAGUUUCAGAUGCACAAUUGGUGCAUGAGGCUUUAUAUUUUCUCCCAACCACAUUCAGUAAACUACCUACAAUGCUCUUGCAACCAAAUGGACUGUGAAUAAGCUUAUCUCCGUGUGUGUGGAUGAGGAAAAUAGAAUUCGUAUUGAGGCUAGACCAUCUACUGCAGUCAACUUGGUGGUUUGCUUAACCUUGUUCUUAUUCUUCUUCUUCCACUUUUUCCACCAAGUUGACUGCAGUAUAUGGUCUAGCCUCAUUACGAAAUCUAUUUCCUUCAUCCACACACAUAGAGACAUGCUUGUUCAUAGUCCAUUUGGUCUCAAGGGCAUUGUAGGUAGUUCUCAGGUUACUGACUGUGGUUGGGAUCGGAGAGAAUAUAAAGCCUCAUGCACCAGUUGUGCAUCUGAAACUCCCAUCCUCAAAUCUCUGAGCGUACCAUUUAGGAGUACCUUAUGCAUAAUAUGCUCCCUAACACUCCUAGCUCCAUCAUAUACUUAAGUUCCUGGAACUCCUUAUUAAGCCUAGCACCUUCAGCCUUCUCACUUUCCUCAAAUUUCUCAGCAAUAGCAGCCAUGUAGUCUACUGCAUCAUCAGGUUCCUCUACAGACCCUCUCACAAUCUUAGACAUAGUCCACCUAAUCACACUUUUUGCCAUCCUAUUGGUCCUAUGCCAUUCAUAGUAAUGCCAUGAGUCAUCUGUGGAGCUAUUUUCUUUUAACUCUCCUUCAAGUUUAGGAUUUAACAAACAGUAAUAUAUGUUCUGAUGCAUCCCAUGUAGAAUUCUUUAUCAUUUCUCCACCUCCUAAAGUUAUAGAAUCACAGUCAUAACCAAUCAUGACUGUAUUUUGGGAUUUGAUUAUGGGCCUAGAACUUAAAACAAAAGGAUCCUUGUAAAAACAGAUUAAGCAUGCUUUUAAGCCUGUUGAUUAAGUUUUGGUUUAAAGAAAAUAUUUUUCAAAAAACCUGUUCUUGACUGAAAACCAAAAAACUUUUGCGAUUUGUGAUUUUGUAAAAUUCCUGCAGCUCUGAUACCAUUAUUAGAUGGUAAUCAGAAUCCUAACAACCAUCUAAUAACUUUAUUUUGAAUCUAUUUACAACAUCACAAACACAAAAUUAUGAAGAACAAGAACAUUCUGUAUAUUUAGAGUUUUCUUGGAAUAACCAGGAACAUACCUUAGUUCGACCUCCAAUCUGCCUUUGACUGCUAUCUUCAAUGAUAACACCAUUGUGAUGAACUUCUGAAUUGGCUGCACAGACGAACAAGAGAUGGAUACAGGUCUUCUGUGUUUCUGUAUCAAGCAGCACUAUGGCCUAUGGGAAUGCCAAACUCAAUCCAAAAGCGAUAAAGAACACAGGGACCUAGCCUCCUUUAUAUAAUGAUCAAAAUUGAAUUCAAUCCUAUAACUGAAUCCUUAUUCAACUCAAGGUUAACAUCUGAAUAGGCCUUAUUCAAUCACAAUACAUAUAUCAUACUUCUUGUUGAAUGAAUCCAUAUCCUAUCUUCAAGUCUUAGACUGUGUUUGAGUCCAAAAUUAUUCUUACACCAAAUACCAUUUACUUCUAUGAAACUCCUCCUUACUCCUCCCGAAAUGUCUACAAGGAUGUGAUAAAAGGAGACUUGCAGCGUGCAGUUGCAACCUCAUUAUGCAAAACACCAUUUUCAAUUCAUAUCAGAAAUUAAAAUCCUGGUAUAGACAGGAUAAUGCAUGCUUAUCUUCAGCACUUUAUACAUGAAGAGGGAGCAUAAACAUGUUGAGCUUUGAACUUGAUGUUCAAAGAGAAAAUUCGAAAAACACUCAUUUAGGGUAUUGUGUUUCUGCAAGAUAAGCAAAUGAAGAUGGUCACUUCAAUGACUUGCCUAUAUUAUGGAAGGUGUUCCUUUUGUGGUUUUGCCGAUGUAGCAGCUGGUGCUAGGGGGGGUGACUCUUCCCGUUUGGUUUAUGAUUCACCUAAUUUCCUAAAUCGGAAUUCACGAGAGGUCUUCAUAUGCAUAUUUUCUCUGUUUUGAAAACCAAAGAUAUAGUCGAUAAACUGUGGUUCUCUAGUUAUUUACCUGGGGACUCGAUUACCAGUUCCAGUAGAGGAAUGGGAGAGAAUGAAACCAUCUUAAUCUUUUUCCUUUGCUUCAGCUGUUGGUCAGUAAAUCACAGAACGGCAACCGUCUUUAGUUGGUAUCAUACAACCAACAUGUUCCUCAGACAGGAAGGGUGCAAAGAAUGCAUCAGGGUGAACUCACACGAAACCAACAUGUACCUCAGACGAGAAAUUCAAAAGGGUGCAAAGAAUGCAUCAAGGUGAACUCACACAAAACCAAAAUUUCUAUAUUCAACUAUAAAAUGUGGCAUUGAUGUGAAUGCAAUCACUUAUGUACUAUAAAGAACAUAUGUUCAGAACAAUUAUGUACAUAAUAAGCUAUAUGAACGAAAUGAACAAUUAUCAUAAAGAACAUGGUUUUAUCAUGAUUUAGUAACACCAUCUUCAUCAUCAUCUUCGAUAUCCCAGCUCAAAUCCUCCUCUUCCUCUGCAGCACUAAGCCUCUUAUGCAAAUCGACUCUACUUGUGCUCCCAACACCCUCCCCCUUCUUCUCAUCACUGCUCCCAAUAUCUUCAAUCUCAUCCCACCCUAGAUCUUCUUCUCCCGGCAUCGAGGGCUGGCUCGAAAUAAUCGAGAUAUCACUCUCUUUGCAAGAAUCCGAUUUCACCUCCGACUUGUCACUGCUUACAGACUGCCUCGGCACAAUUUCAACACCCGCAGCAUCAUCAGACUCUCUCACCACUACACCACUAUGUUCUCCCUUCUCCAACUCCACACUCCCACUAGGGCCAGAAACCUUCUUCUCUUCCUCCUCCUCCUCUACAUCGUCAUCGAAAUCCCAACUCAAAUCCUCUUCCUCACCGGAUAUGGCACGCUUCACAAGCUUAUCUCUAGCAUCCUCCACUUCCUUCAACUUAUACACCCUAUAAAAGUACCUACUCCAGAAGCUCCCAUCAUCGACCUUACCAGGCACAAUCUCCUCAUGAAUCUCACCAAUCACUCCAUUCUCCCUCAUCAAAUUCGCAAUCUCCUCGGCUUUCGCCUCCAUCACAAACCCUAAUUUCCACUCCCUAUAGCUCUCCGAAUCCUCCGGCUCCUCCAAGUAAGUACUCACACUACUCUGAAUCGCCCUAACCUGAGCUUCAAACCUACUAUACUUCCUCAAACCACUACCACUACUACUCAAUCUCCUAUCAUUAUUUUCAGAGUUACUAUUAUUAUUAUCAGAUUCAACAUCAUCAAUCUUAAUAGCUUCCCUACCGUGAGAGAUGAUCUCCGCCGUCGACUUCCACACCGUGCUCCCGAUGUCGUCGAUCGCCUGCCCCACCGACUCUAGCGACACCUGAGCCACUGACGCGCCGACAUCGAGCGAAGCAGGGAGCUCCUUCACGGCGCGUGAGGCCACAUCCCGGAUCACCGCCGUCUCCUUCUUCAGCCCGGAGCCGAGCUCCGCCAGAUCGCGGCGGUAGGUCUGCAGCACCGACUCGGACUUGGUCGCGAGGGUCGUCAUCAGACCUCCGAAGCUCCACGCCCCGGUGGUAUGGGAGUUCGAGUCCGGAGUUUGCUCCGGGUCGGGGCUGGCGACGUCUUCGGUUUGGGAGAGGGAGGUUGAGUCGUCAUCGGAGGGAUCGGGAUCGUCGGAGAAGACGGACUUGAAGAAAUCCAUGAUAUCGGAAUAAAAGGCCGGCGGUGGGGAUCAGAGUCCAAGAUGAGUCGGGAGUCCUCGAAUUCCUUAUCAAUCGUAUAUAUAGGCACGUUUUGGUGCCGUAACGAGAAAUAAAUAUUUCCUUUUGAUUUUGAUUUUGAUUUUCCAAUAAUUGAUUACGAUUUAAGUUAAGAACAUAUUUAAUAGAUAGACUAAAAAGAAAUUAAAGUGAUUGCACCUAUCUUUGUCUAUAUGUCCAUAUUAGUGUCAAUUGGUUUCUUUCUUGGGGCUAAGGAUUUAAUACACAUGGAAAUGUGUUAAUAUUUCCUUUGAAAAGCUAGUUGGAAUAAUCUCUACUUCAUUAAUGAAACGAAAUAAAGCUAUUAACGAAAAAAAAAAAAUAGUAAUAGAAUAUCCUAAAAGGGUCGGGAAGUUGGGCACCAUGGCGGUCAAUUUAAUUUACGCAAAUGGGUAAAUGUUUUUUAGUUUAUGAGAUUGUUAGCAGUCAAGACUCGAAAGUAGAUGUCGGUUUAAGUUGUCAUUUUGUAAAAAGAGUCGCUUGUUUUCCUUUUUUUUUAAAAAAAAUUAGUCGCUAUGGUCUAUAGGGUUCGUUACAACCAUAUCUCGAUGUAACAAUGUUGGGUAUGAACCUCUCAUUCUAAGUAGUCCUUCACAUAUGAACUGUAAUGCACCAGUUGAAAUGAUUUAACGACUCUUCUCAAAUUUUGAAUUACUUCAAUUUGAAGUAAGUUGGAAUUGUUGCCACAAACCCUAACUUGAUCCUUUUGAAGUAAACCUUAAAAUGUCACAAGUGAUUAUAUCUAAAAACGUUAAACCCUUGUGUGGAGGCUCCAAAAGAGUUUUUGGUUAUUCACAUCGAAGCAUUUGUCACAUUGAAUAGUAUCUUGUGAUCAACGGAAAUAAAGUAUCCUGGUUAAUUGAUCAUAACAUUAAGAAAAAGAGAAAUUUUAAAUACACACCUCUAAUCUCUUAAUACACACCUCUAUUAUUUUAUAUUUCACAUCAUAUUUUAUAUGUAUGUUUAAUUACAAAAACAUCCAUCAAUUACUAAGGAAAAAAAGAAACUUCAUCUUCCCUAAAACAUAACUCUCUUCACUAUGCAUCAAAAGAAAAGAAAUAAAAAACCUCUUCUCCAAAAUUCAUCACCUGAAUUUCGACUACUGUCGUAAUCACAUGUACUAUUUGCUGAUUCGUUUGAAUUUUUUUUAGUUUUAUCUUACAGACUAAAAACUAGUUUUUAUGCUAUUGUAAUUCUAUAAGUUUCUUAACUUUGAAAAAAUUAUGUAUGUUCAAUUAUUUUUAUUUUUUUUCAAAUUUUAACUGAUCAAAAAACUACAGAAAAUAAAGAGAAUACGUAAAGAGAGUUGUGAAUAGUAAAUAUAUAAUAAUUAUAUUAAAUAACAGAUUAUUAUUAGUUUUAGAUACUGAGAGUAUUUUAGGCAGUUUGAGAUGUGUAUUUAGUAUAAUAUUGAAAUGAAAAACUAGAUAGGUAGUAUAUUAAGUAAAUGGUGUGUAUUAAGAGAUUAGAGGUGUGUAUUUAAAAUUACUCUAAACUCUAAGAAAAAAAAGUGUGAUAUAUGAUAUAUCCGGUCUGAGUUGAUGUCUUCAGAUUUUCGAAAAAUACAUCAACCAUUUCUAGCGACCAAUUUGCCUUAAAAAUGGCACAUUUUGCCAACAAACCGUUCAUCCGAUAGUUAGCUUUACUGACAAACCUUCGUCUUCCGUCGGUAAAGCUCAUUUUCUGCAGGUUUCUCUGAAUCAUACUCCUAUAGUUCUAUAGAUUGUGGCCACCUGCAAGAACCAACCUUUGAUGUAGACAUGCAGUCCAUCUCACAUCAAAGUACAAAUUCUCAGGUCUGGUGGAUUUGUUUGAUCAAUCAAGUAAUGAAAAAUCUUCAAAUGGAAAAACCUGUGGAACAAGCAACUAUACAAUAUAAACUCAUACAGUGAUCAAAAUUACCCAAUAACAACCACACCACUUUUACAAUGUGUGUAUUGAAUAGAAUUUCCUUCUUUUCUUUUUUAAUUCAACAAGAUUACAAGGGGAUACAUAUCUUGAUACAUCCACUCCUGCUAGUGCAUUGAAACCAUCAUGUUCUAUGAGUUCCUUCUUUGUUCUCUCUUUUUUGUUUGGCAAACAGUGUUUGUCAGAAGAUCGUUACAAUAGAAGCAUUAAAAUUCGAACAUAGGACUUUGGAAGAAAGGCAACUAGGAGAUACAAACUAGUGUCCAAGAUUAGGUUGUUGGGUUACUAAUUCAAUUUCCUUGAUGAUUAGCUCCUUUUCCUCUUCAAAUUGGUCAUCUUCAUCACCUGCUCGAAAACCAUAAAUCAGCAACAAUAACAAGGACAUGAAAUUUAGAUUUUCAUAAUCUUUUGUGGAGCUCAAUCACAUUUCACUACAGCUGAUGAUGGCCAGAAAAAUAUCACCUUUUCCAGCAGAAAGAUUCUGGAGCAACUCUGUCAAUUUUUCAUGGUUCUUGGCCAGAAUAACCUUGACUUCUCGGGGCUUAUUAGGAUUAGCAACAAAGACCUGCUAAAAUAUAAAAAUUAAAUUAUAAAAAAGAGAAACAUGAGGAAACUAGAGAUAGUAUGGAUCUUGACAUUCAACUCAAACACAUCAUUCUCAUGACGGUUCAACUGAUAGCCACAAAGAAAUCCAUAUUCCAAGUUUCUAACCACACCCAUUCAGACAUACAAAAUACACAAAAAGAUGUGGAGAGAGUUAAAAUGAGGGGGGCCAGCACCUUGAAAAUGUGGAAGGCAGCGAUUUGGAUGUUUUUGCUUGAAUCCUGCUCAUAUUCAAUAGCAACAAUGAUAAAAAAAAAAAUGUGAGAGCACAAAAAAGCAACAGCAAAAACUUCAUUUUCCAAGGACACACGUUAAAACUUGAAAGCUGGUUUUUAUUCAGUGUUACAGUCUAAACAAAAACCUAAGUAUCAAAAAGUGAAUGUAUAGUAUCACCCAGUGGUUACAAACGUAAAUAGCACAGUGAUAGGAGUCAUAGAAUAACUAAAAGAAAAUACCUUCAGCAGCAUCAUCAUGACUUUCAAGAACCGAACUUCUAAAAUGUAGCAUUUCAUUAUAUGAGAAUUAGGAGGCUCCAAUAGGAAAUCCGUAAGAAGCUAAUCAACAAACAAUAUCUAUCAUUAGCAAAUGCAAUAGUUCAAAAGAAUUGCAGACCAAACUCAAAAAGUUUCUUGACCAUAACUGACCUUUAAAGACUGCCUCCUAGUCACGUAGUUAGGAGAUGUCAACAGUUUUUCAUACAGAUCGAAGAACUGGAACAAGAAAUUCUGAUCAGACAAGCUAAAAAUAUAAUGCACUACAAAUUUACAUAGACAAUAGUGAAGAAAGCUAUCUUCAAUGCCUACACCAUGCAGAUGUAAAAUUAAGGGGCUUAGAUUUAUUUUGUCCCCAGACUAACACAUAUUCAGAAUAUCAAACUGUCCUCCAAGAUCCAUCUUGGCAAAGAAAACAUCCUAGGUCUAGAAUAUCCGAUCAAGAAAAUCAUAUUAAAAGCCAAGCAGCAACACUCGCCACUGGCUAGACUAUUACAGAAAAAUAUAUAACGACAAAGUGUGAACCAACCUCAUCAUAGUGCGCGGUCAAAAAUUCAGAUACCACCGUUCCAUGUUUAGUAAGUAAAUCCUGCCAAGAACUAGCUCAGUGAUGUAUGAAAGAAAGAUAGGAACCUAAGAGUGUAAUACCAUUCAGAUAGGUACAACUUCAUAGAUGCUCGUAAAUCUCACCUUAAAGGUAGAAAAUGCAUCAGAAGCUACAUCAAAGUUAGGCAACUCCACAAAUUUGAAGAACAAAACGAAGCUUGCAGACUGCAAUAUGUAUCUGAAAAAUACUACAAAAAUCAAAAGUGUGAAAUAAAGAAACAUGCUUACCAACUAGAACAAGCAUAAACUUAAAAAGAGCAGAGGACGGUAUCAGCUAUUGUGAAAUCUGUUUACAGAAAAGAACCACAAGUUCAAAACGGGAGUUGGGUGGGUGGUAAGAUUUGAAUGAACCCACAUCCAAAAGCUGUGUUUAGGUUGACUUGGAUGAUUCAAACAUCUUUGCACAACGAAACAUGUACGUUUCAGCAAUCAUUCAAAAUCUUCUUCUCUUACCGAGAGUGGGUUCUUUUACAAAAAUAGAAUAAAAUGGCAUGGGAAGAGAAAUGAUGAAACGUCUUACUUUGCAAGAGUAGGGAAUCUGAUGCAAUCCCUCAACAUAGCUCCACAAUUCAAGGCAAUUUCCUUGUUAUCAUAGCUGUUUGAAAAAGAAUUGAUUAGUGCCAUGCAAAGUUAAACCAAUUGAAAAAGAAUGAUGACAAGUAUACAGCAUUAAAUCAAUUUUUCUGUAUCCUAUACUUGAGAACUCCUAUUCCAUAAGCUUUCUUGCAAGAACAUCAUCCUUACCCCAUCUUCCUAAUACAAACAACAUAAAUGCUACACGGGUCACACAGUGGCAUUCUGAAUGCAUUCCCUCUGGGAAACUCUAAAGAUUAAAGAAAGCCACACCAGUUCUCACAUAACUGAGAGAGAGAGAGAGAGAGAGAGAGAUCUAAUAUAUAGAGAUGAAACCUGAACAAACACAUGGAUGGAUAGAAAAAGCUUUUUACUUUAUACAGUAGUGCUGACAAAAACAAUACCAAACUCACCUCGCAACAAGAAAAUCUAGCAACUCAUAAUGGUUCUCAAUGUAUUGUUCGCAGCAAAAAGUGUCCUCAACCUUUUGCUUCAACAAGAUGGACCAACAAUGGACCAAAUCUUUUCUUGCCUGUAUUGAAGACACCAUGUCAUCUUGCGCAAUAAAUGUUUCAUAUAUGCCAGACAGCAUGAGAGAAAUGACCAUAACUUACUUCCCAUCCCAGUAUUGGUAACUUGUGAACUAGAAGAGCAAGAACAUCCUCCUUGCAUAUCUCGAACACAAGCUGUGAAACUUGUUCCGUAUUAGCUUCCGUCUCCCCAUCUCCGACAAGCAUACAUCUCAUAAUCCCGAAAUUCUUUUCCACCUCUUCCAACGCCUGUCACAAUAAGUAAAUCAUAUUCGUAAAUGAACUAUCCCUUCACAAUGAUUACAAUAUGUCUGCUCAACUCUCGACUUACCAAGCACUUCUAACCAUAAAUGUCAACACUCGAGACUAAACUAACUUGCUUGACAACAUCUACUUCAUACAUGCUAAACCACAUUACCCCACAGAGUAGUAUACAUUAAUUGAAUAUUAUGAAGCAACAAAUUGACAGCAAGAACACAACUUUAGGCAUCAGAAAUGUAAAUUGAGAUAAAAGAAUUGAAAUUGGGAGAGAAAGGCAAAUAAAGGAGGACCUUUUCGAGGGAUUUGACUUCGGCGACGGUCUGGGAGUCGAGGGCAGAGAGGCUGUCGCUGAUGGCCUUGGCGACCUCCUGUGGGGUUUUGGGCCUCGACGGCUUGAAGAACGAGAACGACAUGAUGAUCUGAUGGGAAUCAAAUUCCCUUCUCUCUCUCUCUCAAUCUCGCUCUUUUCUCUGAAAUGAAGAAAAUUUACAGCAAGCUUUGAGUUUGGUGUGAAGAACGAUGGUGGAAAAGAGCCCGUCUUUACUUUUUUGUCACCAGUGCGGAUCCAUUUACAGCAUCAAAUGCAGCUUCAAUCUCACUUUUUACACCUGCGUGUUUAUGUGAAGUGACACAAAUGGUUGCUAGAGAUACAAACAAAACAAAAAAACUUUGUUUUUAUGAAUUUAUCAACCUGUAAGUUGACCAGGUUGAACUUGAAGGAUAGGACAACGUGUCGACAGGAAGGACAAGUCGAAGAAAAAUAAUAUCCUGCUGAUCUCGAAGGACAGGACUAAUUUAAUCCAAAUCUGUUGAAAUGAGAUAGAAUAAUUUGGUUACCGGUUGAAAGGACACAAUAUUUGACAUUAUUUUUUAUAUUAGUUUUUAAUCCUUAGAUCUUAAUUAAUCAAAUGGUUGUAAUUAAAUGUGAGUAUGAUUCGGCAAGUGACGUAGAAAUUAUUUUAUUUUCAAUAAACAAUAAAUAAAUAAAUAAAUUUAGUUAAAUUUUUUUAAUAAAGAAUGUAAAAGAAAGAACUCCAUAAGAACAUGGCUGGUGUUCUUCAACGUGGAAAAGAAAUUCUCAGACGCGUGCCUUAGAGCCAAAGGGCUUUGAUUGAACUUCAAAUAAAGCACUAAAUUUGAGUUGAUAUCAAACCAAAAAUCCACAUCUCAUUACAAAAAGAGAAAAAUGAGAAUAAAAUUUGGAUUGGCCAUUAGGGUUUGCUAAGAAGUACAUAUAUAGUAUCAUGAACAAAUUGAUUUGAUUGCUUGUUAAAUGUAUUCAAUUAAGAACUGAUUUUGGUUGUUUAGAAACAAAUUAAGAUUAGAUCUGCAAUUGAAUUUGAUAUGACCCAAAUGGAAGUUUUCAUAAUUUGAAGAAACCUUUGUGCAAUGAACCUGUGAUUCUUUUUCAUGUUGAAGAUCGAACACCAGUGCCAUGUUCUUCUAGGAUUUUUUUCUUUUGUUUUCUUUACUAAAAAGAAACUUGUUUAACUAAAUUAUUUAUUAUUGUUUAUUAAAAAUAAAAUGAUUUCCACGUCACUUGCCAAAUCAUACUCACAUUUAAUUACAACCAUUUGAUUAACUAAGAUUUAAGGGUUAAAAACUAGUGUACAAAAUAAUGUCAAAUAUUAUGUCCCUUGAACCGGACCCUUUGGUUACUACUUACUAAGUAGGUAGAAUAAUUUUUUGCAGGCACAAGAAAGAAAGAUGAGCACCGUAACAAGCUACUGAAACUAGGUUAGAGUCAGAUCGGGUUUUAUAUAUUGAAUGACACAUUCGCCUUAUUAUUCUUUUGAAAGGAGAAAUAAAUUACAUUAAUGACAUGUUUACUUGGAAUCGAAAUAGGGCAUGAUAACGAGCCGAGCUUUAUUUCCUCUUCUUCUCGUCCAUACCAAUACGGAUUAGAGACAAUAAGAACGAAAAAAGUCAUGAAUCAGAAACAACUUGAAUGACAUGUUUUACUUAGAAUUGAAAUAUGUCAUAAAUUGAAGACAAUUGGACUGGAAGAAGUAUGAAUCUGAGACAACUAAAAUGGAAAAAAGUCACGAAUCAGAGAUAACUAAAAUGACAUGUUUACUCCUUAGAAUGUAAGUACUCUAUAAAUCAGAGACAGCUUGAUUUGUGCGAGCUUGAUUUGCAAAAUGAAUAUGUUAGACACCAACAUGUAUUUUGAAAAAAUAAAAUCGAAAAGAUAACUUAAUUAGAUUUAUCGGUUCAUAUUGGUGUUUUGGAUGUUCUAUCAAUGUGCACUUUGCGGUUUGCAUUGUCAAAGACAAGAAGACAAUUUCCCUCUCUAUCCGAUACGCGUGAUUUCUCCACAAAAAUAGUACCCGACCCGAUUCAUACCCGCCAAAACCCGACUCGAUUCAACAAAGUACCUUGCCAAAAAUGGUGGCAAAGUGAACAGAGGCAGUUACUCAGAAACCGCAGGGGUAUUCCCGCCAAUCCACACUCCCAGCUUAAACCGCCGGCUCCACCGAACCACCUCCUCACUAUAUAACCAAACCCAACACGCAUUUCUCCAUUUCCAAAUCCCAAAUCAACCCAAACCCGGAAAUCGAAACAUUCCGAUCAAACCAAAUGCGACGGAUGCGUGGCGGAGGAGGAGAUGACCGGAUCAACACGUGUCUCCCCGAAGAGCUCAUCGUCGAGAUCCUCCGGCGCCUCGACUCCAAGCCCAGCCACGACGCCUGCUCCCUCGUCUCCAAGCGCUGGCUCGCCCUCGAGCGCCUCAGCCGCACCACCCUCCGCAUCGGCGCCACCGGCAGCCCCGACGUCUAUGUCAACCUCCUCUCCC